GGGUGAUUUAUUAACGUUGUCCGUGUCGUCCCAUCCUGCAGGAUUUCCUUCUUUUUUAAGGCUGAGUAGCCCCACGCGGCAUUGCGUAUACAAUUCAUCUUCUUCCGUUCACCUCUUGAAGAACAUUUUGGUUGUUCGCCUCUCUUGGCUGUGGUGAAUAAUGUUGCAGUGAACAUAGGAGUGCGGCUGUCUCUUCCAGACCUUGACUUCGGUUCUUUUGUACGUAUACCCGGAAGUGGGAUUCCCGGCUCAUAUGGUAGCUCUAGUUUUCAUUUUCUGAGGAGCCUCCGUACUGUUCUCCGUAAUGGUUGCACCAGUUAAUGUUUCUAGCCACAGUACAGAAGGCUUCUCUUUUCUCUACAUUCUUGCUGAGACUUGUCUUUAAUUUUUAUUGUUUUUUAAACAGCCAUCCGGACACGCGUGAGGAGGUUUUGGUUUGCGUUUCCCUGAUGAUAAGUGAUGUGGAGCAUUUUUUCUUGCACCGGUGAUUAGCUCCAUUUUAGAUAGGGGGAAAUGGAAGCUCCCAGGGGUAAAGGGGGACCCUUCCCGGGGUCACACUGUCAAUUAAUGAUGGACCUGGAAUUCAGAUGUGACCCUGGAAGUGUCACCAUUAUACUCCACCCUGUGCCCUAUCUCAACGCCCACCCCCGCUAUAGGCUGAAUGUUUGUGUCCCCCCAGAUCCGUAUGUUGACAUCCUAAUGCCCGGUAUGAUGUCACUGGGAGGUGGGGCCUUUGGGAGGUGCUUAGGUCAUGAGGGUGGCACCCUCAUGAGUGGCAUUAGUGUUCUAAUCCUGUGUGCAUCCCAUCCCUUGAGGCUGUAGUGAGCAGGUGGCAGUCUGCAAGCCCAGAGAGGGUUCUCACCAGAGCCUGAUCACACGGGCACCCCGAUCUUGGACUCCCAUCCUCCAGAACUGUGAGAAAAUAGAUGUCUGUUGUUUGUAAGCCUCCCAGCCAGUUAUUUUGUUAUAGCAGCCGAAAUGGAUUAAGACACCCCUCCGAGUUAAUUAGGACAGUCAGUGGGCCAGUUAGCUGGCCCAGGCAGGGGAGAAGGCAACACUUUAAUUCAGGCUGAGUCCUAAAGAGGGGGAAGGGGUGGGUGGGAGCAACAAGGGGGGAAGGUGGAGGGAGAAAGGCCGAUCAGGAUGGCUAGAGGGGUGGGAGGUGGCGGUAAGGGGGUGGGGGAUGUGGCUGGAGGGAAGCAGGGCCGAUGUUUGGGGGAACGACACGGAGGGCUGCUGUCCUGGGAAGGCGUGAAGCUUGACCGAGGGCACGCCUGGGUCCUGGACUUAGGAAGGGUAAUGGUGUUGCAGAGACAGGCACAGUUCUAAAGGAGCCCUCAGAGUGAGGCAGGAAGAUCGAGAGGCUGCGGCUCCAUGUGGAACUAAUCGGAGUCUCCGCAGGGCUGCGCGGGGGUGGGGGGUGGGGUGGGGGGGAUCCAGAGGAAGCUGAUACAGGGCCACGUUCUGAAGGGAGGCUGGACGCCACGGCUACCCUCUUGCUCACGUCACGGUAGCCAUUCCCAUGAUCCCGCGCUGCCGUGUGGGGAAGGAGUACAUGAGUUUAGUGGAGCCAUUAGGAGGUUCCUUCACUGCUCCAGGGGAGGGGUGAUGGCGAGGAGGUGGCCCAGCAUUUGUAACAGAUGCUGAAGAUAAAGCCGUCCUUGCUGAUGUCAAGCGUGAGGGGAAAAGGGGAUAGUCAAGGAUGACCGGGUGCUUUGCUCUGAAUAGGGGUGUCGUUUACUGAAGUGAGGAAUGGAGGCACGGGAGUCGGUAGCUCCUUGACGAUGCACAGGCUAGAGGUACACGUCUGAGGAUCAUCAGGAAGAAGUGACAUUUCGGACGACAGAGGGAGAGCCCUUGGCCCCAGGAUUGGUUCCCUGGGUCUAGAUGACUCUUGAGGACUUUUUGCUACAAAGGAAAGCAGAGAGAUGCGGAGGGUUGAAUUGUGUAUCUCCCGCCCCCCAAAAGAUGUUGAAGGGUUUUGAACUUUUUUUAAGGUUUAUUCAUUUUUAAGAGGCAGAGACAGAGUGCAAGCAGGAGAGGAACAGAGAGAGAGGGAGACACAGAAUCCGAAGCAGGCUCCAGGCUCUGAGCUGUCAGCACAGAGCCCGACGUGGGGCUUGAACCCACAAACCGUGAGAUCAUGAUCUGAGCUGAAGUCGGUCGCUCAACCGACUGAGCCACCCAGGCGCCCCCAAAAAUGUUGAAGUCUUAAGGUCCAGAACCCAUGGCUGUGACCUCUUUUGGAAAUAAGGUCUUUGGAGAUGAGGUCAUUAGGAUAGGCCCCAACCCAACCUGAUUGGUGUUGUUCUAAAAAAGAGGGUUUGGACCCAGAGACACAGAGGCGGACACCUACAGAGAGAAGAUGAAGUGAAGGGACACAGAGGGGUGACAGACAUCGACAAGGCAACGAGAAAGGCCUGGAAUGGAUUCUCCCUCCCAGCCCUUAGAGGGAACCCAACAGUGACACCUUGAUCUUGGACUUCUGGCCUCCAGAGCUGUGAGACAAUACGUUUCUGUGGUUCAGGUGGUCCAGUCUGUGGUCCUCUGUUAUAGCUGACGGUGGGAGGUAUAGCUGAGGUGGAUGUGGACUUUACUGCGGGUCUGUAACCAGGGGUGGGGGGAUGGAACGACAUGCCUGUAGGAGGAGGGGAACGAUCCGGGCUCGAGGGAAAAAUGGGGCAUGUGGGAGAGCGAAGGGGUGGCUCUCUGAAAAGACCAGGUUCUGUGCAUCUUGGGCCUUUGCACACGUGGCCCCCGGGCCUCACUGGAUGGGCCGCCCCUCCGAGGGACCCGGAACUGCCCCCCUGUGCUCCGGGCACCCUCACUGCUGCCCCAUCUCUGCACUUUCCACCCACUGCCCAGUGCUCUGGGAGGGACCAGGACUCGGGACGCUGAGCCUAACAGAGUCCGGCCACAGGAGGGGCUCUGCGAACACGCUUUCAGCAAAUGAAUGUGAAUCCUUCGGGAAUGUGUUUGUCCACAGGGCGCUGGUUUCAGAACUCAUUUUGGAAAUUGGUCCUGGCACGUCCCCGUCUCUCCAGACCAACGUUGAUUUUGUCCUGUGUUUACUCAAUGCUUUGGGGGGUUAUAAAUCUGGAGACAGCUCCACCAGGAACUUUUCACUGGGGCAGACCCUGUGAACUGUGUAACCUUGAGCAAGCUACUUAACCUCCAUGACCCUUGGUUUUUCCAUUAGUCAAAUGGGGCAAAGCACUGCCCUUUUUCUGCCUCACGGAUGUGGAUGUGGUGGCUCCAGCUAAGUUCUGAAGCAGAAGCUUGGGUGUGUGGAUGCAUCAGUCUUUGUGGGCCCUAAAUGAAAGGCACAAUCAGUGGGUUUCUCGGAGAAGAGCUGGUAUGUGUGCAUGUAAAGAGGGGGAAGGUUUAGUCACUCGGUCCUCUUUAUCCAGAGCUCUGAAGUUUUAAAAGUUUUCAAUAAAGAAAGUUGAAUGGUGGCAAAGUGCACAUAACGUUUACCCUCUUAACCGUUUCUGAGCGUGCGGUUCUGUGGGUUGAACUUCCUCACAUGAUUGUGCCAUUAUCACCCCCAUCCAGAAUUUUUUCAUCACCCGCAGCUGAAAGUCGGCACCCAUUGAAUAGUAAAUCUGCAUUCCUCCCCUUCCCCCUCAGCCCCUGGCAACCACAUUCAUACUUUCUGUGUUUACGCAUUUGCUUCCUCUAGGGGCCUUGCCUGAGUGGACUCACACGGCAUUUAUCCUUCUGAAACCGGCCUAUUUCACUUAGCGUAAUGUCCCCAAGUUCAUCUGGGUAGCCUGGGUCAGAAUUUUCCUCCUUUUUAAGGCUGAAUACUAUUCCAUCGUAUGGAUGUACCAUGGUUGGCUCACCCAUUCAUCCAUCGAUGGCCAUAUGGGUGCUUUCACCCCUUGGCUGAUAUGAAUUAGCCUUCAGAAAUCUGAGCUGUACGUUACGGCUUGACUUCUACGUACGUCUCAUUGUCCGUCCGUGGCUUCUUUAGUCUUCUUGUGUGAUUCAUCUCAGUGUGUCAGAAAGCCGGACUCAUCUGGGCUCUUCUGCACUAUGCUUUUAACUUUUUUUUUUUUUUUUUUUUUUUACAUUUCCAUGAGGCCUUUUUGAGAGAAUUAAACAUUAGAUAAUUUAAGGUAUUAUGGUUUUGGAGUUAAGGCCACUUUGGUGCAUUCCCCCCCCCCCCCCCCCCCCCGGAGGAUCAUCUGUUUUAUCUCCACUUGACUUUUUCAAAAUGCUGGAACUGUCUUUUGAUUGAACUUGAAGCUUUUUUUUUUUUUUCCUUGACAUUUAUACUACCGAAGGUGGAGAAAUAAGACCUUUGCUUAUUAACAAAAUGAAUGCGUCUCUUUCCCCCAUGGGAAAUUGAAAACAAUUUAGAGAAUAGAGUAAACUUCAGAUUUUCCUGUGAUGUGAAUUUGGGUGACCUUUCCUUGAGGGAAGAUUUAAGGGGGAUCUAGCUGGGCUUGACAGUGAUGGAGCCAGGUGCCUCCGGAUUUCACCUUUGCUCGCCGUUGUUCUUUCCAACUGGAAGCACCUCCCCCCCGCCCACUCGUCUGGGCUCUUCCGGCAUCAGCAGAGAGAGCACAGCUGAGGCCCAGAGAGGUUCAGUGUAUUCGCAAAGGUCACCCGGGGAGCUGGCGACCAAGGGAAAGCAGGGCUCAACCCAGGGGCCCUCAUGAUGCAGCAGUGGACCCCUGCUCCAGACAGUAAAUUCUCAGAGGCAGUGGUGGUUUAUUGUUUGGUAUCUUCUUUCUUCCUUUUCACUCGUAUAUGCCAGAUGUGCUUGGGGAAAUUCCCCGUUAGACUAGCGCAUAGUUAGCACCUCCUUUGUCUGACCGUGUCACAUGUUCCCCCUCUGGAGACGGAGGGGGCCCGGAGUUUCCAGCCAGCUUGAUCUAGAGCCAUGGGCUGUGGCGCGGUGUUGGUGGCCGGUGCUGGAGAGGCCUGCCUGCCUUGUGCCCGUCCUUGCCCGGGAGUGGGAAGUAGAGGAUAAACAAAGCAAAGACGCCGUGUUGGAAAUAGGACUGCAGAGCUGAGAAGACGCUGAGAAGAGUGGCCUUGGGCCAGCUCCUACUCUCUCUAGGUAGGCCAGGAAUGCUGGGCCCAGAGCAAGGGGACAAAGCAGUGGAAAGAAGGAAAAAGAACCGUCCAGGACCAGGGCACCCUCCUACCUGGUCUAGUUAGCGAAGCAAAAGGAUGCUCCCUAGCCCCAGAUAAAAGCGGAUCAGAACUCAGAAACACUUGUGACUAAAAUUUGUGCUUCUUUGGGCAAGCAUCUCCAAAACCAAAUCUCCUAUCCUCCUCAGCAUCCCUUUUCUUGGGUGCGAAAGCAACUCAGAGGACCCUUAAGAGAACGGGUUUGUUUAAGCACGUCACAGGGCGUGAGCAGGGCUGAGGUAGAACGCCCCCUUUUCCCAGCUGGGUGCCGAAUGUACUGUUUGGCACCAGGGAUUAGUUUCCCAGUUUGAGCAGAAGAUCAGAUCCUGACAGAGGACAGAAGGUCAAAGGUCACACCGGUCAGGGAGGGAGGAAAACAAAACAAAAACAGGAAGUGGCCCGCUCAGGGAUUUUCCAUGGGAAGGCUGGAAAACAUAUCCGGACUUAAAGAAAAAAAGGAAGACAACGGGGCACCUCCGAAUCUUCUGGAAGCCUCUUGAGAUGUUGUUGGAACCGUUGUCAGUAGGAGCCAGCUUGAUGGAAGCAUGGAAGGGGACCAGGACACCCGGUGGGAGCCCGAGUCCUGGACGCACAUUGGCUCAUCACCGGAUCUUUCAUUGCCUCCGUCCUCCUUUUGGAAGGAGAGUUUUCACCUCUUGUAUCCCUUGGAGAGGUGUGUUCAUGUGUGUCCUAAUGUUGAGGCAUGAAAAGGGGUCUAUAACCCAGAAAACAUCCCCACCUCUAAGCAAGCGUCCGCAAGGGGUGUUUCUGAUGUAUAUGGGCAUGUAGUCUUUACAGCGAAUGUCAUAUUAAUGGAAAAACACCUGCCUCUCACUUUUAGGACUAACUGACUCAGUCCUUUUGCUACCAAAAUUCGCAAAGGUCAAGGCCAGAGAGGGGGCUGGGCAAGGCUGAGGGAGGCUGUCCUGCCAUCUUCUCUCAGUUUCAGUUCUGCCCCUCCCUCUCUGUCCUAAUCAGGACAGGGACAGACGCCCCGAGAGAACCAGUCUGUCCUCUCCCUCCUCGGCUCUGCCUUCUCAGCAUGGGUCAGGGGCCGUCGGGCAGGAGAGUGACAGGUCCUGCAUGGAGGUCCAACAGAGGAAAGAUCACCUGUUGUACGAGAGCAGGGGACAAAUAUCCUGGAUCCCAAUCCUAUGCUCUGUGCAGUGGCCACCCCCUCCCUCACAGGGCCUGACUCAGUGGGUGCUGUGCUCAGCCCUGCUUCCCGAUUUGAAUCGAGGAGUCUCCUUGCCAACAACUGAAAGGGGGGAAAACAAUCUCCAGUCCUCCGUGGCCGUGCUCUGUCUUGAGAUCAUGUUUCAGUUCCUAGUUAAUCAAGGAAUCAGAAUUUGAUGUAAAAAGAGAAGAAUAUGCCAGUGUGUUUCUAACGCCCCACAUGGAAAUGAGCCCGUAAAGUAUAUCGCAGGCAGCCACCGGAGGUCAAAGGUCACCCUCCACGUCUGACAAUUAUUUUGCUCAAAAUAAACGGUGAGCAGGACUGCAGGAAAUGAGUUGCGGCAACCUCAAUUCAUGUGUGAAAGUUUCCAAUUAAGAAUUCAAAGAACUUGUUGUUUAAUGAAAAAGUGAAACAAAUUCUCUUUAUGUGUUUCCCCACUUCCUUGGUGGUCCCUGGCAAAGAGCCGGGUCCGCAGGAAUAUGGCCGUCUUUCAGUUCACCUGAUAAAAGAGGGAGCUUGGCAAGUGAUUAUAUGACCAGAAGCGAAACGUGAAGUAAGGGGAAGGUAGUUGAUCAGACCCUCUGGCUUGGGGUUGGCAAAGCACCGCCUAGGCCAAAUACGGCCCACAGCUUAUUUUUGUCAAUAAAGUUUUAUUGGAACACAGCCAUGCCCAUUUGUUCCUGUAUUAUCUGUGACUGCUUUUGCAGUACAGGGGACAUGGGAGCUGUAUGAGGGAGCUGAAUAAUUGGGACAGAGAGACCAUAUGGCCUGCAAAGCCAAAGCAUUUGCUUUCUGUAAAAUUUCUGUACAGAAAGUUUGCCAACCCACCGUCUAGUUCAUUGGUUCUUAAUUUUUGUUGUGCAGUGAGAUCCCUUUGAAACUGUGACGAAAACUUUAUACGCACCCCCUUAUAGAAAAAUGUAUGACCUCUUUGUUAAGAAUGCCUACAUGUAACUCUAACUAGACCCUUCUCCAGAGCCUGGGAUCAAGGUAGUCCAUUCUGGACCCCUCACAGGAGGAGUUUCUGAAGGUACGAAGGACACCUUCUGCUACUAUCCACCUCCACCCACGUGCUGGUCCCAGUUGUGAUAAAGCAUGAAGAACCUCAGAGUGCAGGUCAGGGGACACAAGUUCUCUUCUGGGCUCCGUCACCCUUAAGCUGUGUGACCUUGGGCAAGUCACUUCACUUUCUCUGUGCCUUGGUUCCCUCAUGUGUCAAAUGCGAGGUCCAGAAGAGAUACUUAAGAAAAAAAAUUGUUUUAAUUGAGGUAUAAUUGACAUGUAACAUUGUAUUGGUUUCAGGCCUACAACAUAACAAUUUGAUAUUUGUGUAUCUUGUAAAAUGGUCAACACAGUAAGUCUAGUUAACAUCUGUUACCACCCAGCGUUAAUUUUUAGAUUUACGCCCUUGGUAACUUACAGGUCACCAUGUUGUCUCUUGUACCCCAUGACUUGCCUAUUUCAUAACUGGGCGUUUGUACCUCUUGACCCCCUUCAUCUUUCCACCCACCCCUCUGGCAGCCCCUUCCUCCUCUGGCAAUCACAAUUCUGUUCUCUGUAUUUAUGAUUUUCAUUUUGUUUUGUUGGUUCCCUUGUUUUACUUUUUAGAUUUUGUGUCCAAGUGAUAUCAUACAGUAUGUGUCUUUCUCUGUCUGACUUAUUUCACUUAACGUAAUGCCCUCAAGAUCCAUCUGUGUUGUCACAAAUGGUAAGAUCUUAUUUUUUAUGGCCAAGUAAUAUUCUGUCGUGUGUGUAUCUAUCUAUCUAUCUACCUAUUAUCUUCUUUAUCCCUUUAUCCAUCAAUGGACACUUAGAUUGUUUCUAGAACAGAUGAUCUGCUUAAAGCUCUUUCUGGUUUUAGAUUUCCAUGCUCUUCAAGGGUCUCCUGGAAUUUAUUUCUGGAGCUGAGUAGAUAAGGUGUUGUGAUUCAUAUACUUUCAAAACAUCUGAAAUCCCUUGGCAACAUAGACCUGUCUGGGUGGCACUGAAAUCUGGGAUUUGAUGACCACACUGGAUAUUUGGCACCUGCGGGAGAAGACCCUCACAUGCCCCGGCCUCCACCCAACCCUGGCCAGCUAUCCUGAUAAAUCGAGUACACACAGGGGCCGCUCAAAAAAGCACAGGUGGACCCAGUUCAGCCCAUCAGAACUCAGGGGAAACAAGGUAGAACCCAAGGCCUCUUUUUUUUUUUGUUUUUAAAGUUUAUUUAUUUAUUUUGAAAGAGAGAGAGUGAAGGAGCACGAGCGGGGUAGGGGCAGAGAGAGAGAGUCCCAAGCAGGCUCCACACUGUUAGCACAGAGCUCCCGGUGCGGGGCUGGAACUCACAAACCAGGAGAUCACGACGAGCUGAAAUCCAGAGUCGGAUGCUUAACCGACGGAGCCACCCAAGCUCCUGGAACCCAAGGCCUCCUGGUAGAAUGAUCCGCAAUAACACCUUCUACCAGAAUGAACACAUGCAGCUUCUCUGGGACAGAUACUGCCUGCCAGGAAGACAGGUUUUGCAUUUGGGUCGCUUUGGGUUUGAAAAGGAAAAUAAAUACAUAUUUUCACUGAUCCUAAAAAUACUUCACAUUGCUUGUAGAUAAUUUUAAGAAAUACAGAACAUGUGAAAAAAAGGUAAAACGUUACGCUGAAAUCCACCUCUGCAGAGACGAGCAUUGCUAACAACUUGAUAAACCUCCCAGGUGUCUUUUAUGCAUGCGUACCAUCAACACACAGUCACAUAAAUGGGCUGUACGUGUUUUGUCUUCUACGUGUCAUUUGCCAAAGUGAUCUGUGCUGAUAUUGUUCUGUGGCGUUGGAGGUAGAGUUCCAACAUUAUUUGUAACGGCCGCACGGUAUUUCAUUGGACGUACUAUAAUGCACGGGCUCAUUCACGUCUAGGUUUUUCCGGUUUGUGUGCGUGCAUGCUCUCUUCGUACUUAGAUCUUGUGCGUUUUGCUGCUUGUUCAGCUGAGGAGCAAUUCCUCAUCUUGAAAUUCGGGAGUCAAAGGCCGCUCCUUAAUAACUGGAACGCACAGGGUGAAACUGCCUCCAGAAGAUGUGUAGCACUCUGUGUCCACCAGCACGGAGGAGAGCCAUCCGUGUCCACUCUCUGGCCAACACUGACUGUUGCCGUUGUGGAUAUUUAGGGUCUUGGCCAAUGUGAUAGGUUAAAAGUGAUCUUGUCGCGUAGCUUUGCAUUUCCGACAUCGUUUUGGUUUUGAAUGGCACUGUCUGUGAUUAAGCAGAGGUGAAGGUAAUGACUUCAUAUCGGGUUCUGAGCCUGGCGUGAGAGCAGACGUAUAUCAUUCAGAGGAGCCCGGAGCCCGCACCGAAGAGCUCGAUGCUCUUCGAGGCCCAUAAUCCUUCACUGACUUACUUAAUCACAGGCUCACUUGCGGCUACUUUUGGGCACCUGCCUAGAAGGCCACAGGGUUCUGGUCAUGAAGGGGCCUGGAUGACAGGGAGGACAUCCGUGCCAUAAUUUUGAGGCUCUUUGCAGGCAGAGAGCUGGCCCCCUGUGUCCCGCUUGUGGCUCCGCUCGAUGCCAUGUCCACUGACGGCAUCUCCCUUGGUCUGAACGGAUCUUCCCACCUCUCUCCCGAGAUUGGCUUUAGCUAAUACAACCAAGAAAUCCUCCGGAAGAGUCAGAAAUGCCUGGGGCUGCCUGUGACAUAGUGCAAAGGGUGGAUCGGAGAGUGGAGGGCAGCCACCAGGGACGAUGGUGGAGAAGCCGAGUGCGUGGAGCGGCAGGUCUGUCCCGCAGCCUCCGCUGUGGCCUCAGGCCAAGAUGGGCGGCUGGGGCAGAAGGGGGCUGCGGCAGGGAGCCCUUCCUUCUAGGUCUGGUGCUCAGUGGUUUCCUGCUCUGCUGAAGGGCCGUUGCUCGGUGGUGAUGAUUCAUGGCAUUUGGACACUGUGGCCGUGUUCUGAACAGGGAAGUGAAAAAUAACCCAGCCGAGGGCAGUGCAGGGCAGGGCAGGGGCUGUCACAAGAUGGGAAGCUUUCCUUUGGAAAAUGCAGGGGGCGGGGGCGUCACAGCCAAGUUGGUGGCGGCGGUUCACGCCGCGUGAGUGUGGCCCCGUUUGCUCUUCUUCUGGGCAUCAACUUUUCCAAGUGUCGGCCACUAAGUUGUCCCUCGGAAGUGGCUGCUGGUCUUGGCCGAGCCGCCGUGAGGAGGAGGAAGUGGACGGGUGAUUCAGUGAGUGUCAGCUUCCUCUGUGACUUGGGAUUGGAUCCGUUUCCUAGGGUGGUGCCGGAGGGCCUGUGUGGCUUUGAAAUUCUCUGCCACUGGCGGCGGCCCUCCCUUGACCCCUUUUGAACGAGUAAGGGGAUUCAGCUGGAUUCUGCAGCCUCCCCCCAAGUUGGGCAGGCCCUUCUGACUUGAGGCCUGCCUGUGGCUCCGGCCGACAACGAUCAGUGACGGGCCGAGCUGAGGCCUCUGCUGGGUCUGUGUGCGUGUCAGGAGCUGCCUCGUAUUUGGGAACUGGAUUGCGAGAGCAGCUGGGAUCUGAGGGCCCCAGUCCGGGCAGGUGUUAGACUGAGGGAGGAGGCAGUUCAACUGCCCGGAGCCACCAGCUCUCCUGGAGGCCAUUUGUCCACGUAGCCAGUGGACGACAGGAGACGGCCAGAUGCACAGCUGCUUCCUGCCCACGAGGAGAGUCAUGACUGGCUUUUUCUUCCGGAGCACCGAGUUUUCCAUGGCUCUGUCGUUAGCGCGCAGCCUACGCGGCCAUUGCUGCCCUCGCCUGAAACCUGUUCUAAGAAGCACUUCAAUCAUCCAGAUCCUCGCCUCUGCCUAAGAGUCCGUAGUCCUAAAAGCACUGACUUGGUAAAGACUGAAAGACCCUCUCAAAAAAUGCUGCAGGGGCUUCUGUAUUCGAAUGCCUUCCAUCACCUUGGAGAACAGCCUCCGCUUCCGGGUCAGUUCUGUCCCACCUCUUCCCCCCUCCGUCCCCUCCUGUUUCUGUGGCCAGAACAGAGGUCAGCUGGUCUUACUCAGGCAGGAUGGCCAGCAUCCAGUCACUGGGGUAUUUAAUGAGGACUCUAGUAUUAGUCACACGCACAGAAGUGCAGCUCAAACCAGUCGGGGCUUCCAGAAAGGAGCUCUGUGUGACAACUGUACAGGGGGGGAGGGGCCCCGAGGCACUUGCAGCUGGGACCUGACCCUGCUGGGUGCUCUGUCCUUUCUCUCACAUCAUCUUCCAGCAAAACAGUGAUUUUGAUCUCUUUGAUAAGCUUUCUCCACACGGAAUGUGCACGAUUGCAGUUUGCUUAUCACACCUCACAGCAUCACUGCCAGAGAGGGGCUGAGAGUUCCAAAGUUCCAGAGAGAGGCCUCGAUGGCCUUCCCUGGGGUCAGAUGACCAUCACUGACUCAAUCACUGUGGCCAGGGAAGGAUCUCUGAGCACAUGGCUUUUCGCAUUUGGACCCUAUGAUUAGCGCUGCGCUAAGCAGGGGAGGCAGUAUUUUCCAGAAGGAGGGGCUCCUGUCCCGGGCAGACAAACAAUGGGCCCACUCCCCCGGUGUUCUGAGCUCUUCCUCACCCCCAGGCUGAGGACUCAGGCCCUCACUGCCUCCCCUCCGCCUCUCCCGGGCCAGGGGGUCCCCUCAGAACCCACUGUUUUAUUGCUUAAAAAUCCAUAAGAGAUGGGGGUUUUCUCAGCUAAGUUUUUUGCGGGGGGGCGGAAUACACGUCUGGGGCGGGAGCUGUACGAUUUUCUGAGGAGACGGCCUCGGAGGAUCUAAGCAACGAGUGAAGGAACAACAAAGGGACCCUUCUCAGAAGCAUGGCAAAAAUGAAACCAAAUAAAAACCCCAUAAAAAUCCCUACUGGGGCAGAGGAAAUACCAGCGUGAUGCUUUUGAGCCACAUCUUCAGUAAUAAAGGAAAGAUUCAAGGAUCGGCCGUUCUGACGGGAUUAUGUUUGGGCUUGAGGGAGAAUGUGCUGGAAAACAAUGAAAGGGAGUCAUCCAAGCAAGGGAGGUCUGUUGGUGCGUGCAUUUGUAUGUGUGUUGUUGCAAUUCAGGAACUGACCGAUGACCAGGGUCAUGGGGAGUCUGAGAGAGACACCCGACAGGAACCGGUUCAAAGUUUGUGCCCAGCCUGGGGAGAUCAGAUGACCGGCAGCUGGCCUGCCCCCUGCCGGCUCCCAUUGAUGUCGGAGGGGCUCUGACCCCCGUUUGGUCACAGAAAUACCCGUUUGGAAAUCUCUUUGAAGGCUGAUUAAGUAAACGCUCUCGCGGCACCGACAGUAACAACCGAGUGACGUAGUCGAAGUGCUCGUGGUAAGUGGAGGAAUCUCUGGCUGCCAAGCUGACAGGCAACUCGCCUUUCUGUUCCUCUAACUUGGCCUCCCUGCUUCCGGUCGCAGUGUCGGGCACAGUGUUUCGAGGGGACGGGGCUGAGGAUGUGGAGACUCUCACUGUCAUCGCGCGGGUGGGACAGGGCCCCAGGGACGGAGCGUGGUCCUGCCGCACAGCAGCUGGCCGCGGCCAGUGACCGGUAGUCCUCCCGGCACGGCUAACCUUUGAUGUUGCUCGUGGGGUCCUUCCAUCUGGUUUGUGGCCUCAGGCUGCUGUGACCCCCAGCGGGGGUGUCUCCCCGGGCCUCCCGGGGCCCGGCAGGGUGAGCGUGAAGGAAAAGUCUGGUUUUCAUCCGGGAGCGUGGAGCCCCUCUCUGCGUGACGGCUCUGCUCGCGGCCUGGCCAACUGGACGAGAGCUGCCGGACGGGGGAGUGGGGGCCCCUUCGUCACUUUACUGCCCUCGUUAUCUUGGAGACCCCGUUGUCGUUGGGGGUGGGGGGGGAGCGGGCUGCCAGCCCUGGACCCAGCUAUGCCUCCGUACCCGGCAGUGUUGACGUCCGUUCAUUCACUUCAUCCGUCACGGAUCCAUCCACUUACCCAUUCAUCCGGGGCUGUCGUUCAGUCAUUCGGUGACUAUGUGACCAGGUCUCCUUAUCUUUUAUCUUUGCUGCCUGGCACAGGGCCAAGCUUGUAGGAGGGACUCCACACACGUUCGCUGACUUCUCUUCCUGCUUCACCUCUGUUAUGGUUCACGGUCUACGUUCACGUCCAUGAUGUUGAAGUGCUAAUCCCCAGGACCCUGGAAUGUGACUGUGUUUGGAGAUAGGGUCUUUAAAGGGGUAGUUACGUUAAAAUGAGGUCAUUUUAAGUGAAAAUGAGGCCCUGAAGCAAUCCUUUUAAAAAAAAUUUCUUUUAAUGUUUAUUUUUGAGAAAGAGAGAGACAGAGCAUGAGCAGGGGAGGGGCAGAGAGAGGGGAAGACACAGAAUCCGAAGCGGGCUCCAGGCUCUGAGCUGUCAGCACAGAGCCCAACGUGGGGCUCAAACUCGUGAACCGAGAGAUCAUGACCUGAGCCGAAGUCGGACGCUCAACUGACUGAGCCACCCAGGCACCCCCAAACCAAUCCUUAUAGGAAGAGGAGUUCGCAACCCAGGCACAUACAAGGGGAAGAUGAUGUGAAGACACAGGGGGGAAGACAGCCAUCGACAAGCCAAGGAGAGAAGCCUGGGACCGAUCCUUCGUCCAAGAAGGAGCCAACCCUGUCGACACCUUGGUCUUGCACUUCCAGCCUCCAGAGCUGUGGGGAAAUAAAUUUCUGUUGUUUAAGCUGUCCCAGUUUAUGGUGCUUUUUUAUGGCCACCCUAGCCGACUAACACAGCCUCUCCACAGGUCUGUAGAGCACGUAACCAAGUGCAAGGUGCUGUGGGACAUCCAGAGACAAAGUUGAGAAGUCUGGGAAAGAGGAACAGCGAGGGGGGGCCGUCCUCUGUUCACAUUUUCUUCCCCCAAAUCCCGCUCUCCUCCACCUCUCCUUACCUCUAUCUAUCCCCAACAGAAGGGGAAACAGGAGGAAAUGAAAUAAAGGGCUCCGCAUGAGAUGCCAUCCUGCAGAAGGUCUGGCAACGCGUGAAAGCCCUUUAAUGUAGAGUCAGAAACGCCAUUUAGUUCUUUAUUUAUUUCUGCCCGCCUCUCUUCCCCGACAAGUUCUUAUUCAGCACACGUAUGUGUAUGCACAUGACCAGAAGGUACGCAUGAUAGCCGUGUGUGCCCGGGGGAAGACCGCGAAGAUGAUCCACAGCUUUUGGGGACACACACGAUUGUACAGCUGGCAGCACGUUCCCCAGUCCCAGCUUUAUGGUGCCUGGUAGCCGGGAAGGGCCACAGCCAGCUCUCUCUCGGGACCAUGCAUUCCCUCACUCGUUGCCCUUUGUGAUUAAAGAUGACGCUUAUGUGAUGUUUCUCUACAACUGUUACCGAGAGGUUGUCCUUUGAAUUAAGGCCCUGGACAGUGGCUAUGGGCUGUGAUCUCUUUGCAGGAAUCAUGAGGUCGUUUCACUGUGGAGUAAUCUUGGGAUCUCUGGGAACAUUUCUGAGCCUUCUGAUCUGCUGGGCCUAUUGAGAAGCCAGGUCCAUUUGAAAAUUUGCACAGUAUGGAAGUCUCGAUGUUUUUAAAAUUUAUUUUACUUUUUAUAUUAUUUGAGAGAUGGGGAGGGUAGAGAGAGAAAAUAUUCAGCAUGUCCCUAGGAUCAUGACCUGAGUCAAAAUCAAAACCAAGAGUCGGACAGUCAACCAAUUGAGCCACUCAGGUGUCCCACCAUUUUUCAAUCACACAUUUUUUUUUAAUGUUUUUCUUUUUUAUUUUUGAGAGAGAGAGAGAGAGAGAGAAAGAGAGAGAGAGACAGAGUGCAAGUGGGGAAGGGGCAGAGAGACAGAGACACAGAAUCUGAAGCAGGUUCCAGGCUCUGAGCUGUCGGCACAGAGCCUGACGCGGGGCUUGAACUCACAGACCGUGAGAUCAUGACCUGGGCUGAAGUCGGCCGCUUAAUCGACUGAGCCACCCAGGCGCCCCAAUCAAAGACAUUUUUACUACACAAACUCAGUAACAAUCCUGUUCCCCUCUGGGGUCCUUGUGCAAUCCUAGUUUAGCUCGUUGAUUUUAAAGGGAACGGGGAUUCCAGGAGCUCCUAUUGGCCAACCGGUCCCAUGUUGCAGAGUACUGGGUCCCUAAAGGACUUUGGCAAAGAUAUCACCGCCAGUGUGGUUGCGAUCAGCUUCUGUGUGCAUGUCCAGGAGUGAGAUUUCCACAUCAUGGUCACUCAUACUGAUUGGCAUUUCUGAAGUGUGGUGGCAUUUCUUCAUUUAACGUUGAUGUUGACACAAGCAUCCUAUCUUUUCUACAUACACGCAAAUGAACAUGCUCCCUGGAUGGUUUGAGGGCUCGUCCGGCAAAGCCACCACGUGCAGGGCCACUCCCUGUCUCACUUCCUCUUGAGUGCCUUCCUUGGUUGGACAUUCAUUCCUCCCCUCUUCUCCACCCCAUAAGACCUGAGGUGUGCCCAUCUCUGGAGAUUAUCUGCAUUUUAAAAUGAAUGACCCCCUCCCUCCCCCCCGGGGUGCCUGGGUGACUCAGUCUUUUGGGCAUCUGACUUCAGCUCAGGUCAUGAUCUCACAGUUUGUGAGUUCCAGCCCCAUGUUAGGCUCUGUGCUGACAGCUCAGAGCCUGGAGCCUGCUUCAGGUUCGGUGUCUCCCUCUCUCUCUGCCCCUCCCCUGCUCGCACUCUGUCUCUCUCUCUCUGUCUCUCAAAAAUAAAUAAACAUUAAAAAAAAUUAAAAUGAAUGACCCCUGAACACAUAAGCUUUCCAAACUCCAAGGAAUUUUCUUUCAAUGCUUAAAUGGAGCCAAGAGUUGCUACCUGGACUGGUUGGGCAGAUGGGUCUACUUUGCUUUACUCAAGUAACCAAGCCAGUGGUUGGCCUGGCUCUAAGUCCAGCGGGUACCCCUUUCCUUGGUAUGUGUUUUGUGUGAUGCGGAUGACCCUCCAGCCAAGGCCAGAGUGUGACUUAAGGGUGUGUGAUUAUGGGUCUACUGCAAGGUGGAGGCUGAGUCGGGCCCUCGGUGCUAUCUCUCUGCCACUUCCUCCUAGCCCCAGAACUAUAUUUACUAUCUAGCAGAUAAAAAAAGACAGCUCCAUGUGCUCUCAGACCCCAUGCCCUCUCCUCCCCGGCUUCGAUUUCGUAAAUGGUGGUUCCUCCAGAGAAGCGACCGGAGCCCGUAACCGUGUGUGUGCUUUUCAAUAACCUUAUGACUCCCAGCGUGGUCCAGCCAAUGAGGACGGAGCAGUGACCCUUAGAUAAAAGGCUUCAUUUGGCAUGACUCAUCCUUGGAGACAUCCCGCUUGCUUGGCCUGUGUUGUUAAGUGCCUGGUUUUGUAAAUAUUGACAGUUAGAAACCAUCCUAGGAACUACUGAGCGGUGAUCUGGAAGGUAAUGUAUAUGAAUAUGACCAGUGAUUAGGCAAUGCUUGUCAUUUGCUAAGAUUCAGCCACUGAUAAAUAUCACCCCAUUAUCUUCCUUCCUAAUAGCGGCUCGUUUGCUUGCGUGUGACUCAUCGUUGAUAUAUUAUGAGGUCUGAUUCAGCAAGGAAAGUUUGGUCUGCUGCGACAGAGGACAACAUCCAAGGCCACCUCGGUUUUUAGGAUACUAGUUUCUUAACAAGGGUGGCUUGUUAGGAAGCGAAAGUUCAAAAGUCCCCAUCACUAAGAAACUAAAGGGGGUUUGGGAGGGAUAAAGAGCAGAACAGUGCUUUUCACCAUUCAAAGCUGAUGUGCUAAAACCUACUUCUCCAUGUAGAUGUACGUUCGUUGCAUUCACCCGUGGACGCCUGUGGCUCCACGAGGCCGUCUCUCUCUGUUCAAGGCUACACUUUGGGGCUCGUCGGGCCUGCUCUCAGACGAAUAAUUUCUGCUCACACAGAAACUGGUUUUUAUCUCUUGCCCUCCCUUUGUCACUACCUAAAAUAAAUAUCGUCACCUGAAUGUCUGUCGAUGCUUUCUGAUGGGUUUGGCUGUUUGGUUUAUUGAACUUUAUCACCUGCAGGAACUUCCCUCUUUGACUCACAGCCCUUUGGAAUGGCCCUUGUUUAUUUCCUUCAUUUGCUCUGGGCUGAGGGUCUGUCCUGCCAAACCAGGGAUGAGCUUUUCAGUAGUUGGGCUUUGAACAUGGGCCUUUGGCAGACUGGUAUGCCAGAUAAAAGCACUACCCUUGGCUGAAGGCAGGUGUGUAUGCACAUGUGUAUACACACACACACACACACACACACACAGAGCUGCGUCCCUCUGUAUCACCACUUAACACUUACUAUGCCGUCCUGUAAUGAGAGCUGAGCUCCGCCUGGGCUGACCACAUCAACACUGCGAAGGAAGCAUGCAUCACCUUGAUGUAAGCCACCUCUUGACCACUCGCUGGCUGUGUGACUUUGUGUGAGUUACUUAACUGCUCUGAGCCUCAGAUUCCUUACUUGUAAAUUGAGGAUAAUAAUACCUACCCUUCAGGGCUAGCGAGAGAUAACGUAUUUAACCCACACGGAUCAUAAAAACCGUUCAGUCGCCGGUCGCUGUUAUCGUCUUUAGUACCAAACCACGGUGAAAACUUGUUGGCAACAAUUUUGGGGUGUUAUGGGUUCGACUGUUAAGGGUCGACUGUAGCUCUGAGGCUUUAUACACAUCGUAUCAGCCCUUCAGGAGCUGGAGGCUCGGGAGUCCUGCCGGCCGGCGUUAGAAGCAGGCAUCUCCGGCCAUCACUUGCGUCAGCUUUCAGGGACACUGGAGGUCACGACUGUGUGUGUGGUUAGCAGAGGCUGGCAACUUGCUGUGUCAGGAGGACACUAGGGCACCCGCCUCACCUUUGCCCCCAUCACACAAGCACAGGCUGGUCUGUGUGCCGUUGGCCAAACAGCUUCACAAAGUCCUUGCUUAACCACUUGGCACUGGCUGAAUGUUCUGUCCUUUUGUUCAGGUAGCUGACGCACCUGCCGAGUUGCAGGGCAGUGUUCCGGAACCUGCCGAUAGUCCAUAUUUUUAAUUUUUUUUUUUAACGUUUUUAUUUAUUUUUGAGACAGAGACAGAGCAUGAACGGGGGAGGGGCAGAGAGAGAGGGAGACACAGAAUCGGAAACAGGCUCCAGGCUCUGAGCCGUCAGCCCAGAGCCCGACGCGGGGCUCGAACCCACGGACCGUGAGAUCGUGACCUGGCUGAAGUCGGACGCUCAACCGACUGCGCCACCCAGGCGCCCCGAUAGUCCAUAUUUUUAACGGAAUGUCGAUGGAUGAGCGAUAGGAGUCCAGUCUGUGGGGAUCUGUGGGGGCGGGGAUGGGAGCGGAGGGGGAACUAGGGUGCUUGAAUAGUGGGAAGGAAGUUCAGGUUGACAGUCAUUCCGCUCGGUCCUGGUGAUCAGAAGGAAACAGACUGCUCGAGCAGGAGUUCCUCCUCCAAGGGCCCUCCCUGUGGCCCCAAGCCCCCUCUCCCAGGGAGACGCUUUACACGGGGCAACGAGACGGAAAAUUCUGCCCUCACGGGACUGCAUUAUUAACUGCGUAUCUGUGGCAUCAGGGCCAUAUGGCAUGUUUGAAGGAAUGGAGAGGAAUUCAGUAGCGCAACAUGCAGACCCCGAAGGAGAGAGAAUUCUCCUGCAGUGGCCACAAAGGAGGAAGGUGUGCUUCGUGGAGAAAAGGUCCUUGCCGUGACUGUGAAAGGCCAGCACACUUACACUUAAUAAAUGAGCGCUUCCCGGCACAAACACUUCCCGACGGUGAGAGAGGCCCUCGGCGGCCCGCCCAGGAAAGGCCCCCGUGGCACGAAUCCCUGAAUGUCCCAGGAGGUUGGACUGUGCUUCCCUGAGAGCCCAGAGAUCACCCAGCAGGGCUGGGGUCAGUGGUGUCCCCAGAGGGAGCACAUGUGAGGCUCCGAGGCAGGUAGGCCAGCUUUGGCUGCCCGGAGAUGAGAGCUCAUCCCUCCCUUAGGGGUCUCUGCACGGUAAGCCAGCAGGGGAGCAAGUGUCCCCUCUCAGUGGCGACCAGUGGAGGCAGAGGCUAGAGGGAGGCAAGGCUGUAAAGGCACCCACUGUGACCAACUUGGAGGAUAUGCAUGGGUUGCCCUCUAUUGGAUACAUCUGCUUCAAGAUACCCUAAAUCCUUCAGGUCUAGGAUUCUCUUCCAUGGUGCCCCAAAGAGUCAACAUAGCCUCAAGCUCGUUUCCACCUCCGUGAGUACUGAACGAGAUGAUGCUGUAUGAGACACGUGCUACGGUAUCUGGCACAUGGGGUGUGUUUAAUACAUGUCCCCUCGUGUCGUUACCGCCACAUCAUUACGUCAGACUCCUGGUGCGCGUUUGCACUUUAGAGGUCGGCCUUCCGACCAGCUUCCCCUCCAGCAACCAUGCCCCCACCCCAUCUUCCUCCCCCCCAAGAGAGUUUGGGCUCCUUUUUGCUUUCUUUGUGUUCUGAACAAAUGAAUUCCUCUUAUUCAUUCACUUGCUUAUUCAUCAGUCCUCUGAACACUUCUGCCAAAGAUUUACUGUGUGCUGGGCCAGCUGUCUUGCUGAAGUGCUGUUACCUGCUUAUGACACUCCCAUACACAGCACCCCCAUAUAUACAAAUGCAAUGCUCUUUUUUCAGGUUCCAGGUCUAAUUACUGAAUAGAGAUGUGUGAUCUCACUCGCUUUUUUUGUAUGUGUACUUUUCCAUCACCAACGUGUUUCUCGUGGGAACUUCAUGCCUGCAGAGAGCAUUUGGAGGCUCUGGUUUAGAGAAUGUGGACUGUUCUAAGGACCUCUGAGGCCCUUGCUGUCCAGAUCAGAGGAGAGGAGGAGGGAGCCACCAUGGUCGGGUGGGAGAGAAUCAGGCCCGUUACGUACCUCGGGCCUGCUCCCUACCGGACUCCACUUGGAACCACUUUCCAUUCUGUGAGGUCUGGGACAGAUUUCUCCUUUAUAAGAGCUGGCGGGGCAGAGACAGACAGAGUCAGGUCAUUCUGGAAACCAAGUCAUCUUGCUGAGGCCAUAUGGCAAUGAAGAGCCACAUAGAGAUCUGUCCACUCCACCAGCACUUCCUGUGUGGCCACCCACAGGACCCUGCCUGGAGCGUUGGUGCUGCCUGUGUUGAAAAAAUGUGCACAGAAACAGUUUAAAGGGGAAACAAAGAUAUUGCAGGCUCAGGCUACCAAUGCUUACUUAUCUUUGGAACCCUUGUUCUAGAGAGUUCUGUCAUAACAUGAGGGCAGCUGUUGCUCUCUGGAAUGAGUAGAGGAAGAACAGCUCCCAAUUGUNNNNNNNNNNNNNNNNNNNNNNNNNNNNNNNNNNNNNNNNNNNNNNNNNNNNNNNNNNNNNNNNNNNNNNNNNNNNNNNNNNNNNNNNNNNNNNNNNNNNNNNNNNNNNNNNNNNNNNNNNNNNNNNNNNNNNNNNNNNNNNNNNNNNNNNNNNNNNNNNNNNNNNNNNNNNNNNNNNNNNNNNNNNNNNNNNNNNNNNNNNNNNNNNNNNNNNNNNNNNNNNNNNNNNNNNNNNNNNNNNNNNNNNNNNNNNNNNNNNNNNNNNNNNNNNNNNNNNNNNNNNNNNNNNNNNNNNNNNNNNNNNNNNNNNNNNNNNNNNNNNNNNNNNNNNNNNNNNNNNNNNNNNNNNNNNNNNNNNNNNNNNNNNNNNNNNNNNNNNNNNNNNNNNNNNNNNNNNNNNNNNNNNNNNNNNNNNNNNNNNNNNNNNNNNNNNNNNNNNNNNNNNNNNNNNNNNNNNNNNNNNNNNNNNNNNNNNNNNNNNNNNNNNNNNNNNNNNNNNNNNNNNNNNNNNNNNNNNNNNNNNNNNNNNNNNNNNNNNNNNNNNNNNNNNNNNNNNNNNNNNNNNNNNNNNNNNNNNNNNNNNNNNNNNNNNNNNNNNNNNNNNNNNNNNNNNNNNNNNNNNNNNNNNNNNNNNNNNNNNNNNNNNNNNNNNNNNNNNNNNNNNNNNNNNNNNNNNNNNNNNNNNNNNNNNNNNNNNNNNNNNNNNNNNNNNNNNNNNNNNNNNNNNNNNNNNNNNNNNNNNNNNNNNNNNNNNNNNNNNNNNNNNNNNNNNNNNNNNNNNNNNNNNNNNNNNNNNNNNNNNNNNNNNNNNNNNNNNNNNNNNNNNNNNNNNNNNNNNNNNNNNNNNNNNNNNNNNNNNNNNNNNNNNNNNNNNNNNNNNNNNNNNNNNNNNNNNNNNNNNNNNNNNNNNNNNNNNNNNNNNNNNNNNNNNNNNNNNNNNNNNNNNNNNNNNNNNNNNNNNNNNNNNNNNNNNNNNNNNNNNNNNNNNNNNNNNNNNNNNNNNNNNNNNNNNNNNNNNNNNNNNNNNNNNNNNNNNNNNNNNNNNNNNNNNNNNNNNNNNNNNNNNNNNNNNNNNNNNNNNNNNNNNNNNNNNNNNNNNNNNNNNNNNNNNNNNNNNNNNNNNNNNNNNNNNNNNNNNNNNNNNNNNNNNNNNNNNNNNNNNNNNNNNNNNNNNNNNNNNNNCCCGCGCCGACUUCCCUUACACAGCAGGUGUGGCAACCUCUUUCUUGGGAAAUGCAGGACACAGAGGAUGAUGGGGGGGCGGCCUUAUUGCCUAAGCUCCCUUAAGAGAGUCACCCUUUCGGUGCGUUGGCCGGUUGAAUUAUGCUUCCCAGAAGCCUCCCCUAGUUCUGUCGUGCGGACACUCAGGGCCUGUUUACAAAUAAAAUCGGAGCUGGCAGAGGUUACCUGUAUGUAACCAGAGGCUAGAGAAAUACUGAUUCCACCACCCAGAAGGUGGAGUUCAAUCCGUUUUCUGGCCAAGGCCGCACGGUUAAUUUUUAUCCUAGUAAAGAAUAAUAAACACGGCAUUAGCAACUAAAUGUUUAUCAAUUUACAGUUCAUUUCCAGCCAGAUCAUUUCACUCCAGCAUGUUUUUACUGCUAGCUGAUGCACUGGAGUGCUUUUCGUGAAACCAUAUGUGACUAUUUAAGUCCUAGCCUCCGUAGCAUUGAUGUGGUGCUUUUCACCGUAAUGGGACGAUAUUAUUUGGCUAUUUCAGGCACGGUCUUCCAAUAUUACAUUCGAAUGAUGAAGAAACUGCAGCGAAGAAAGUUUACAUGACCGGCUGGGGAUCACCCCACGGUUGGGAGAUGAUGCUAAACAAGGAUCCCCAAGUUUUUGUUUUGCUUUUAGUCCAGUGCAAACCUGUGUGCACUGGACCAUGUGCCUGAGCAGGGCUGCCUUGCUGGGGUUUCUUUUCCUCUUACAGUGAGUUCAUACCAGAAGGGGCGGCAGAGCAGGGGUGAGGAACCCCGAAUAGGAGGAAUGCCUUAUCAAGGGAGAUAAACAAUGAGAGUACGAUUGAAGCUGAAGUCCGUGGGGCUGCCCAGACAGCCAGCCCGUCUUGCAAGUGCUUUGGCUGGUUUUGUUGGGUCAGUGGACUCACACCAUUCGAUGGUGUCAUCUCUCAUUUAUCACCAGACUGCGAUAGCCAGAAACGAUGCAGUGAUGACAAAAUGAAGGCAUGGCUAUCCUGUGAAUCAUGCAGGCAUUCAACCCUCCUCCCAGCUUCCUGGUUCUUCUUCCUUUGAGCGUGAAAUAGAAACCUCGAUGUGGCCACAUGCUUCGGGGUGGAUCCGAAGGGACUACUUGGGGAAAGGGAGAGAAAGGAGAGCUUACAGAGGCAGCAGUGUAGAUCGGAGUGAGCCGGUCGUACAUUCCGUUUCUAUCCCCUCAGGAAAAUAACUCACCGUUUUGAAGCCUUAGUUUUUAACCUUGUAAAUUUGAGGGGAUAGUAAGUCUUCUUUCAGAGGGCUAGCAUACGCAUCAGGCGCAUGUGUACCCAGGGCUUGGCAAAGUGCUUGGGAUCUAGCAGACGCUCAAGAAAUGCUCUUGAUGAGCAGGGUAGGCUUGACAGGGGCUGGUAGGCGAUGGGUUGAAGAUACUAUAUUUGCAACUCCACAAAUGAGGCAAUGCCCCAUUUCCCAAUGAGCAGGUUACAAAAGUCUUGUGUGUGUGUGGUUUUUUCCCUUGGUCAGCCUGAAUCUAUAUACUUUAAUGAUGCAAGAGAAAGAGUCAAAUUUCUAGUUAUAAGAUUUAUUGAUUUAAUUAUGUGCAUAUAUAAAAUCAUACACACAUGUAUAUUUUUUUUAGAAACGUUGUCUUUUUUUUUUCAGUCAUUAUUCGGACUCUUCAUCAUCACCUGUCUUUGUCAUCACUCGAGCCCCUUUUUCAGUGAUCUCACCCAGUCUUUGAGAACAUACCACCCUGCUUCUGCCCAAGUAUCUUUGGGGUUUAGUACUUUUUGAGUCUGUGUGUUGUGGUCCCUGGAAAUGUUUGCUCAAGCUCAAUACCCAUGCACUAUUUGUGAUCUCCAUAAAGCUAACUUCUUGUUGUACUGCUUGUAAAGGUGAUUUUAAUGAGGUUGGGGCUACACAAGGGAAUGUUCGUGCAUUUUAACGAUGCAUACCAAUGUAUGAAGGGGUGAAAUGACACCAGGUUUGGGAUUUUCUUUAAGCUAGUUCAGCAAAGAGAGGCGUCUGACUGGCUCAAUCUGUGGAGCACAUGACUCUUGAUCUUGGGGUUGUAGGUUCGAGCCCCACAUUGGGUGUAGAGAUUACUUAAAAGUAAAAUUGGAAAAGAGAGUUCAGCAAAGAGACAAAGACAAAAGACAAAAAAGGAACAAGUGUAGCAAAUUUGGAAAAAUCUAGGUUAUUAUUAAUCUGGGUGAUGGGCAUAUGGAACUUCAUUUUACUAUAUGCUUUUUUGAUAUGUGUAAAAAUUUUCAUAAUAAAAACAUUUUUUUAAUGAGCUGUAAAAGACUUGCUUACAAUAUCUAAUUCUUAUAGUUGGAGGCCAAACCUCCUGGAAUAACUACAAAAACUUUUAAAUGUGUUUUUUUAUUAAAAUGGUUAAAAAAAUGUUUUUAAGUUUAUUUAUUUUUGAGAGACAGAGAGAGAGAGACAGAGCGUGAGCAGGGGAGGGUCAGAGAGCGAUGGAGACACAGAAUCUGAAGCAGGCUCCAGGCUCUGAACUGUCAGCACAGAGCCCGAUGAGGGGCUCAAACCCAUGAACUGCGAGAUCAUGACCUGAGCUGAAGUCGGUCAUGAACUGAGUCACCCAGGCGCCCCUAAAUGUUUUUUAUUAAAAAAAAAAACAACAACCCAAAUCAUACCUCCAGGAAAUCUCCAUAAUCAUCCCAGACAACCACUGAUUGAAUUCCUUUCAGGGUAUUUUGUUAUUUAAAAUAAAGAACCUGGAUGGCUCAGUUGGUUAAGCAUCAGCUCUUGAUUUCGGCUCUGGUCAUGAUCCCAGGGUUGUGGGAUCAAGCCCUACAUCAGGCUCUGCGCUGACAGCACGGAGCCUGCUUGGGAUUCUCUCCCUCUCUGUCUCUCUGCCCCUCCCCCACUCACAUGCACAGGUGAGCUCUCUCUCACAAUAAAUAAGCAUUUAAAGUAAAAUAAAAUAAAGAAAUUGAGUGAGCACUCGAUAAUAUGAGGAACUUUUAAGAGACACAAAUACAAGAUGACAUCUCAGAUUUGCCCACAUGUGUUAUUUUCCUUUGUCUUUGUUGGGGUGAGGGGAUGGGGUUGGUAUGGGCCCCAAACAGAUAACUUUUGUAAGUGAUGGGGAGCUGGCCAGGGUACUUUGUCAAAAGUACCUAUUACCUAGUGCCCUUGUUGGCAUCUGAGCUGGAAGGCACAGGAUAGCAGGGAACAUGCUGUCCUGGGAGCCGGCCUGGUGUCACAGGCCUGGGAUGGGGCGUCAGUCAUGGUGUAAAAGGGGAGAGGCCGCAUUUUCUUCGUUGGGCAACGCUUAUCCCCUGGACAGAGGGCACAGAGCUAUGAUGUACACAGCCAAAAUGAGAGGGGUUGGGGCAACUGUCCAGCGAGCUCAGUCUAAGUCAGGCAAGAGUGUUGGGGCCUCAGAGUCCUAAAUAGGCACGGUCGGGAGGAAUCAGAAAACUCUUCAAAAUUUACAUUAGUUUCAUAGUAAUGGCUUUUCCAAGGGGGGGGGGGGAGAAAAUACAUUAUUUUUAAACAUUUUGGAAGGAUAAGAUUCCUUCCAUGCAAACAGAGUGGAUUAUUUGCCAGAGAGUAUUGAAAUUAAAAAUAUCUACCCAGCCUGUGUGGGAAGUCUGGAAUUCUCUGGAAUUCUUUUACUUUAUUGUCUUCUCCCCCACGAAUGCACUGUGCCGUGCCACAGGCCAGUCACAACCUUUCAGAGAGUUACUUCUGACACUUUGUGGUAUCACCUCCGUCACACUGACCAUGUCAUAAGAGAGAGAAUCUUUCGUGUUUUGGAAGAACCUUCUCUCAGACAUAAAAAUCACAGCGUAAUGGCUGUAGAGUGACCAUCUCAACGUUACGGUGCGAGCAGACCGGAAUGCAGACAAACAAAGUAAAAGAAACAAACGGAGAGCAGGUUCUUUGUGGAAGAUGCGUGGUUUUGUGAUGAGCUAAGUGUCGAUUCUAACCCCCAAGGACCGAAAAGUGUGAGGUUAGGUAAGCGUCUGCCAGAUUCAUUAUUGCCAUGUGGAUUCUGUGAAGUCAGCUUACAGGUCACUGGCAGUAGCUGCCGAGUAAAGUUCACUGACUGCAUCCGUGCCCCGAUUGGGCAGUUCCUGAAAACACCGCCUGCACCACCUUCUGGAAGCCCUUUGCUACCUUCAGGUCCGCACCGUGAGGGCGGACGCUUCUAGCACGGGAGCUCUGGAUGAAUUCUGCAGGCAUUGCUUGAGAAAUGCCAAGUGGCCACUGGCCAGGGUCUAAGUUAAACCAGGAGAUGGCUAUCAACUCAAGUUGUUGGGUUUGGCACGUCUUUCUCGAGCUGCUGUGCGGAGCAGGAAAGAGAGACGUUUGUUUGUGGCCUUCGUUCAUCAGUUCUAUAGUGCACGCUUUAAUCUGAACCUUUUAUUUGCUCAAGGGAAAAACAAGUCGGACUUGCCCACCUCGGAGGAUUUCAAUUGGACGGGGCCAUAGAGUCCUCCACCCACGCUUUUUUACAUCUAUUUUCCAGCAACCUCAUCAAGUGGUUUGGGAUGCCUUCUGGUUGUGUUAAAAACUUUCCAAUAGAUUUGCUGCGCGUCCUGUGAUAAAUAUAAUCGUUUCCCCAUGAAUCAUGAUGAUUUUGUACGGUACACUUAUGCGCACGCGCACUCGUGUUUGCAUGAAAAAUAGUGUGGCUGUAUUAAGGAACGCUGAUCUGGCUGCAAAGCCGUUACCGUUGGGUUUUCUUCAGUGUGGUUAUCCUUCCUUCUGGUCGGUGAAUAAAUAUCGUUUGGACAAGGUCUGGCUCAGACGCUUUAACCGUAAAGCUUAAUGUAUAACUAGUAUGUUUUUCUUCUGUGUCAGCAGUUGGCAACACGAUACUGUAAAUAAGGAUUCUGGUGAGUAAAUGGAUGUCUGUAGCGAGAGGAGGGGAAGGCUGGAGUAGGCAGUUUUGAAAUUCAUGCCAGGGGUUGCUACAAGUGAUAAGGUAAUUUGAGUAACCUGUAAGACCUGUGGAUUCACAGGUUUCAAAAACAGGAAAGUCUCUUGUUUAAAAACCCUCUAAAGCAACAUGUGGGCUUAGAAAAGAAGCUGGCUUGUGGUUAGGUGAUUGUACUUCCUUAUUGAUAUAAUGGCUGGUGACGCAAGGCCUCCUGGGAUUGCAGUGCUGUGACCGCAGGCCCGACAGUUACCCUGACCGGGUUCUGAAACAGGCCCGGGGCUUUCUGGACGGAUGAGAAGUCUAAAAAUUUCCCUUUUCAUUUCCUCUCUUGUGUGACUUUGUCUUUUUUUUUUUUUUUUUUAAACCUGGUAAUUGAAAAGGGAAUUUUGCCUGUGCUCUGAAGGAGUUUAUCUUGACUGAGUUGCUUCUCUCCUACUCCUCAAAAAUCCCACCCUGAAAACCCCAAGCUAAAAAAAAAAAAAAUUCAUCCAUUCUCGCAGAUUUUUCAGUGAGUCUAUGUUUGAUUAAUCUGCUUUGAGGCUGGGUUCAGAACAAGCAGAUCUUUGAAAAGGGUAUGAAUUUUGAAAAACGCUCCGGAACUUGUCUGUAUCCUCAACCUUCUGGGUGUUUCAAGCCCAGUGAAUGCUGCGUCCUUCCGGAAACCUAACCCUCGCACAGCCAGCCGGGAGGCUCGAUUGGGUAAAUGCUCCCAGGACUCAUGCUCGCGUUCUGAAACACGAAAACAGAUGCCAUUCCUGGGUGACACAGCUAACUGACCACGGCAUGGAGAAUUCCACCGGCUAGAUGUGCGGGGCUGUGCUAGGCCUUGAAACACGCUGCAUGCGAACCGAACUUGAGAAAGUGUUCUCCUGUCUGCUCUGGAGAGGGUUCGGGUGGGACAGCUUGGUGGGCUGAACGUGCUUUGAGGUGGUUGCUACUCUUGCUGUCUGUCCUGGGGAGACCUAGAGGGCAAACAGGUGGAACCCACUUCCCCACCCAAACUCCUCCCAGAAUCCUUAUGGCUGCAUUCUCCUUUACACAUCUUACGUAUGUUUGUAAGCAAACACAUAUGCGUGUGUCUAUGUACCUAUGUAUAUGUUUGUGUAUACGUAUAUGUACGUGCAUACAUAUAUACGCACACACAUCGGUGUGUUUUCUAUGCUAUUUAGGCCAGCCCACGAGUCCCUUUCAUUUUUCCGCAAAUUCAAAGAAGAUAAUGUAAGGAAGAAGUGUAUAUUUUCACGUUCCUGUAAAUUACCAGUCUAACGUGCUGAUUCUCACCAAACGAUCCCCUCAUCGUGAUUCCCUCGUCUUGGUUCUGACGAUCUGCCUGGGAUGAAUGCAUGUCAGACUUUACUGCUCUCUUUUUGGUAAGCCCGAAGACUCUGCCCAAUAGUGUCACUGAGGCCACAAGGAAAUGUCAUCCUGCUAAGCAUGGGAGCUAACACCUGCCCAAAUGUUAAGGUUGUAGUGAGAGCAAGAACCGUUUUCUGCGUUUAUGCAUAUCUAUGGUGUGUGUGUGUGUGUGUGUGUGUGUGUGUGCGCGUGCAUGGGUACUGAAUGUGAGUGUGUCUGCUUUGUAUUGCACGUACCGUGUGUGUGGAUGGGUACUGUGUGUGUGCGUGAGUACCAUGUGUAUGUAACCGUGCGUGCACGUGCUGUGUGUGUACACGAGCACUGGGCACGUGUGCGAGUGUGCACGUGUACCAUCCGUGUGCAUGCAAGUGCACAUGUGCAUGUAUACCGUGUGCGUGACACACGGGAUGUCACAGAGCCAUGGGGGCAGUGAUGCGGAGGAGGCUGGUGUGGGGCAGGUGGAUCGCUUCAGAGCUUUUCUUUUGCUUUGUUGCCCUGUUACAGAAACUUAAAGACAGGUAAAGCGUGUAUCCCAUUUCUCCUUCCCGCCUGCCUCUCAAGCGAGUUCUGUGUGACUAUCUUUUAACUUCAGCCUCAGGAGAAAGGAGAGCAUUUUGGAAUUGAGAACACGGAGCAAGGAUUCGACACCGCACCGUUCUCUUUUGCUCUGCGUGUGUGUGUCUGUGUGUUUCUUGUGUGUCCAAAAGACAGAGAGGAGAAGCCAAAAAAAGGCAAAACAGGGAAUCGGAUUGGAAAGAGAGUAUAAGUUUGUAUUCAUAAAAUAAGACUUUUAUUCCUCUACCCAGGACUCUGCCCCAAUUUCCUGUCACUAACCUCAGUGUCAGUGCUGACCCAUUUCUGGCUAUUUUUAUUUGUUCCUUGAAAAUCCUUGCUGCGUGAUUAAAGUUUACUCUCGUCAACUUUGUUCUGACCCUCCCUGCCAUCUGGGUCCAAAAGUGCAGCCCUUCCCACCUCGCUCCCUGUAAUGACGGGUGAGUUCAGAGCCAAGGAACAGCAGGGUUUUACUGGCGAUGUGCCAAAUCAGCGACCCCUUUCCCUGAUCCAGAGCUGGCGGCGAGGAGCUCCUGCCUGCUCGUGGAGCGUCGCUGCCUGUGUCUUCGCCUUUUGUCUGGUUUUCCUCUCGGGAGCACACGCAGUCCCCCCCCCCCCCCACCCGGCAACAGCAUCUCCGUGUCCCAGCACUGCGGGGGGCUCUCACCCCCCGGGGACAGCGAGUGUGCGGGCACUUAUCUAGGAUUACAACCUGAGUCAACAGUGGGACCAGGAAGUGGACUCAGGGUCCAGCAUCGUAUGGAAAGUUGGGUGUAUUUACUUUUCUCUCAAAGCAAACUUUGAUUUACUCUUUAAUAAGUCACCGCUGAGGAUAUAAUUCUAGAAAACCAAGUUCCCAUGUUGAUAACAGAGGAGAGGAAACAGUGAGUCUUUGCAUUUUUCCAGCUUUAUCAUUAACCCCAGGUGUGGAAACUCAUUUGCUUUAGAAGGAUUCGUUUCCAAGUUUUCAAGAAGGUGAUCAUUCUCCAUCGAUGAGGUAUUUUGGGCAUCCUUAGCUGAAAGGCAUUAUAAACGGGGUAGCCCAUGGCACCCUGGAGGAGCUGUGUGACUGACUAACCGGUGACCUUGACUUCGGACAGGUUAACGUCUUGGCUCUAUCACUCCCUGUGUCACCUGGGGAAUCUCUUCACUUCAUUGGCCUCAGUUUCCUCAUCUGUAAAAUGGAGAUAAAAAGUGGUCCCCCUCAGAAGGUUGGUACAAGGAUUCAGGAAGGAGACGUAUGUGAAGGGUCAGAAGGGAGAGUGGAAUAAAGGAGAUGCUUAGUAUUCAAGCUGUUGGGAUUACGUAUGACUUAAGUCAUUUUGAUUGUGUGGAGUAAAGCUUCUCAUUUUGCUUUCCAGAAGUUUCUCGAGGAAGUCACCUGUCCAAGGUACAAAAUGUGACUUCAUCAUCCGUGCUUUCCCUGUUUGCUUCCACAUGAGUGGAUGGAGCAGAAGGGCUAGAAUAAAAGAAUGUUCUUACCUCACUGCUGAUGGGGACGCGGGUCCUGGGAGUGGUUGGGGUGAAAGUUUCCUCUCCUUAUGGUCAGUACUUCCUCAUUAAAUGUGGUGAGCUGCAAACAAAGGAAAAAAAAAAAACAAGAAGAAAAAGGAGGCCCCCAGGACCCUUCUCAUAUGUCUGUGAUGAUCUCUGCAGAGGAGUCAUUUCUUUGCUUGCCCAAUGGGCCCAAAAAUAACUUCCAGGGAGAAGGAGAGCACCCUUUUCUUGAGUUCUCACAAGCUUCUCUCCCGACAGCUCCUGUAGCAGAGAUGUGAGCAGGAGUGCAUAUCGCUCUUUGUGAUAAGAGCAUCAGGAGCAGAAAGAGGGGGGGCACCCAGGAGAUGAGGGGUGCGGGGGUGGGUGUGCCAUGAGGGGUGCACUCUCUCAAGAGCUUACCGCUUUUGAAAUCUCUAAUUGCCAUGCACCGGUGAUUCUGAACUCUGUCAGUGAUAGAAUCCUCCUUCCACGGGGCGGCCAUUCCUCCUGUGCACUGGGUGAGCCGGGGUAGAAGGGAGACAGCGUGGCCCAAAGUUAAAGGAACCUAAGACAUUUCUUUCCUCCAAAAGAGGCUGGAGAAGCCAAGUGUUCAGGCAUUCUUUGGGGGUCGAAAGAGUGAUGACAGACGGGGAGAGAUGUGUCCAUAGACAGUGUAGUGAGAUGUCCCCUGCCUCUGCCUGUGACCCCCAGCAGCCCACGAGGCGGGCCUGGGAGUGGAGCCACCACAGGGCUGCUCUGGACUGGGCUGGGCUUGGGUUGGGGGGGUGGUCAUACGUUGGAGACAAGCUGGUAAUCGGACCUUCGAGCAAAGCUGGAGGUUGAGGGUGUGACAGAGACCAGUAGCAUUCCUGUAUGUAAAGACUCCUUCCCCUUCGGCCCUGACCUGGAGAUGGGUGCUUCCUUCUGCCCUGCUCCGCUGCCAUUUCUGGUGGAAAUAGCUGGAAAGACUCCUGCUUACCAACAGCGGGGCUCCUUUAGCUCCCACUGCUACCUGGUGACACGCACAGAAUCGUGCUCCUUCAACAGAUGAGGAGACGGAACCUCCCCAGCAUCACCCUGCUGGGAAGUGAUGGGUCUGGAAUAGUCUGCCACACCCUGGCCUCUCUGCCUCCAAGACUGAGGAGACCCUGAGGAAGCCAUCGUUUCUUUCCAGUGUUUUGCAAGGCUGGGUGCAAACAUCAUCUUGGGGAGAGUACACGGGGCUCCCCUUAAGCUCACCAGGCCAGCUUAUCAUGAUGCAGCACAACUGAAGACAUCACCUUUGUGUUCUUGAAGGACACAGAGCCAAAUAAAUAGACCCUCAACAAGCUGGGGCUGUUUUCAGAGGGGCUGGGUUCCCAUGAAUGGCAAGACUCAUACAGGGCGGUGGAACAGAUUUUGAGAGAGCAGUUUGCUUUGAAGGUGACCUUGGAGGCACAUGGCCUUUAUCGGUUUUCCGGAAUCCUUGUGCAGAGGCAGGCCUGACCGUGGGCCCCUGCUGGCAGAAGUGCCUCCUUGUCGUGAGGGCUUUUUGGCUGUGGAAGAACUUGAGAGAGACUCUCACCACCCUCUCUGUGCUCAGGACUUGCUCAUCCCUCCCCACCUACUUCCCAAACACAGAGGAAGCCUCAGAAAAUGAGGGAAGUGUCUUACACGGAGUCCACUUGAGUUGGUAGAAUCCAGUGUGAUGCAAGACCCCAUGUUUGAACUCAUCGAGGCCUGUCUGCCAGGUUCGUUGAGCCCCAGGCGCCUGGAGGGCCCCUGAGCACUGGGCCAACCCAAUGGAUAGGCUAGCGUGAGGCUACGGCCGGGGCCAGGUCCCCACCGAGGGGAGGAAGCCAGGAGCCCCGGUGCUAGGCCUCGUGUGAUCUCCGGGCAACACUCGGCGGUCUGCUUUGGGCCCGGCCUCCCUGAGUCGGAGAGAGGAAUCUACCUUAGUGAAGGAAGACCUGGCCUGUCGGGUUAUUUGUGGCUCUCUUCUUGCCUGCCUUUGUUCUGCGGAUCGGUGUGCAUAAAAGGCUGGCUGGGCCGGCGAGAAGUGCCCAUCAGUGACUCGAACAGGAAAUUGGAAAUCGGACACCGAGGGUCUACCCCCACCCUGCCUCUGACUCACGCUUAAACAAACCCAACACCCGCCCUGACCUCUGCCCCCUCCAUCUGUGGCCGGCCAGGCCUGACAGCAGCCCCAUCUCCCCACCAGGGGAACGCUUCCAGAAGUCCAGCACUGGGCCAGCUUGCUGUGGGAGAGAAUCCCUCAGGUGUCCACAUGAAGGCCGUGGAUGCAGUCUCUCUCUCUCUCUCUCUCUCUCUCUCUCUCUCGCCCGCUCUCUUUUUGUCUUCAACAAAGUGAAUUCUUAAAUUUUUUCUCUUUAAAUUUUCAUCCAUUAUAUUCAUCAACGCAGCGAGAUGGAACAUUUGGCAAAAUUAUUUUAAGUAGCACUCCAACCUGUGAUCGUAAUUUCAAAUCGAGGAAUUUGCUGAGCAGCCGUGGGAAGAACAAAGGGCCAGAGGGGGAGGGGAGGCAGGUUGUGUGCACGCGGACGGGGAACUGGCCUGCUCCGGCCUGCAGUGUGUCUACACUGGGCGGGGUAGGACUGCAGUUUCCAUCUGCUGAACACACAGCACGAACCACUUGAAACUAGAUACGCGGAGCAGAGGAUUGGGAUUCAGUUUAAUACGGUGGGCCGAAAGCUUCACCCAGGAGUGGGACCGGCCUGGCCUCGAAUCUUCAAGCCCCGCCACUCACCAGCCUCCGCUGGGUCGCCUGUAAAAUGGGAACAAUCACUGUAACCACAUCUUCGGGACCGUUAUGACAUAUAUUCCUUUAGCUGGCUAAUUACUAGCACGUAGUAAGCGUUCAAAAUGCCAUUACUGUCGCCGACAUGCAGAAAUGGACAAUUUCCGAGCUUCGUCUUUGCAACUGACUCGUUCAGCAAACAUCUGUUGAGCACCUAUUAUGCUCCAGCAGUGGGGCUGGGUGUUGUAGGAGUACAAACAUGUAAAGCAUAGGCAUUAAUGUGCUACUAGAUAAAUAAUGAUACUUCUGUUGAGUUGAAAAUGACUCCCAAGAAUAUUUAAUUCGUUUACAAAGAAUCUUUCCUUUUUUUUCUUUUUUAAACAUUUCUUUAUUUCUGAGAGACCGAGAGAGACGGAGCACAAGCAGAGGAGGGGCAGAGAGAGAGGGAGACAGAGGAUCCGAAGCAGGCUCUGCACUGACAGCAGCGAGGCUGAUGCGGGGUUCGAAUCCACGAACCGUGAGAUCAUGACCUGGGCCGAAGUCACACGCUUAACAGACUGAGCCACCCAGGUGCCCCUACAAAGAGUCUUUCUUAAGAGAUGGUCUAGCGGAAACAAUUCGGAAAAAAUGUAUGAGUUAAAGAAAAAAAAAGCUGUCUUAUUUCCAAUUGCUUUUGAACUCCUUGCUUUUCAAUAAAACUAUGAUCUAAAUGAACGCAAUUUCUUAAAAUAAGCCCUGCUUCAUACCUGAGAACUUCAAGCAGCUAAUUCGCAGAUAAUCAGACCUAUUUGCAAACAAUCUGAAUUGUCUCAGUGCCUUCCCAAGAGUGCCACGCGUGUGCUCAGAAAGACUGUCAUUUGUCAGGAUUACCCAGUUCUGCUAAAUUAUGGUUUUGAGAAUCAGAAGUAAUCUCGUCCAACCUCUUAUCCUUUGAAUAGUAUUUCUGAGAGAUACUAGAUAAGCUUGUGCUCAAAUUCUGUGAGGAAAGGAGAAGGUAGGUACCUUGCAGGGUUGAAUAGCUCUAGAGGGAGAUUAAUUUAAAUUUGCGUAGCCAUGGAAAGGAUAAAAAGGCUUUUUGUUGUUUUUUGCUUUCAUCUUGCUCCCCAUUUCUGUUGGCUGGUCUUGCUUUGACUCCUGUCUGUCUCUCCCCUUUUACCCUGAGCUGCCGCAUGCCCUCUGCCCCAGGGGGAACAGCCAUAGAGCCCUGGUCACCGUCGGGUGGCCAAGCGUACCCUGCUUUGGAAGUUGAGAGCCAACAUUCAGUUUAUUGUUCCUUGCCCUGUUCUCUGGGGUGGUUCAACCGGGCUCUGCUUUCUUGGAAAACGACGGUGAACUUUGUUCAGCCAGAGCCUUAUUUCCCAAAUUCUGAUAUUUGCUCACUGGCCCUCCUCCCUCCAGCUGUUCCCAACUGCUGACCGCUUGUUACGCGCGCGGCUAGCUGCUUCCGCUGUUCUGACUCUUCUUGGAAGGCAGCCAUCAGGGGCCAAGGCAGAUGUUGCUUGUGGCCUUGGCUUGUGGUCCAAAUCCAUGACUGCAUCAUUUGGAAAGUGUGUGUGUGUGCGUGUGACUACCUUUGAAACCAAAGGGCUAAAAGCAGAGCUUUUAAUGAGCAGAGCAGCUCCAUGAAAAACGUGCAGUUGCUUUAUGGCUUCUGGUUGCCUGUGGAAUUGUUAGAAUAAAAAAAAAAAAAAAAGGCAAGUCAAGAGCAGCUAAAGUAAAAAGAGAAAAGGGAAAGGUUUAUUUUUGGAGCUCUUGAAUUCAGAAGCUCCUUCUGACUUCCCCACUUCUCCUGACUUGGCUUUGGUCUCAUGGGCGCUUCGAGUGUCUGGCCUUUGUCUCAGCCCUCCGUCCCAGGGACCCUCUGGCUCUCUGGGUCUUGGAGUGAGAUGUCACCCAGCCUCCUUCCACCCUGUCUGAUGGCUGCUCACUGGCUGGGUCCUGGGAGGUGCUGCAGAAAGGCAUGCCCUAGCUUGGACUGAAUUCUGAGUGGCUCAUGCUCUUGUCUCAAAGCACCUAGACCUCAUCUGGAGUGUAAAACGGGCUUUGUUUGGCCUGAGUGAUAUGUGGUAUAAUUUGGUUUAGUUAUCAACAUUUAAGAAACAGGAGGUCACAGGAAAUACAGAUUUUUUAGUUCAGCCUGAAGUUGGGGAGGGGCAAGACUGGAUCUUUGCUCUCUCUCGAACCGAGUGGUAGCUGCCCUUCCUGACAUGUGGAACGCGUUCUCCACUUGGCCACACUCUCUCCAGCAACAAGGAGUAUCUUUCAGGACAUAGACUGGUAUUAGAUGCCAUUGACCCAUGGGCUUCUUCCCUUCCACACCCCUCCCCAACCUGAAUCAUUCAUGAAGGGUCUGCCUGAUUCUCCUGGACUUUGAGUUUGCUGUCCGUGUUCAGUGGAGUGUGAUUCACAUGCUCCCCCUUAUCUCUAAAGACUCCAGGCCCCCCACAUUCUUCUUGCUUCCCUUCUGCCCCCCUUCCCUCUCUCCUUCCUUCCUCCUCUUCCCUCCCUACUCUCUCUCUCUCUCUCUCUCAGUCUCUCUCUCACUUCUUAAACUAUAAAACACACCUACAGAAAAGCGUUCACAGCAAAGACCUAUAACUCGAUUUAUCACUGAGUCAACACUGGUGUCGUUACCAGGUCAACAGAUAGGACUGUAGGGUACUCUAGAAGCUCUCUCUGCUCCCUCCCUGCCAUGCCCUCCCCACCACAGGUAACCAAUAUCCUGACCUCCAUGGUAAAACACCCUUAGUUUUCUGUAGAAUUUUACCAGCACAAUAUACGUUCAAUGCUAGAGUUUAGUUUUGCCUGUUUUUACAACUUCAUGUAAACGUAACUCUACAGCAUGUAUUCUUUCAUGCAUGGCUUCUUCCACUCAACAUUAGACUUGUGUGAUUCACCCCUGUUGUUGUUUAUAGCUGUAGUCCAUAAAUUUUCAUUGCAAGAUUGUGUUACCUUUUAUAAAUGUGAUGCAGUUUUGUCUUUUUGUUCUACUCUUGAUGGACAUUUGGGUUGUUCCCAGUUUAGAGCUAGUACAGACAGUGUUGCUAUGAGCAUUCUUAUGCGUGUAUACUGGUGCAUGUAUGCAUUUCUGACAAUAUUACCUCCAAGCCUGGGGUUUUUCCUGUGGACAGGUUUUAAAUUAUGGAUUUAAUUAGUUGAAGAGUUAUUUGACUAGAUAAGAUUCAUAUCUCUUGUGUUCAUUUUGAUAAAUUGAGUUUUUUAGGAUUUUAGUAUUUAUCUAAAUUUUCAAAUGUAAUGGCAUGACAUUGUUUACAAUAUUUUCUUACAAUUUUUAACAACGGUGGGCUCUGUUGUGAUGUCUCCUUUUCAUGCCUGAUAGUGAUUAUGUUUAUCUUUUCUUUCUUCCCCCCCUUGCUCGAUUCUGCUGAGGUUUUGGGUUUUAAAAUCAAUUUAAUACUUUUUCCACAGAAUCAAACUUUUGAUUUUGUUGGUAUUUCCUAUUGUAUAUUUGUUUUCUAGUUCAUGAAAUUCUGCAUUUAUCUUUCUUUUCUUUUUUUCCUUUGGGUUCAAUUUUCAGUGCUUUUUCUAAUUUCUUGAGAUGAUGGUUUCGUUCUUUGAUUUUAAACCUUUAUUAUAAUCUAAUAUAUGCAAGUAAGAUUAUAAAUAAUCAUCUAAACAUAGCUUUAACCUUAUCCUAUGAGUUUCAACAUGUAAUAUUUUCAUUAUCAUUCAGUUAAUAUAUGUUUAAAUUUUCUUUGAUUUCCUAUGGGUACUUUAGGAACAUUCCUGAAUUUUCCCAUACAUGAGAGUUUUCUCAUCAUAUUUCUAUUAUUAAUUUCAAGCCUAAUCAUAACGUAGUUAGAGAGUAUAUUUUGUAUAAUUUCAGUCAUUUGAUAUUUGUUAAGACUUGCUUUGUGGCUCAGUAUACAGUUGACGUUUGAAACUUCCUUGUGUUCUUGAAAAGAAGGUAUACAGUUAGUAGUUGUGAGCUCAGUAUUCUACCGCAUCCAUUAGGUUAUAGUUGCUGAUUGUAUUGUUGGAAACUUCUAUAUCCUUCGUGACUCGUUGUCUAUUUGUUCUAUUAGAUAUUCAGAGAGGUGUGUUAAAUUCUCCCAUUAGGAUUGUGGAUUUGCUGUGUGUGUAUAUGUGUUGGUUUUUGCUUUACGUGUUUCGAGGUAUUAGGUAUAUAUAAUUUUCGAAUGCUGUAACUUCAAUUCACUUUUUGAAUUGAAACUUUUAUCACUAUGAAAUGUCUUCUUUAUUUCUAGUGAUACUUUUUCCUUUAAAUUCUAUUGUGAUAAAUAAUAUAGGUACUCCUAUUUUACAUUGGAUGUAUUUUUCCAUCUCUUUACCUAUGUCUGUUCUGUAUCCUUAAGUGUCAUAAGCUUCUCUCGUAAACGUUAUACAAUUAAAAAAAUUAAUCCAGUCCGACAAUUUUUUCUUUUAAUUGGUGCAUUUAGUCUGUUUAUAUUUACUAAUGAAAUUUAAUUUACAUUUAAUUUAAUGUAAUUUCUGGUAUAUUUGGAUUUAAAUCGACCAUACUAUUAAGUAUGGUAUUAAUAUGAUAUUCCAUUUGUUCCACCUGUAUCCCAUAUUUAUGUUUCUCUCACUUUAUUGCUUCUUUUGGAUUGGUUAUUUUUUAAUAUUCCAUUUCCUUUCUCUAUGACUUUGGAAAUUGCAUAUUCUUUUACUAUUCUUCUGGAGGUUGGCCCCAGGAUUGCAGCAUCACCUCUUGUGUUAUUAAGGUCUAAUCUUUUUUUUUUUUUUAAUUUUUUUUUCAACAUUUAUUUAUUUUUGGGACAGAGAGAGACAGAGCAUGAACGGGGGAGGGGCAGAGAGAGAGGGAGACACAGAAUCGGAAACAGGCUCCAGGCUCUGAGCCAUCAGCCCAGAGCCUGACGCGGGGCUCGAACUCCCGGACUGCGAGAUCGUGACCUGGCUGAAGUCGGACGCUCAACCGACUGCGCCACCCAGGCGCCCCUUAAGGUCUAAUCUUAAUUGGUUUUAUGCUCUUCUCAGGCAUUUCAAGGACUCUGGAACACUCUAACUCCAUUUGCCCCCUCCCAAAUUAUUUUAUUAUUUUAUUGUUUUUAAUAAUUUCUGUUUUUACAAUUACUCAUUUUUGAGAAACAGAGUGAGACAAAGUGUGAGCAGAGGAGGGGCAGAGAGUGAAGGAGACACAUAAUCCGAAGCAGGCUCCAGGCUCCAAGCAAGUGGUCAGCAUAGAGCCCGACGUGGGGCUCGAACCCACGAACUGCGAGAUCAUGACCUGAGCCGAAGUCGGACUUUCAACCGACUGAGCCACCCAGGCGCCCCCAAAUUAUUUUAUAUUAUUGUUGUCAUGCAUUUUAAGUGAUACGUAUUUCAAAUCCAACAAUUUUUAAAAUCAUUUUAUAUAGCCACUAUCUGUUUAUAUUUACCUAUAUACUUGCUAUUUUCUAUGCAUUUCUUUCUUUCUUGCAUCUCUGACUUCGUACUUGGGACUAUAUUCCUUUGACCUAAAGAACAGUCUUUAGUAUUUCCUUUGGGGUGAGUGACAAGUAUUCUUAGUUUUGAUUUCUAAUUAUCUUUAGCUGACCCUCUUGAAGGAUAUUUUUGUUGAGCAUAAAGUUCUAGGUUGACAGUUUUUUUACUUUUAGCCUGUUAAAACUAUUCCAUUAUCUUCUAGCUUUCAUUGUUUCAAUUGAGAAGUCUGCUGUAAGUCUCAUUGUUGCACCUUUGACCAUAAUCUGUUCCUUAUUCUUUGACUUCUUGUAAUAUGUUUCUCUUUGCUUUAGUUUACAGCAAUUUUAUUAUGAUUUGCCAAGGUGUAGAUUUCUUUAUGUUUCUCAUGGUUGGGUUUUUUAAAGGUCUUCUUUAAUCUAGCUUUAUGUAUUUAGUUAGUUUUGGAAAAGUCUCAGUCAUUACCUCUUCAAAUAUUACUUUUUUCCCAUUCUCUCUCAACUCUUUUUUUAGGAUUCCAAUUAUAUGUGUAUUAGACUUUCUCACUCAUAUUAUUUCUCUCUUACCCUCUCUCUUGUCUUUUCCCUCCUUCAGUCCUCUAUACUUCAUAUUUUGUGCACUUCAGCUUUGUCUGGUGUACUAUGAAAUCCAUCCAUGACCUCUUAACUUUGUUGCUUAUAUUUUUUUUUAAUUCUAGAGGUUUUAUUAAUUUAUUUUUCAUGGUUUCUAAUUCUUUUCUGAAAUUCUCAAUUUUGUCUUGUAUCUUCUCAAACAUAAUAAGCACACUUAUUUUAAAGCCUGUGUCUGAUAACAUCAAUAUCUGGAAACCCUAUGAGUUUGUUUCUGUUGUCCACUAUUCUGCUGGUUUUUUUCAUGUUACCUUCUUAAGAAGCCAUUUUUGCUUUUUAUAGUGUGUGUAUUUGCAAAACUAAUUGUAGAAAUAAUUUGAGGCCUCGGAUGAUACCUUCCUCUAGGGAGGAUUUCCUUUCCUUUUUCAGGAGCCUGAGAGCACUAGCACCCUGGGAUUUAUGUAACCCAAUUUUGUGAAUUGAAAAUGAUUUGAAGGUCUGCACUGUCUUCAAAGGCCUGAUUAUUUCUGGUUAAUAUUUCCUCCUAUGGUGCAAUCCUUCAGUGUCCUAUCCUAAAGAUAAGGAUUUUCCUGGGACAUCCAACUUGGCAGGCUCUGGACUCCAAUUUCUGAUUCCUUAGCCAUAUGAUCCUGUCAAAAGUUCUACUCAGCCUCUUAGCCCCCCUGCUGCCUGGUCUGGAGUUGGCUAACAGUCCAGAGGAAGAGCAUCUUGAGGCUUUGGGUUUACCUUCUGGACCUCCAUUUCCCCCCAGCUCUUGGCUUGCUAAUUCUUCACUCUUGUGUUAGCCAUCUGUUGCCUCCAGACAGGUGAUUUGAUUUUUAGGUUUUUUUUUUUUUUUUUAAUUUUUUUUUCAACGUUUAUUUAUUUUUGGGACAGAGAGAGACAGAGCAUGAACGGGGGAGGGGCAGAGAGAGAGGGAGACACAGAAUCGGAAACAGGCUCCAGGCUCCGAGCCAUCAGCCCAGAGCCUGACGCGGGGCUCGAACUCACGGACCGCGAGAUCGUGACCUGGCUGAAGUCGGACGCUUAACCGACUGCGCCACCCAGGCGCCCCGAUUUUUAGGUUUUGUGUACCUUGUAUGUUUGUUUUCACGGAGAAGACUGGGUGUGAAUUACCUAGUCUCCCAUGGUCCUCUUCCAAUUUCUCCUCAUCGUCAGACUUUUUCUUUCUCUUUUCUUCCCCUUCACAUCCCAGGGAAAGAAAUGUUCCUUCUUUUUUUCUAAACCAAGCCCUUAUUUGUGUUACGUGGUCUUCUUUCUCUCAAUACUUGUGUAGAAUCAUAAAGCAUCUUCAACCUCUCCCUUGACGCUGGGCGUUCCCCUAUGAGCAUGCGCAACUAUCCUCUAUACAAAAAAAUAAAGGCCGUGCUACAUCUGAACCUAAACUCUGCAGUUCUGGCCAAUCACCAGACCAUGUGGAGCUAUUUUUGAUGAUAACUCUUGCUAGAACAGUGUCUCAGUUCCUUUUUUCCAGAAUAACGUUGACAAGUCUGCUCAAAUUAGUGUUCCCAUCUUGAUUGAUUCACUUGGCCAGAAUACGUUUACAAAUCAGUGGAGAAUAGUGGAGGAGGGUUGGAGAAAAGAAGAUGUAAUGUUUUAAGUUAUGCGGUCCAGCAUGUAAUUUUUUUCCAUAAAAGUUUUCUCUCCCUUGCUCCUGCUAUUUCCCUCUGCUCCCUUUUGGCAUCAGAGUUUUAAAAAGAGUGAUCCAUUCCUGCUGUUCCCCAAACAUAUAUUUUUAUUUAAAGGUCACCAAAACAUCCCAGCUGCCCACCCAGUGACCUUUUCUUGGUCCAAAGUCUCCUUGAUCUUUUUGCAGGAUUUGUCAUGGUUUCUGCCUCUUUCUCUUAAAUUCUCUCCUCCUUCAGGUUCUGGGAUGUUUGACUUUUUUAGCUCCCCUGACUGCCCAUUCUUUUUUCAUGUUUCAUUCCUUUGUUCUAUUUCCUAAAGGUAGAAUUUCUUAAAGAUUCCUGGCCCUCUUCUCUUCUUUCCUCUUCUCACUUCUUUGCAUCACAGACUUUGCCUUUGUAAACUUAUGGCACCCCUCUUGUACAGGACACCCCUAAUCUAAAUAUCUGGCCCAAGCUUCUCUACAGGUUUCCAGUUUUGCAUUUCUGAAUGACUGUCAGUGUCUUCUCUCUGCACGUCCUAGAGGUCCCACAAAAAUAUUUUUAAAACUGAGCUCAUAAUUUCUACCCAUAAACUUCCUCUUCCUUCUAACUCCCCAUUCGUGUACUAUGACUGCAGCCCAACACCCACUGUUCCUUUUACAAUCAGUGCCCUUCCCUUCAUUUCAACCUGUGCAAAUCCCACGUAGCUUCGGAGGACCAGUUCAAUGCUCCCUCUUUCAAGCAACCAUCGAGUAAUGUGGAAAAGAGUAUGGAAUUCGGCAGUGGGAGAUAUGGUGCAAAUCCAGGCUCUGUUACCAACGUUUUUGCCACAUAUUUUUCUCAUCCGUAAAAAUGGGAAUAGGAAUGACUAAUCCACAGGUUAUUGAAAAGAUGAGAUGAGUUAUUUGUGAAUAUAUUCUAUUUCUUCUACUUGCCCCUUAAGAGCAAGGUUCAUUUCUCAUUAUGUAGCUCAGGUACUUAUUAAAUAGUUAAAAAUGAAUGGAUUAAUAUUGCAGAGUUUGCCAAACAACAUGGUGCCGAUGUCAGCAUUUUAUUCGUUAGUUAAAAAGGUCAAACCCACUUUAUUUUGUUCAUUUGAACGUUACGUGAUUCUAUACCGUCACUACUUGGAUACUUUUAUAUCUAUCCAAUUUAGCUGCUUGAUUUAACGUCAAGUGUCCGCGAAGAUAGGUGAAAUCAUCGUGGGCCCUUAGAGCCACCGUAGCCUCCAUCUGUUGUCGCCUUCACAAGUGCGAGGAAGUUUGGAUAAUUGUCUAGAGGGUUGAAUGGUGUAGAUCACUGGCCCUGGCUGGAAGUGUUCCCACAUCCCAUCACCUCUUUUUAUUCUUGCUUAAUUUAUCCAGAUAAUUGCUUCAGCUCUUCGCUUCUCCUGAUCUUUGUCAGAUAGCCGAUUGGGUCCGGGCUGCCAUCUGUUCAUACUCCCCUACUCGCAUUUCUCUUUUUGACCUUCUUUCCUCCUCCUUAAAGGUGGGUGAAGCUGGCUUUGGAAAGCCAGCCCUUCGCUAGGAAGUGGCCCUUUUCCAAGAGUUCAUCGGGCCCAGUACACCUGUCUGCCAGGGUGGGUGCGCCAAGCGCUCGUCUCCCGCCUGGCCUAUCGGAUACAGCUGAACACGUUUGGCAGAAGCUCCAGCAAUUUGGUUAUUCAUUUUCUGCUCUCAGCUGAGUGUAGACCACCUGGUCGGAUCUUGGCUCACCCAGUUCCUGGUUCCCUUGGCUGGCAGCGUCUGGUAGGCAUUCCAGCUUAGCUCCUUUCUGCUUUGCCCACUCUCCACUCUUAGGUAAGUCCUUUAAGGGACUUUGACAGAGGUGAGGUGAGGUAUGAGCAUGCAUGGUGGAAUUGUCAUAUGAUAACCGGGAGGUUUCACAGAACAAAGUUUUCUGGUCACGGCCAGUCUAGCAGGCUGAAUAAUGGCCCUAAAUAUAUCAGGCCCUGGUCCUUGUAAUGGGUAAGUGUUAACCUUAUUUUGAAAAAAAGUACUUUGCAGAUAUGACUAAGUUAAGGAUCUUCAGAUGGAGAGAUUAUGGAUUGUUUGGGUGAUCCCUGAUGCCUUGGCAGGUGUCCUUAUAAAAGAAAUGCAAAGGGAGAUUACCCACACACGCACGCACACACACGUGCACACACGUGCGUGCACGCGUGCAUACACAAGAGAAAAGGCAAUGGAAAACUGGAGGCAAAAACUGGAGUGACGUGGCUGUAAGCCAAUGUCAGUGGCCACCAGAAGCUGGAAGAGGCGAGGAACGGAUUCUCCCCUAGAGCCUCCCCAGGGGCCAUGAUCCUGUUUACGCCUUGACUUUGGCCCAAUGGUACUGAUUUGGACUUUGGAUGUCAGAAGAGCGAGAGAAUUAAACGACUAAUUUUAAGCUAGAAAGCGUGUGGCAGUUUGUGACAGCAGCCUCUUAGGAACGUAGCAUAGCCAGUAACGAUGAUGCAGAGGGGAGCCCUGUAGCAUCACUUCUAGGCUGGAGGCCCCCUUCCUGCAAACCCAUAUCUGGGGUGCUCCAGAUGCCAUGUCAUAGUAAGUCAGCAGAUAUUUAUCGAGCAAUGCUUUGAUCGGUGCUCACCUGCAGAGCCACAGAAACCACCCCAGUGAGUGUAAGCAGAAGGAGGUUGAUUGCAAGGCAUUAGAACACUAGCAAAAGACUCAGGAUGGAGGUCGCAGGCUGAGCUGUUGGGGACGAAUCCACUAGGAGAUGCUGAUGCCUUGAGCCACACUUCUCUCCCCACUGAACCCGGUUUCAGAUUCAAGUCUUGGGUGACUUCCUGUUACUUGAGGAAUUUAAAUUACAGCCGGACUGGAGCUGCAGGGGAGUCUGGGGAAUGUGAUUUGUAGCUUUCCAACUUGUGUCUUGCAGGCAGGCAACUUCCUGUUGUGAUGGAUUUUGCAAUACUGAUGCCGUGGGUCCUGAGUGAGCCAAUCCGCGAUUUCUUUUUUUUUUUUUUUUAAAUUUUUUUUUUCAACGUUUAUUUAUUUUUGGGACAGAGAGAGACAGAGCAUGAAUGGGGGAGGGGCAGAGAGAGAGGGAGACACAGAAUCGGAAACAGGCUCCAGGCUCUGAGCCAUCAGCCCAGAGCCCGACGUGGGGCUCGAACUCACGGACCGCGAGAUCGUGACCUGGCUGAAGUCGGACGCUUAACCGACUGCGCCACCCAGGCGCCCCUAAUCCGCGAUUUCUAACGCCAGCGCUUACUCUGUGCUGAGCGCUGUUCUAAGCAAAUAAGACAGAGUCUCUGUGCUCAAGGGGCUGAUUUUCUCAUGGGUGUAGUAGGUGGUCAGCUCAUCAACAGACCCGGUAAUGUCACAGACGGGCAAACCUUCGGGACCAGACCCCUGCGACAAAGCGAGCAUCACAAUAAAGAGAAUCAGAUGAAGUUUUGGGUUUCCCAGCACACAUUAAAGUUAUGUGUAUACUAUACCGCAGUCUAUUAAGCAUGCAAGCCCAUGAUGUCUAAAAAAGCACAUACCUUAAUUGAAAAAUACUUUAUUGCUGAGAAACGCUAACCAUCGCCCGAGCUUUCAGUGAGUUGUAAUCACUGAUCACAGCUCACUCUCACAAACAAAACCAUAACGAGAGAGUUUGAAACAUUGCUAGAAUUGCCAACAUGUGACACAGGAGACCCGAAGUGAGAAAAUACCGUUGAAAAAACGAUGCCCAUAGACUUGUCAGACGCAGGGUUGCCGCACACCUUCAAUUAAUGAGGGAAAAAAAGCAGUAUCUGCAAAAUGCAAUAAAGCAAAGAGCAGGAGAAUGAGGUAUGUCCGUACUGGUGAGAGGGCUCAAGAAGACGAAGCGGGGUAAUGAUGUGAUGGCUGGGGGUGGAGUGUCGGUUACUUUAGGUAGAAAGGGUCUCUCUCUCUCUCUCUCUUUUAUUUUUUUAAUGUUUAUUUCUGAGAGAGAGAGGGCGAGCGAGCAGGGGAGGGGCAGAGAGAGGGGGAGACACAGAAUCCGAGGCAGGCUCCAGGCUCCGAGCUGUCAGCACAGAGCCCGACGUGGGGCUCGAACUCACAAACCGCGAGAUCAUGACCCGAGCUGAAGUCGGACGUUCAACUGACUGAGCCACCCGUGCACCCUGAAAGGGUUUCUUGGUGUGACAUUUUUGUUAAGUUCUGAACGAUGAAGAGGCCGCCGUGUGGAGGUCUGGGGGCGGUAUUGUUUUAAUAGGAAGGGCAGUAAGAACAAAGGGCUGGAGGGAAGAAUUCGCUGGCAGGUUUGAGGGAGGGAAAGAAGGGCUGGAAUGUGGUAAAUGGACGGACAGAGAAGGGACGUGAGGUCACGGGGCUGCACAGGCCCUAGAUCUUGAGGACCUUACAGGAGUUUGGAUUUUGUUCCGGUUAGAAUGGGAAGUCCCCGGAAGGCGUUAAGCAGGGAGGUUGCCUUAAGUUGAGUGGUGCCCUCCAACAUUCACCUCCACCUAAGGACCUCGGAAUGUGACCUUAUUUGAAAAUAGGGUCUUUGAAGGUGGAGAAGGGGAGGUUUGGGGAGCUGAGUUGGGAUUCACAUUUACUCUUUGGUCAUGCAGAGUUUGAGACGCCUCAGCCCAGAUGCUGAGCUAAGUAACUGGACUUGACCAGUCUGGGCUUUUGGAAGAAACCAGCGCAGGGAUAGAAUUUAACAGUCGCCAGCAUAUCGGUGAUGUUUAAAGUCUUGGGACCAGACGAGGCUGUGGAUAUGGAAGAGAGAAGAGACCAUGUCAGCACUUUGGGACCUUCAAGUACUUUUUCAAGGUCUGGCAGAGACAGGGGUGUCUGAGGAAGCACGGGGAGCGGGGCAGGGGAAAUACCAGACGUAGGUGGGGUUGUAGAAGUCACCCAGGAAAGGGUUUCUAGAAGGGAGUGAGCAUUACCAUGGGCUUCACGUAGUCUUUGGUGGCCUAUUUCGGGAAGGUGGUGGAGGCAAGAACUUGGCUGGAGGAGGUGGAAGAGAGGAUGCAAAGAGCUAGUGGUGGUGAGUCUGUGCAACCCUUUGGAGAAGUUUCUCUGUGAAAGGAAGCAUGGACGUGAGUCAGUUGCUGGAGCAGGGUGUGGGAUCACGGGGGAAAAGGGGUGAUGGCAGAAGUGUCCUCGACGGGAGGGGAGUCAGAGCCAGGGAAUGAGCAGCGGUGUUGGCCUGGGACAGCUCAGGGGCAACUGUCCUGUUUUAUUUCUUUUUUUGUGUGUUUUUAAAAUUUUGUUUGAGCUUCUUUAUUUAUUUUGAGAGAGAGGGCUAGAGAACGCACCUGGGGGAGGGGCAGAGAGAGACGGGGCGGGAGAGAGAGAAUCCCAAGCAGGCUCUGCACUGUCAGUGCAGAGCUCCGUGUGGAGCUUGAACUCGUGAACCAUGAGAUUGUGCCCUGAGCCCAAGUCAGAGGCUUAACGGACUGAGCCACCCAGGCGCCCCUGUUUUAUUUCUUAAGGUAAGGUGGAGUGUGUGCCUGGGCUCGUGGAGAGAACUGGUGGCUGGUGGGGAUCCAGGAUCGGGAUUAGGAUGGGGAUGGGGGGCAGGGGAACCAGUGGUGAGGGCUGCAGCCCCCCUUCCGGGACUCUUGAGGGAAGCCACCCCAGUCUCAGAGGGGGCUUGUUCGACUCACAUCAGCAACAUCCAGGUGGUGGGAGCCCAGGGCUCUGUGUCAAAAAGUUUUAAAAAAGAUACACCCUCCCCCCCCUGCUUUCCUUUCUUCCCUGUACCCCCAGUCUCCUCCCCUGCCCCCCUUCAGAAGCUCUGUAGGAGUCAGAGAGCUUUUCUGUUAAAUCCUUUAAAUACCAAGGGUCUGAUUAUAUUCCCUGUCUCUAGAAUAAUCUUGUUCCUGCUUUUCAAAAUAAAGCUAAUAAACUAAUUCCUCUUUGUGCCCUCUUUGUCUGAGAGCAUGGAAAUUUCUCUCCACAUGUCUGCUUCUCAGUAGGGCUGCCUUAGGGCUCCCAGCUCAUUCCCUUUCGUCUUGCCCCAGCCCUCUUACAGGGCUUGUCUCCUGGGCUUCUGACACUUUAAUUUUUCCCUAAGAAAGGAGAAAAACUUCCAUAAAUUUAAUCUUAGCUAAUUAAUAAUAUGGUUUGGCUUACUGUCUUUUUAUCUUGUAGAGCAGUUUUUUAAAAAUUCUCUUCAGGGCACCUGGGGGACUCAGCUGGUUAAGCGUCCAACUUCGGCUCAGGUCAUGAUCUCGAGGUCCGUGAGUUCAAGCCCCAUGUUGGGCUCUGUGCUGACAGCUUGGAACCUGCUUCAGAUUCUGUGUCUCCCUCUCUCUCUGCCCCUCCCUCUGCUCACACUCUGUCUCUCUCUCUCUCAAAAAUAAAUAAACCUUAAAAAAAUUCUUUAAGAAAUUAUCUUUCAUAGACUACUAGUCCCAUGAAAAUAUUCUGCACACCUCCCCGCCCCUCCCCACCCGAAGAAUUUGUGGUCAAGCCAGUUUUGGACAUCUUACAUGUUAAAGUCCAGAGAAGGUGCAGUUAAAAAUCUCACUAAACUCUGUUUCAUCUGCCAUUUCUCAAAUAUAUCUGGCCACGAAGCAGUGUUCUGUGGAAUACAUUUUGGGAAAUGUCUACCUGUAUAGCCCUCAGUGUCCCAGGAAAAAUAGUUAUCCCUGGUUACCUUCUGGGUCCAACAAAACCUCUAAAACAUUUUUCUAGUCAUGGUACACAUAAUUUGCAGAAGAGCAAAGGGAGAGCGAAAAAUGACCCUGCUUGAAAUGUAGACACGAGAAUCGAACCUAAAACAUCCACAUUUUUUCCCCGUAUUUUCCUGAUUUGGGACAUGUAAACACCAGAAGGGAGGAACACCCUUCGCAUUUAGCCAGCUGCCCGUCUGUGACCAUGCACGAUUCUGGGACAUCCAUCUCGUAAGUACUGGACUCGGGCUUCACCCUUCUCUCUAACAUGUUCUAAUUUAUCAUUGCUUCCGCUUCUCCUUCGUGCACUUUCAUUGUCAACAUACGAGAAAAAAAAAGGGAAGCCUCUGCCAGCACAUCAUUGUGAUGAGGAGAUGGCCAUCUUCUUUGCUUCAUGAUUGCCAAGAAUUUUUAUCUUUUGAUUUAAGAUGAUCAACCCCACAAAUUUCUCUGAUUCCUUUCAGCCACCUCUGUACGUACCUGCCUUCAACAUUUAUCCACUCAAGUAUAUUCCCAAUGGCAUAGACAUCGUAAAUGAUGAAAGAAUACGGCCAAAUGCCCUGUGAGCGGAUGCAAGGGUCUGAGAUCAUGGGAUAAAACAUUGCGGGAUGAAGUCUUCCGGGUGGAAUGGUUGGUGGGACGAGAGCACCGUAAUGCCUCUUGGUCCAUGGCAAUAAAUCAUUCGCCCAUCAGAUUUCGAGUUUGGGAGACUUUGUUGAACAUACGGAUCUCUGAAGACUUGGGCCUGAGACUUCACUUACGUGGUCAAUUUCAUCAUUGUCAUUAAGGUCUAGGGUCCUACUGUCUCUGUCCUCGUCUCCUGAUUCAUCUAGGAAUUGUUGGAAUAGCUUCCUUUCUUUUUCUUCUCUUUGCCGUUAUCGUCAGAAAACAAAAGAUUCUGAAUUGUCAACUGUGUUCAAUGCAAACUUCAAAGAUGGUGUCUCCGGUGUUCCUCUAUACCCUCUUGAAGACGAUGCCAUACUUUUGCAAGUUUUACAGGAAGACUCCGAAGGAUGCCGUUUUGAUGGCUUAUCUCACUGUUAUAUCUUCCUGCUAACCCGGGUCGCUGCAUCCUUCUUCGUAUUGUUCAGAAUAAUUCAUAAGUAUCAAUGAAAUAGCAAAUGUGUUUCAGCAUAUAAGAAAAUCAAGCACCCUAAGAUCCUCAAAUGUAACUUAGAAGCAGUAAAGGGUCCAAUGAAUGUGUGGACUAAUUAUGCUACAGAAUUCCUUUAAGAAAGUAAGUAAUCACUCCCCCCCCCCCCUUUGGAAAGCCUCUAAUAAAGAACAAAAAAAAGUCAAGUAAUAUCAAUCCUAACAGAUGGAUAGAACUGCUCAAAAAAGAAACUCAAAAGUUAAAAUUGAAUCUAACAGGUCCUGAUGAGAGUUUUCUCCCAUAUUUUGACCCCUAAUACAAUCUCUUAAAACUUCCUGUGAGUGGAAAAAUGUUUUUCCUUAUUAAGUGGUAUUUGAUAAAGAAAUUAUUUUGAGUAAAACAUCUUUUACAGGGGCACCUGGGAGGCUCAGUUGGCUGAGUGUCUGACUCUUGAUUUUGGAUCAGGUCAUGAUCUCAAGGUUGUGAGAUCGAGUCCCGUGUCGGGCUCCGUGCUGAAUGUGGAGCCUGGUUAAGAUUCUCUCUCCCUCCCUCUGCCCUUCUCCCCCACCCGUGCUCUCUCUCACUCUAAAAUAAAAACCAAACCAAAAAACCAUCUUCUAUUGGUUAGUGUAUUCUUAGUUUUUGCAUUGAAAGUUUUUUUAAUAUAAUUUUUAAAAUGAUACUCAUGAUAUGUGUCCUUUGUUCACUUAGUGAUGCAUUCCACUUAGUUUAUUUGAGAUGAAUUAUGUGAGAAAAAAUGUGAAUCGUAGUGAAUAAAGAAAAAUGCAUAUUAUUAUUCAAUUUUGGUUCCUCAAUGUAUAUAUAUUUUAUAAUAUUAUAACAUAAAAAUAGACAAAAACUUUUAUUUUCCUGAUGUUGGGAAUGUUUAUAUUUUGCACUUAAACUCAUCUAUAUUUACAAUUUUUGAAAUUUUAUUUCUUUUUUUUUAAUUAAAAAAAUUUUUUUAAUGUUUAUUUUUGAGAGAGACAGAGCAUGAGCAGGGGAGGGGCAGAGAGAGAGGGAGACACAAUCCGAAGCAGGCUCCAGACUCCAAGCUGUCAGCACGGAGCCUGACGCGGGGCUCGAACUCACAGACCGCGAGAUCAUGAUCUAGGCCGAGGUUGGACACUUAACUGAGAGAACCGCCCAGAGGCCCCUUUCUUGGCUUAAAAAAAACAAAAAAAAAAAAACGGGUUCAAGCCCCUGGGCCACUUUUGAGAGAGCUUUGCAAACGUGCGUAGGCCGUGUGGGUCCGGCUCAGCCUGUGCUCACUGGGUGUUCGGGAGACGCCCUGGCUCAUUGCGGUCUAGACGCCCCUGUGCGGUUCCUUUUUGCAGACUCCUUGUACAGCAUCACGUCUUCAUUUGCCGUUGUCCAAAACAGAUUUCCGUUUCUAAGACUGUACUUCAACCUACGCGAAUGUAUAUGUAGUGCGGGAUAUUCUCGUGUGGUCAGCAGCGCAUUUCUAGAAUAUUUCUUAGAGUGGCUGCCUCUGCAGAGGCCGGUGUUCCGAUGUUAAUGGUGACCCUCAUCGGCUCUGGGUCCAGAGGCUGACACCUGCAGCGUUCAUCCAUCAGCAGGAUCUAGGAGGUGCGUCCUCUGUGGGCGCGGCAUCCCCCUGGGUCCUGCGUUCCUGGCAGUGGGGUGAGAGGCGGAGUGAGCCUGGGGGCCAGCCUCCGUCACAGCCUCUGGGCUGCGUUGGAGAAAGCAUGGUGGAAGGUGCUCGUGCUUCGGCGUCCGCUCUCGUUAGGGUUUCUCUGGGCUUCGGAUGGGUCAGCCAGGCCUGGGGGGCCCGUCCCCGGCCCCCUACCUUCGGGGCCACGGGAUCUGUCCACGAACAGCGCACAUACAGGGUCAGCAGGGCCUUCCUGGGGCACCCGGCUGCAGCAUGCAACGGAAGGGCGUCUCCAACUCCCCUGCUCUCGGAAAGCGUCUCAGAUACGGAUGUGCUGGGCCGGGGUCGGCAGCCUCUUCCCCGAGCAUCCAAGAGCGAGCAGGGGAGGUGAGAGGACGGGAGAGGGGAAGCGAGGAAAUGGUACAGGACAGAGAAAGAAGAUCCAGAGGGCUGAGACAGGGAGGAAGAUAAAAGAAGAGAGACCCUCGGUGGGGGGAUUACUGUUGGCGGUGGCAGUGGCCUCUCACCAGGGGUCGGCACCUCCCAGGCUGGACUCAACCCCGUGCGUUUUGGAUGGUAAAUGUUAGGCAGAACGUGAAUGGAGAACCGGGAGGGAGCCUGCUGAUCUGGGGCGCGCUGGGGACCAGUGUCCAGCAAGGACCGAGGUCACUUCGAACGUAAGCUGUGCGCAGGCGGACACGGGGGACUGGCGGUUCGCUCCGGUGUCCAGUGCGCAGGGGAACAGCAUGCCACGUGUCACAGGCGUGCGAUCAACACGUGUGGAACGUGUUCUCUUCUGCGCAGAGCUAGGUGAGUGUGCAGUGUGCUACUGUGCAAGGGUCCCUGUGCUCUGGUGGCUCCAGAGGAGAGGAGUCCCCACAGUUGGGGGUUGCCUUUGGCUGCCAGACAGUCCUCCCCAGCGCCAGUACCCACCCGGGGCGGCCGGGAGGAGCGGCCAGGGGGACAGAGCAGCCCCGGGGCUCUCUGCUGACGGCCGUCCGGGCCAGCACCCCGUCCCGCACUUCCUGCACCUCGUGGAGGGGAAUGGCGGACGAGAGCGCCAAGUGACCUCAGCAGACAGUCACGUGACCGGGUGUCUGCCGGAGCCACCGCUGUGCAAGGACACAGACGAACGGAGGCCUCCGCCUCUGGAAUCGUGAGAAAGACCCCGAGUGCGUCUGGAGGCCACACGGCCUCGCUGCGGUGUCACGGGGGAGCGUGCGUCGGGUCCGCGGGGACCUGGCGUCGCGUGGGACGGAUGGAGGCGGGGCGUGGAUUUCUGAAAUGAUGGCACCAAUCCCCGCGCCAUCCUGUGAGGUAGGUGGGAGCAAGCCCUUCUGGGGGGCCCGUGUCCCCUCGGAGAAGCAGAGCCCUGCCCCGUGCUGGCUGUGGUGGGUCACCGCUCCUCUGCUGCACGGGGUGGGAGCCCUGGGGGAUGCGGCCAGGUCCGGGGGCUGGGGGCUCCCCCCAGAGCAACCCUGAGCCGUGUUUCUGCUCUUUCUUGCCACAUAGGGCUGCGGUAGGAGCUUCUGGCUAGAGCUGGGCAGGAGUCUCGGGGUGUCUCAGACGCAGGGUAGGUUCCUACCCCUGGGGUUCUGUCCGUGUCUCCAGAGCAGGCCAAGAAACUUUCAAAUGAUGUGGUCGGGCUAUUUGGUCUGGGUUUGGGAUUUCCAAAAGGCUUGAUUCGCCGUAUAAAGUCCAAUCAAUGAAAACUCAUAUUGAAACAGGCAGCUUACUUGGCAUUAACAAGUCAAAUGGUUUGGAAAGCCACGGUACAUCUCCCUACUGCGUGCAUUCAACUUAAUGACCUGUUUUGAACACUUUCUACGUUCAGGGAUGGCCGUGUACAGAUGUGCGGUUUGUGCACUGCACAAGGGUUCUUGGCUUGGCCAAGGGUGCGAGGUGUGGGAGAUGGAAUGUGAAUGGGCACUGAAAUCCAGAUUGUGAUUUCUCACAGGAUAUGCUAGGGGGCUUCGUUCACCUGAAAAGAGGGGCGUCUUUUUCUUUGCACAAGGGCAUUGUUCUACAGAGCUGUCAUAUAGGCUAGUAGGCCCCCUAAAGGCUUGGGGGGCCCUGGCUCUUUUCCCCAGGCUGUGCUAAGGUGUUGGGGAUACAACAAUGAGGAAGAUGGAGACCCUUCCCUCCAACUAGCAUACAGACUUCUGGAAAGAUCUAGGCACUUUAAACCAGCAAUUGCGAUCCUGCCACUUUUCUUUCCCAUCAUAUUCCUUUCUGGUUUUUUGGAAUGGUAGCCUCCAGUCCCAGACCAAAUAGCCCGACCAUGUCAUUUGAAAGUUUCUUGGCCUGCUCUGGAGACACGGACAGAACCCCAGGGGUAGGAACCUACCCUGCGUCUGAGACACCCCGAGACUCCUGCCCAGCUUUAGCCAGAAUGUUAGUAGCCUCAGAAAGGCAAAAGUGCUUGGAGGAAGCCUCACAAUCUGUAUGGGGAAACUUGGCCCUCAUUUACUGUUCAUAGGAAGGUUCCAUCCAAGCCCAGCUGAGAGACUGAGGCAGGGGCCCUUUCUUUUUUUUUUUUAAUAAAAAAUUUUUUUGAUGUUUACUUAUUUUUAUUUUUGAGAGACAGAGAUAGAGCACCAGCAAGGGAGGGGCAGAGAGAGAGAGAGAGAGGGAGACACAGCAUCGGUAGCAGGCUCCAGGCUCCGAGCUGUCAGCACAGAGCCCGACGCGGGGCUCGAACCCACGAACCGCGAGAUCGUGACCUGAGCCGAAGUCGGACGCCCAACCGACUGAGCCACCCAGGCGCCCGCAGGGGCGCUUUCUAAAACACAUUGGUCCUAUGACAGUUGAAGAGCAGACCCCACAUUGCCCAGGGCUUGGGGGCCUGACUCCCCGGGGCAGCUGCCAGGGACAUUGGAGUUGCUGGGUUGGCGAGACCCUGAGGCCAAAUCCGCAGCUAAGCCGAUGAGCCAGGCUAGGCCUCCCCAAGUCAACUCCAUCCCAGUGAGACCUGCUUGGUGUAUGCUGUGUAGACCUUCUCGAGAGAACAGAAAUCCAAACCCGACACCUGAUGGUUGGGGCAUCCAGAGAAGCCGAACACAGCAAAUGCCAUCAUCCCAGAGACUUGUCCCCCCGUGACGUGAGAGUCAUCCCUAACAGGAGCCGGGGAGGCGGAUGCCACAGCCCCGGAGCUUGUCAUGGGAAGCGUCUUCACAGUGAGGGCGCGUGUCCCUGGCGGCUCCCGGCCUGGGAUGGAGCCCCGACAGCGGAACUUGGCCAAACAAGGGCGUGUCGUGGGCGUGUGCGUGUUGGGGGGGGGGGUGAGCCGGCUGCUGAGGGCCCAGGGUCGCUCCUCUGUGGGCCUCCACCCCACGGAUGCGGCGGCCAGAGCCGGACGUCUCUGGGUUGGCGUCCCCAGCCCUGGCACCUGCUUGCCCAGGCAGCCGUGGAAGGUCAGGGUGGGCACCAGCCAGGCGGGGACGGCCCCGGGGAGGAGUCGCAGCGCCGUCCCAGGACCUCAGGGCAGAGUGGCCGGGUCAAGCCAUGUGUGGCGUAGCCUGGGGACAAGCCACUGGUGAGGAGUCACCUCCUGAGGCCCUGGGGGGCUGUAGGGGACCCCCCCCCAACCCAGCUUCCGGGGAUGCAGGGCCUGGGUCGCAGGCCCGUGGGUCUCCUCAGCUGUCGCCGUCCACGGCCCCUCUCAAAGAGAGCGGGGAAGGAAGCCCACCCUUCAUUUAAUCUGCACGACCUUGGUGAGGGGGAGACUCCAUCAUCGUCCCAUUUUGUGGAUGAAGAAGCUGGCUCAGAGGAGAAGUAACCCAUGCUGGGUCCAACGGCCAACCCGGGCAGACCCCGUGCUCCCCUCCCACCCCCCACCCCCACCCCCCGGGGGAGCAGGCGGUGAACUCAGAGGGCCAGGACCGAAGUUGUUUGUUUGUUUUUUUAAAGAUUUUUUUCCUGUUUCUUUUUCAGGGAGAGAGAGGCAGAGAGGGAGAGCGUGAGUGGGGGUUGCAGAGAGAGAGCGGGGACAGAGGAUCCUAAGCGGAUGCCGUGCUGACAACAGAGAGCCCUGCGUGGGGCUCAAACCCAAGAGCCGCGAGAUCAUGACCUGAGCUGAAGUCCGACGCCCAGCCGACUGGGCACCCUCGAAAUCUUUUAACGAGGAGUGAGGCAGAGCUGGGCCCCCGCCCGGUGUGGGUGCUGUAGGGGCCGGGCGCAGGGGCGGGGGUCGUGACACGAGGCUUUGGCUACUCCUGUUGGGACUCUUUCUCGCCCUGUUCCCUGGGCCACGGGAAGGUGGAGAACGAACUAACACCACUCCCUCCUCGCUCCUCCACGAAGCCACCUGACCCUCUGGCUACUGCUCGCCCCCCGUGAGCUCCUGUAAAUUGUGGUGGCCCCUCUUUUCUGCCUCCCACGCCAGAGACUGAGUGACCCCGGUGCCCCUUCUUUGGACAGGGUCAGCGAUCUCUGGACCCGCCAGGCCCUGGGACGGCCCCCGGGCCUGUUAGGAGCCAACCUGCGUGUGUUGGGAGGUGUGGCGCGGGGGACGGGGCACUGAGGGCACAGGGCAGUGAGGUCGAUGCCCAGGAGAGCCCCCGUCUUGCCCCAAGGAGCUGACUCAUUCAGUCGUCAGCGAGAUGCAGUCCCAUGAGAGUAAAACGCAGACUACGGUGAAUGAUAUCUGGAGCUCUUAACUCUUUUUGUUCUUUCCAGACCCAUCUGGGGGUGUCUGACAUUUUCCAUCGCCUCACCCUGCUGGCAUCACGGGGUGGGCGGCGCGAGCGUGGAGGGGUUACCCGGAAAAGCGUAACAUUUCCAGCUACUUCCCAAGUGUCCGUGCUGUAUUUUUGUGGAUACCUUUCUUCCCGCCUGCUGUGAAUCCGUAAUUUCCUUUCGGGUAAUUCUCCGUCGCCACCCUACAUGCUCCACUCCCUCCCCACCCUCACGUUCUGGCAUAAACCCACACCCUGAGGAGCGCGGCUCUCGAUGUGAGAAGGCCAUCUUUGGGAAUUCUGAGAGAGAUCUGUUUUUUUUUUUUUUUUUUUAAUUUUUUUAAAUUGAAGAGAGAGUGAGUGCAGGUGGAGAAGGGGCAGAGACAGAGGGUCCCAAGUAGGUUCCACGCUCAGCACAGAGCCGGAUGCGGUUCGAUCUCGUGAACCGUGAGAUCAUGCCCUGAGCCCAAAUCAAGAGUCGGAAGCUUAACUGACUGAGCCACCCAGACGCCCCUUGGAGGGAUCAAGUUCUUAAAACGGCCCGGUGUUUGCGAAUCAGAAGUGCUGUCUGACUGUCGGUGCAGCCAGAGGUAGACGAAGCCUACCCGAGAGCCAGAAGGCUGAGAACUUGGAUCUGGAAGGCACGGAGUCGGGGUCGGGGAGGGAUCCUGCCACUGGUACCCGUAAGGGAGGGAGGCACCGGCAGCCCCAGGGGCCACCGUUCAUCACCGUCUUCAUAAAUGGCUUGCGUCCGCUCUGAUGGUCAUCGGAGAGGUAGCGUUUUGAGGAGGAGGAGACUUUGAACUUGAAAGUGAGCCGGUGGGAGCCUAGGGGGCCGGGAAGUACAGGAACAGCCCCAUCAUCACAAUACAACGUUGUCCCAGAGGCGCAAUGUCAGAUGAGAGGCCGUGCAGGCAGUGAGCGCGAGGGGAUUUCAGGAAGAGGAGAGGUCACCCUUCUCCGGCCCCGGAGGGUGACGGCAGGGAGGCAGAGCCACAGUGGGUUUUGAGGAGGGGGUGGAGUGGGCAGAUGAGGGGGGGAGAAAUGUCCAGGUGGGGUUAUGAUGUGUGCAAAGGGCUGAGAGCGCGGAUGGUCACAGCCCUACUGGGGACAGCCGCGAGGUCUUCUCCGAUGGCGGCAAGGCCUCGGUUGCAGAAGGGAUGCCUGGCACGGUGGUGUGGACUGGUUGGGGGCGUCCUCAAGGCCUGGCUGGAGACCAGGGUCAGUGGGUGUUGGAGGAGGAGGCUCACUGGGGAGGAGGCCAGUCUACAGGGGGAGGCGCUCCUGGGAUUAGGCCCAAGUCCACACUGCGCCCGGCAGGGGGGCUGGCAGUGUGUGUCACAGGGAGGAGGUCUCAGCCAGGAGACAUCCUGGAGGGGAGGCUCCGGGCCUUCUGGCUGUGGGGGGCGGUGGGCUGGAAGCUGAUCAGACAGCAAGAGGAAUGAGGCCGGAGGGGAGCCACCUGAAGGGCUUCAGGGUGGUGGCGUCCAGUAGGAGGCAGGUGCCGGGUGCCUGGAGGACAACAGAACGGUCAGGGACGUCGGUGGUUAUUCAGAGGCCACCGGGCAGAGGUGACCCUGCCCGAGGUGAGCACCUGCGAGGUGGCCUCUCUGGGAGAGGAAGGCACCCUGCAAACAAAGCAGGAGCAGCCUGGCGAAGCCCGUGGUGGGAGGUCACUUCAGUCGCCCAAAAAACUGCUUGAGAGUUGCAGCGGUCCCAUGCACGGCUCUGACCGUGCCACGGGCUGGUGAUUUCUCGUCGUUCUGUGACUUUGGUUUCGGUUUUGUGAUGAGGGCUCAUGAACCCCAGCACAGCGAAACCCCAAAGCCCUCUGGAAGCAGCGGAAGGGAAAACAGAAAUCCCAAGAACCAGCUUUCUUUACAUCCGGAGGGCCAAAUACUGAGGGUCGUAGACUGACCUUGACCUGGGGUUGUCUCCCGCACCCAGCCUCCCCGACGCCUGCACCUGGGCCUCCCCGGCAUCUGGGAGGGAGCCACAUCUGGGUGAAGAUUUUCCGCGCAGCUCUGGUAAUUCACAUUUCCGUGAUCACAGACCUUUUAACGAGCGCCCUGGAAUGGUGAAUUUUCGGGGUGCACCCCCUGGCCACGGUUGCGUUUCUGGGCUGGUGAUUCAAGAUGACUGGGCGGGUGGGGGAGGAUGAUAUGAUGUCGUCUUUUUUUUUUUUUUUGGUGUGAGCUCUCUUCCAACUAAAUGAACGGGCUACUUUCAAAAAUGCUGCUGUGGGAGAAACGCAGGCACGUGUUUUUGCUCCGAGCACCACGGGUUCUCCGGCAUCCCCACCACCACGUUCAUGCACUCCGCGGUCCCCCCUGCAGCCCCCACCCCCUAAUUGUGAGAACAGGGAGACGCAUUAGCUGCUGUGGACUCACCACCCUUCUUUGUCUGAGGGCUUCCAACCGCCAGCAGAGAUCAAUAAAUUAAGAUAAAGAAAAUGACGUUUCGCUUUGUGUGGGCUCUGUUGUCAGAGAUCUGCUGGGGUUGAAUGGAGAUUCUGUUUCCUUCUCCGAGUCUUAAACGCUCAGGCUGCUUCUGGCUUUCCUGUCGGUGCCUCCUCUCACCCAGACCGUUCUGACACUUUGACUUACCGAUCAACUUACUAUUUUUUUUUAACCCACGGUUUUUAAAAAGUUGAGCGCAUGUGCGCACACACUUGUAGGGAAAGAAAAACAUGCUACCCAACAAGCCAUGUGUCAGAACCGACUAAGCUCUGAGGCUUGCCCUCCAAGAGUGAGGGCUGGGAUGAAAAUUCUCCGUGUAGCCGAUUAACACAGAUCGAACUUUUUUUUCUAAGUAUAUUUAUUUAUUUUGAGAGAGAGAGAGGGAGAGAAAGCAAGUGAGGGGGGUGCAGAGAGAGGGAGAGAGAGAGAAUCCCAAGCAGGCUCUGCACUGACAGUGGGGUUUGAACUCACGAACCAUAAGAUCGUGACCUGAGCCAAAACCAAGAGUCAGACACUGAGCUGACUGAGCCUUCCAGGUGCCCUCACAGAUUGAAUUUUUAAUAGUUUGCAGCCCUGCAUGCUGUAAAUACUUUUUUGUCUCAGAGGAUGAAUACCUCCUAUCGUUCUGUCAAGACAGUAUCUCCAUUUCAGAGAAGGUGUGGCUUUGGAAAGGCAUUGGUGUGUCUCCAGUACUGGAGGGGUCAGUGGGACUUUCCUGUCCCCAGCCUUUGUCCUUGCCUUUUUAUCCACCUGGAUGGUCACUAAAUGCCCAGAGCAGGAGAACGGAACGUCUCUGAGGUUGUCCUGGGCAUAAGUUCUGAGACUAUUGUUAAUGCAAUCCUGGCUGAAGGAAGAAGUUUCUUCUGGUGGAAUUUUUGAUUUAAGAUAAGGUCGUGGAGGGGCGCUUGGGUGGCUCAGUCAGUUAAGCAUCCGACUUCAGCUCAGGUCAUGAUCUCACAGUUUGUGGGUUCAAGCCCCGCGUCGGGCUCUGUGCCGACAGCUCAGAGCCCGGAGCCUGCUUCAGAUUCUGUGUCUCCCUCUCUCUCUGCCUCUCCCUCACUCACACUCUGCCUGUCUCUCUCUCUCUCUCUCUCAAAGAUAAAUAACAUUAAAAAAAAAGAGAAGAUAAGGCCGUGGAGACUGAAGUUAGCAGUCUACUACACGGCCACCCUUACUUCUCUAUAGGAACCUUGGUUUUUGCUUCUGGGUCUCAAGAUUUGCUCAACUCGGGCCACAUGCCAUGAGGGGCCUGGAGGAGAUCUCUGGAGGAGGUCCUGCCUGGGAUAAGCUGAUGAGUUUACAGAGAGGUCACUGAUACCUGCUGGGUAUUGUGCCGCAUUUGCUUGGAGGAAAAGGUACACACUUACCAGAUAAUGAAUGAUUCAUACCCACCAUUCAGUCCAACUCCAGAAAGUUCCUGGGCCCUUGAGAACACAUUUGCUGAGCAUGCAUUGCUCCGUCCGUGGUGGACAAGGCCAUGGCUUAGCUUUCGGGGUCUAUUAUCUCGGGCAAGUGGGCAGAUACGUUUUGCAAAGGUCCAGAUGGUAAAUAUUUCUUGCUUUGAGGGCCCUGUGUCUUUGUCACAGCUACUCAACUUGGUUGUAGCGUGAAAGUAGCCAUAGUUGAAUGGCAUGGAUGUGUUCCAAUAAAACUUUAUUUACAAAACAGGCGCUGGCCAGAUUGAGUCCACUUGUUUUCCGUCCAGAUUUUUCUUCUGAGCUUUUGAAGGGCAGAAGCCAGUCCUUAUUUAUGUUUGCCUGUCUAGUGUCAAGCAUGGGACCUGAUUCCUGGUAUGUGCUGAGUAACACUCCGUGAGACCUUCCAAGGAGAAGGUAUCUUUAUGAUUCACACCAUGAGCUGCAUUGGAGUCAUGACAGCAGAAUGUUUAAAUUAAAGGGCCCUAGCAUAUCACACACCCACCCACCCACCCACAUACAUAGAAAUAUGCAGGUGUCUUACAACUAAACUCACAGACAUAUGGGCAGUUUAUAUUCCAGUUCUAUUGCCCUUUCAACUCUCUCCCUUCCUUCUUCUUCUUUUUUUCUCCUUUCCUUUUCUCAUCUCUUUCCCUAAAAGUUUACUAUACAUUUUCUAUGUGCCAGACACUAUGCUAGGCUGAUAACGUAACAUCUAAAUGUAACAGCCAAGACAUAACAUUUGCCUUCAAGGAGUUUACAGUCCAGUAGCUGAACCCAAAAGAAAGGAAAAAGAAGAAAAAAAGGAGAUAAAUGAAUAAUUUAAUGAAGUGGAAAACACACAUAAAAUAGGAAACAUCGACAAAACUAAAAGAUUAUCUGGAAAGAAUAAUAAAACUGAUUGAAAAAAUAAAGCCCUAGCAAGACUGAACAAGGGGGCGGGGGGAGAAAGAACAGGUAAACAUCAUUAAUGUUAGGCAUGUUAAGGAGACAUCACAACAGAGCCCACCUUCAGUAAAAUGCCAUUACAUUUGAAAAUUCAGAUACAUGGUAAAUUCCUAUAAAACACAGUUUACGAAACGGACAUAAGGAAAAUAUGAAUCUUAACCAGUCUAAUAACUGUUAAACAGAUCGAAUCCAUAAUUUAAAACUUUUCCACAAGGAAAGGAAAGGCUUGGAGGUAAUACACGUACCAGUAUACAAGCACAAGGAUGCUCAUAGCAGCACUAUGUGUACUAGCCCUAAACUGGGAACAGCCCAAAUGCCCAUCGAGAUGGAACAGAUGAGGAGAAAACAAAGCCAUGAGAUGUGGGCCCCUUCGCCCUGAAGCAGUGAGCACUACUGAUGUGUUCUGUUGUGUCAGGAAGUGUUUUCGUGGGAGAGGGCCUUCUUGAAUGGAGGCUUGAGAAAGAAAGAGAGAAAGAUCUCUGCUGUGGAUCUCUUGGGAGGGGUGAGGAGGGAACAGGGUAGGCAGAGACACUUGAGUGGGGGAUAAGGCCAUGUUUGGGAAAGGACAGGCCUUCAGUGUAGCUGGAGAUUAGGAACAAGAGGGGCCCAGGGCAGGCUGAGGCUGGAUAUGAUUCCCAAUGGGCCAGAGAGAGCCACUGAAGGUACAAGCUGGGGGAUAAUGUGGCCAGAACUUCCUGUUUUAGAGGGAUACUCCGGUGGCUUUGCUGAGGUUGGAUGAAGAAAUUAAGCCCAGAGGGAGGCUGGAGGGAUGUGUGAGUUCAGACGAGAGAGGUGCUGAAGCCUGGGGAGACAGUGCCAUUGUGGUGGGGGUGGAGAGGAGAGGGUCGAAACAAAAUCACAAAAGGUGGAAUCUACAGGACCUGGAUGGUGAGUAAAUUCAGGUUGCUGGUUUGGGUGGCCAGGUGGAUGGGGGUCCUAUUCUCUGGGGAGGGAAUGGGGGGAAAGGUAAACAGUUGGUUGUGGGGCAUGUUGAGAUGAGAAUCCAUUGUCCAGUAGAAAGCUGGGCAUCUGGUUUGGGGCUCAGAGGAGAAAUUCAUGCUAGAGGCAUGAGCCAUGGAAAGCAGCAGGUGAUUGGAAUCAUGGAGCAGAAGAGGAGCUCUCUUGCAGAAAGAGGUUGGGUGGAGGGAGAAACCCCUGGAAAGCACCAGCAUUUGUGACAGUCGUGGGCCAUGGUGGGAAGGUUCCUAAUGGAGAGCAAGCAGAGACCCUACCGUUGAGGCCGUCUGCAUAUGCUGGCAUAGUAGUGAGUCACCCUGGCCAAGGAGGGGCCCCAGGGGGAGGAGAGCCCUGGAUUAGGGAGCCCAUUAACAGAAGGAAACAGAAGCCCUUAGAUUAGAUUCAGAGUGUUUCUCCCUUCCAGCUGUGACUCCUGGUCUGGGUCAACACUGGGCCUCUCCAGGCCUCUUGUUCCCUUGAGCAUGAAAGAAACAGGGCCACAGUGUCUCUGAAUCGGGUACAACCUCUGACACACAGCAGUUAAUCUGCACGCUGCUCCCAGAUGACUAUUCCGUCACAGAGGGGCCGCCGGCUCUUUUGUUUCUAAGAAAUAUCUCAGCCAGUGUAGCUUCUGGCCCGGGGCUCGGUCCCAAGGCCUCUGGCUUGCGCUGACCUGACAUCCUGUGUCUGAAGGGGACAGCUGGCCUCGUGUGGGUGCUGGCCGCGGCCUGGCUGGGUCCCGUGGGGGCUCUAGCCUCUACCUCCACACCCUUCCUUGGGGAGAAGGGGAAGAGGUGGAUUUGGGGAUGGGGUCCAAACAGGCCGUGCCCUGGGGACCCCGAGCAGGGGAGCUCCCACCUGUUCCAGCAGGUACGCUUUGUGUCCGGGGAUGGAAACGCGACUGAUUUUCCUUUGAGCUUGGCUGAAGUGUGGGCUUACUAGGACAUUUCAUAACGGCAGGAAAACGAAAUUACAAAAGCUGUGAAGCACAUCUCUCUCUCCCUCUCUCCCGGUGAGGAUGACGAAGAGGAGACUGGCAGAGGACAGGAAGCGCACCGUACAAGAAGCUGUGUGCCAAGAUCUUCCUCCUGCCCUCGCUCGCGCCGUGGCCCCCAAGCAGGAGACAAGCUGGACACGCACAGGGGUCAGAGCACGUUCUCAGGGCCACCUUCCAGGUUUGGUGUUCUCCGUGAAAGAUCCUUGGGUUCCACGCCUAUAUCCCCGUGUCGGGAAGUGAUCACAUUCGACUUUUUGAGGGUUCAGAAGGAGCCGACCUUACAGAUGGUGAAGAGAAAAUGUAGCUGCAGAAAUAGGAGUAAUGUUCUGGAUUCCAGCUCCCAAGCCAGCCACCCCUGUCCCGGGCCUUGGGACUUGGGUGGUAAUCAGCCUGCAGAAAUGGCUCCCCGGGACUAGGGGCUGGCGAGCAAGCAGGGGACUUUGUGAGUCUGUGAGACAUGACGCCGACUAGGCCUCCUUCUGCCCUGAAAGACAUGGGAGACAGUCACCUCCAUCCCUGGUGAGUCAGCAAGCCCUCUGUGGUCUGCAUCCCAGAUGGUGCCACCAAGAAGCACCCAGGACCCUGGUGGGGGAGCUGGCUGUGGGUCUUGCCACGUGAGGUCCUGGACAAGUGUGUCCCAUGAUGCACAGAGCAUGAAGAUGGGGAAGCAGAAGGCGGAGCCGCCCAGCUAGGUGCCUCCCCACCCCCACCCCUGGAGGACGCUUCCCCACAAGGAGUCUGGUGGCCCUGAAGAGGGGAGAGGAGAAAGGCCAGAGCCAGCUGGCUGGGGGAGAAGGAGAGCGCAAGGGGGGGGGGGGCAAAUCCCAGGGCAGGCGGGCUCCCAGGUGGGCAGAAGGCCUAGGCGGCCCCACAGUGGGACUCAGAAUCCAGGAACAGGAUGCGAGAAAGGACAGCGGUCAUGAAGGCCUCUUCCCUGAGAAGGAACAAUGGUCAUUCUUCCAUUGAAGGCUGACAUUCCGUGAGAGAGGAAAGGCCUCCCGGUGGAGGGGGGCGGGGGAGAGCUGAAGGAAAGGGGCGGAAAGGGAAGGGAGGGGGCCCCAGACGCUUGUGCUGACCCGGGGCCAGCACGAGGCCUUUGGAGCCCACUCGGAAUUUGAUAUGUCCCCGUCUCCAGUACCGAGCAGACAGGCCAGCUCACGUGGAUGGCUUCACCUAAGUGUGACGUUACAGCUUCCCAAGGCGCCACUGACUCAGCCCCUGCCCCUGCCCCGUGGCCUCCCAGGACCCCGAGCGGGCAGGCUGGGAUGAAACUGCCCCAGGAGGGGGGGCAAGGGUCUCAUGUGCUCUGUUGUGCGGUUCUGUGAGACUUACCAUCUCUACACACGGGAAGAAGGAUUUCCCAGAAAAAAUAAAGGAAGCCGGCCAAUAUAAUCAAGGCACACAAACCCCUCCUCUUUCCAAAUAUGUGCCUAUCUCCAAAACAAUCAAAACUGCCCCAUUAAAUAACACUUGUUCGGUACAAAGGAAGUAGAGCAUGAUGGGAUUGCACGCCGGUUCCAAGUAAAACAUUCCCGAUUGUUAGGCAUGCAACAAUGAGCAAAAAAGCUGAAUGGCAAUCACACGUGAGGACUGCUGUGCUCGGAGCCCUUCAGAGCCCUUGAGUGCCCAGCGCCGGGGUCACUCGGUGGCUCUCUCACGGUCAGUUCCUGGGCAGAGGCUGCCCUGGGUUGAGGAGGGUCGGAGCCCGGACGGGGCUUCACGUACAGGGCCCAUCCUGACUGGCAGCCUGCGCCCCUGCCUGCUUCCCACAUGCAGCGCCUUGGGCCUGUCCAGCCACCUUGCCUCUGGUCUGGCCCUCGGUCCCCUCAGUGUGAGGUAGGCCGAGGCCACGAUCUGGCAAAGAGGGGGGAGAUGGUAGGCAAGGCCCGAAGGCAGCCGAAAGGAGGGGGCAGCCUUGGUUCUCACCAAAAGAAGGGUUUGGGGGCCUCAGCGACAGCUCGUCUGUUCGGGGCUGAAUGGUGUCCCCACUCAAUUCAUAUGUGGAAGCCCCAACCCCCAAUGGGACUGUAUUUGGAGACAGGCCCUUUAUGGAGGCAGUUAGGGUGAAAUAGGGUCAUUAGGGUGGGGCCCUGACCUGAUAAGAUUAGUGUCUCUGUAAGAAGAGACACUGGAGAGCCCCUCUCACUUGCCCCCUCCCACAGUCCAGAUGUGAGGACGCAGAGAAAAGGCGGCCAUCUGCAAGCCAGGAGGAGAGCUCUUACCAGGAACCCCACGGGCCAGCCUCUUGAUCUUGGGCCUCCAACCUCCAGAAAGAAAUGUCUCUCGUUUAAGCCACACAGUCUGUGGUAAUCUGCUUGAGCAAAUUAAGACAUCAUCCAACGAUAAAUUGGAAAGAUGAAGGGACCCGGAAGUCUUGGGGGCAAGCAGACCCUACAGGCCAUCUGAGGAUCUGUCUGCCAGCCAAUGGGGGCUGCCCUGCCCGGAUCCCACCAAGCCUUCCCCGGGGACAUGGCCAGCAAUGCCACUCAUGUACAUGUGUGCGAGCGCAUCAGCUUUUAGGUUCAGUGUGCUGAGGCCCCAGAACACGGCAUCCCUCUUUGAGUCUUCACUGGGCUGGCCGGGCACCCCUCACCUUUGGGCUUAAGGCCAGUGUGACCCCAUCGUGGGCGACGUCCCAGGCGGCCCCGUGAACCUUCAGGCAGGUGGUAAACAGCAGGGAGAGAUAAAUUCUUAAUAAAUGGAGUCCCGUUUUGAUGCAAAUGCGCCUGCUAAUAAAGUAGGAAGGAGCAAGAACCACAGAAUAUUUAUGACAGAAGCAGGACUGUUUGGAAACAGACGUUUUAUUAGGUUCCCGUGAGGCACCAGCCGCUCUUUUAACAUUUCUAUUUCGGGGCCUUAUGUAGAAAGCAGUCGCUCUAUAAAUAGCAGGGCAAACAAAGUUAAGGAGGGUUGUUAUCAUGCGGGGAGGCUGGGGUCUGGAGCCCGGGGAAACCAUGAGGCUCUGUCCCCGGUCUCGAGGGCUUCUCAGACUAGACCACGUCUCCCGUGGUCAUCUCCCUUCUGGGUGACCUUUUAGCUCUUUCAAACUCUUGUUAAUAUUUUGUUUAUUAUUCUUAUAUUAUUUUAAAUGUGUAUUUAUUUUUGAGAGUCAGAGCAUGAGCAGGGGAGGAGCAGAGAGAGAGGGAGACACAGAAUCCGAAGCAGGCUCCAGGCUCCGAGCUGUCAACACAGAGCCCGAUGCGGGGCUCAAACUCACGAACUCAUGAGAUUAUGAGUUGAAGUCGGACGCUCAACUGACUGAGCCACCCAGGCGACUCUCAGACUCUUCUUUUGGUAAUACCUCCACGCCUGCCUCUGGGUUCCUUCUUUUCUUCUUCUUUCUCUCUAAUCUUUAAGAUGUUUCUCUUUACUUUGUAGUUAUUUAAAAUUUAUUUUGAGAGAGAGAGAGAGAAAGCAUGAGCAGGGAAGGGGCAGAGAGAGAGAGAGAGGGAGAGAGAGAAUCCCAAGCAGGCUCCGCACUGUCAGCGCAGAGCCCGACGUGGGGCUUGAACCCAUGAGCCGCUAGAUCUUGAACUGAGCCAAAGUUGGACGCUUAACCAACAGAGCCAUCCAGGCGCCCCCACUUUGUAUUUUGAAAGAAAUUCUUAGAAAAGAAUUUUUCUUUUCCUCAGAAAAGUUGCAAGAAUAGUACAAGGAACAUCUAUAUACCUUUCAUACAGAUUUCUCUCUCUCUUUGAAUACAUAUUAUUCGCAUUUUAUUUUGCUGAACUGUUUGGGAUUAUGUUGCAGACAAUAUGGCUGUUCACCCUGAAAUACUCCAGCAAAUAUCUCCCAAGAGGGCCUUGCUCUUAUAUAACCAUGACACGAUGAUCUCAUCCAAUGCUAUGAUCUAACAUGAAGUCGAUAUUCACAUGUCACCAAGGAAGGUCCCGAUAAUGUUUUUAUAACACUCCCCACCCUCCUUCCACAAUCCAGUUCCGACUCGUUCACUGCAUUUACUUGUCCCAAUUCUUACGUCUCCUUGAACCUACAAAGAUUCUGUCGCUUUUCUUUGGAUGUCACAGCAUCAAUAUCUGGAAAGGGAAGCAGAAUGAUUAGAAAAGGAAUGGGGGAUUCAUUAGAAGGAUGAGCCCUGGGGCUCCUGGAUGGCUUGGUCAGUUAACCCUCUGACUCUUGAUUUCGGCUCAGGUCAUGAUCUCAAGGUUUGUGAGAUCAAGCCCUGCACUGGGAUCUGUGUUGACAAUGUAGACACUGCUUGGGAUUCUCUCUCUCUCUCUCUCUCUCUCUCUCUCUCUCUCUGCCUCUCCCCAGCUCUCGAAUUUUCUCUCUUUCUCUCUGUCUCAAAAAUAAAUAAACAUUUUUAAAAAAUAGAGGGAUGCGCCCUUACACCAUGAUGGGAGAAGCCUGGGGAGUGAGGUUCUGGAGGGGACAUUGGUGGGGAUCAGAGGACAGUGCUGAGUGAGAACCAGACAGCCGAGUGGGGAGAUGUCUAGAGAGGGCUGUUCCCUGGUGGAGCGUUGGUUCUGAGGUCUCUGUAGGCAAGCGGGGCAGGUGCUGGGGGAGGAAGCAUUACAAAGCAGGAGAGAACAAAGGCCAAGUCGCUCCCAAGGGGACACAGUGGCCUAUGUCUGUCCCCACUGCACCUAGAGAAGCCACUGGCCUGUACCCACACCUGGCCCGGGACGUGGAGGUGGCCCGGCACAGUGGUGGCGACUUCCCCUUUGCCCUGACCCCGUGCGCGUUUCUCCCUUGGCCUGCCCACCCAUUUUUCCUCCCUGCAGACUGCCCUCUCCUCCCAUGAAAGUGAGUCUGACAAGCGAGGGAUGCGUGGUCGUGCUUGUCAGCGGAUGGGCUUCCUCACAGGGCUGAAUCUCCACACCACGCUGUCCUUUUCACGCUUUCCUCCCCUCGUCUCAUUGCUUGUUCUCUGACUUCUCUUCCCUGUGAGAGUGGGAGCACUUCCCGGGAGGACAGGGCCCAGUCCAUCCUGUUUAUGUCUGUACCUCCGGGAUCUGGCCUAGCACCCGGCACCGAGUGCACACGUGGGACAGCGGAUAAACGAACGGGUGCACUUGUGGCUCUGCUGUUCUAGAAACCAUCUCAGGUAGCUUCGGUGACAACGUGUGCUUUUCGGCGCUCGCUGCCAGGAAUAGCUUUGUAGAUGGACCAUAGUGGAUUAGACCUGCCAGCCGUUUUCAGUGGUGACUUUGUCCUGAGAUGGAACUGUUGGAAUGAGGAGGGCGGGAUUCAAUUCCAAGAUUCAGAAAAUUCAGUAUCACCGUGCCUUAAACCAGAUAGGAGUUUAUUUCUGUCUCACAUAAACCGAGCCCAGGGGGAAGCGAUCCGCGGAAUCCUUAGGGCCCAGCCUUCCCCGACCCUCCACUUGGCCCUCGACUGUCUUUCUCCUGGCGCAAGAUGGCAGCACCCGCGUUUCAGGCAGCAGGCAGAAAGAGGGGGAAAAGCAGAGAACAAAACAAAAAUGCAGCCACAGGACACUUCCGCUUACAUUCCGUUAUCUAGAACUUCUAUGGCUGCAGAAGAGGCUGGGAUGUAACCUCUAUUCUGGGCGGCCAUGUGCCCGCCCAGGUAGAGAGUCUCCAAAGAUGAUUUUGUCAGGCCACCAGCAAUCUUUGCCACAGUUGCGUUUGGGGAGAGGUCGCGUGUCUUCCUUCUCACUCCCUCUUUCACGUGCAGGGUGGGAACCAAGUGGAAGGUCUCAGGCCCCGUGCUCCUGUGCGGGGUCGUCGUUAGCUUUUCCUAGGAGCGGGGCAAGCUGGCCGCAGCGUGCUGUGAUUGGGUUAUCUGUGUUGAAUGGCACGAGGUUGUCCACAAGGCAAAUACCGAAUUGCAGGGAGUAGGCUGCACUUAAAUGCACUGGGCCAAAAAACCUAAGAAACACACAAACAAAAAAGCCACCCUAAACCCAAGGGAAAUCUGUCAGGGCUUAGAGGCAGCGGUGAGCAGGGAGGAAGGCAGUAUGAGUUCAUGGUGGGGCCACGGUUUUGCUGCGUCGUGAUUGAAAGAGCGUUUACUAUAGGGUGGGAAUUUUAAAUCUCUUUUUAAAAGCAUGAGUCUCCGGGGAGUGUGUCGGAGGCGGGAACCGCUCCCCGGAGAGCAGUUUUGUAACUACUUGUAGCUGAGUUUAUUUUGUUUUACUGAAGUAUGCCAGGCUGGACAUUUCCUCCUGUUCUCAUGCUUCUGGACUCAGGAAUGCAGAGAGCACGCUGGCCUCCCGAAAGCAUCAUCAGCAGGAUGUGAACCAGGGGCUCCCCCUUCGUGUCCAAAGGGCGAAUCACCUUGCUCCUGAGCCGUCAGCGUGGGUGCGGACUGGGGGCGUCGGGGAGAAGCAGGCGCUACCGGUAAUGGAAGUGUGAUGGGCUGGCGUCUCAGCCAAAGUACACUUGAACGUGAGCUGCUGGUGUUUAUUCAAGUCGACUUCCUCACGUCCUAUGUCCCGGGGGCCUGGGCCGUCCCCGUUACUGCCAUUGCUGCUAUGGUGCGGGAUCCAGCGUGCUCAAGGUGUGUGCCUCUGGGCUGGGCUGAUGCCCAGGGCCGGGCUUCCUUUCUGGAGCUGCGUCAGUUUCCCUCUCAGCCCUCACACUCCUUGGCGGGCCAGAGCGACAAAGGCAGGAGUGCGUGCAGUGUAAGUCAAUCAACGAAGCGAACAAAAUCCAGAGAAACAGCACCUGCCCUCGACUGAGCGCAUGCCGUGUUCUAGGUCCUGAAUGCCCGAGAUCUCAGCACCUCCUCAAGGCGGGGAUCGUCUUCUCACUUCGGGGGUCAGGAGAACAGGGUCGUACCAGUUGGGUGAUGUGCCUCCGGGUCUGUGUGUGAUGGGGCUUGGGGGUCAGGUGGGAUCCUCAAGCUGGGGAGCAGCCUAGCCCCAUGAAUGCUGCCAAGGGGCAUCUCUGUGGGAGAGAGGAGGCACUCUCCCUCUCUCGAGUGGGGAGCUCUGUGGGCUGUGGGGCGGAGCGACCUCCCACGUGGCAGCACCUGUUCCCUCCACAAACCGGCCAGCGCCGCCUUCCUGCCCUUGGGAGCAGACACUGCGGUUGACAAAGGUCGUCCGGCUUAUCCAGCCUCUGUUUUCCUGUGAUAUUGAUGUUUAUGCCAAGGUAACACCCGCACCUUAGUUAGCUUUGGGGCGGAAGGAAGAAUUUCGCUCUGUGGGGUAUAAGAUCUCCUUUCCUGAACUUUCCCCUUAGUGUCCGUACCCGCAGCUGAACCCUUAGCCAUUUCGGUCUGUUGGUUUCCACACGUUUACUGGUUUAUCAAGCUCUGGAGGGAUGGCUUCAUGUAUUUAAAAUCCUCUGCCCGGAUGGGCGCCUGGGUGGCUCAGUCGGUUGAGCGUCUGACUUCGGCUCAGGUCAUGAUCUCGUGGUUCAUGAGUUUGAGCCCCAUAUAGGGCUCUGUGCUGACAGCUCAGAGCCUGGAGUCUGUUUGGGAUUCUGUGUCUCCUGCUCUCUGCCCCUCCCCCACUUGUUCUCUGUCUCUCUCUCUCCCCAAAAUAAAUACACGUUAAAAAAAUAAAAGUAAAAUAAAAUCCUCUGCCUGGUAUAGCAGAGAAUGACAAAUUCUCAAAGACUGAUCGAUAGAUUUAAUAAUAAAAAAAAGUUACUUCCUCACCUCUUUGUCUUCUGCAAAGCCGCAUUUUAAUUCCAUUAAUAAUUUAGUUUUUUUCUCCUACGUCCAGUGGGAGAGAGACCUCAAAGUGUUUAGGCUUUAUUGUUCUGCUGAGCUAUUCAUGGGCCCAUGUAUUUCCUACUGCAUAAACCCAGACUGGACUUCGUGGACGGUGAUUACACUAAACCAACACCACAACGACCCCACCUUACUCCCAGGUACGGCCCAGGGAAUUCUUUUCCAUUAAAUCAUUAUUUUUAGGGGCGCCUGGGUGGCGCAGUCGGUUAAGCGUCCGACUUCAGCCAGGUCACGAUCUCGCGGUCCGUGAGUUCGAGCCCCGCGUCAGGCUCUGGGCUGAUGGCUCGGAGCCUGGAGCCUGUUUCCGAUUCUGUGUCUCCCUCUCUCUCUGCCCCUCCCCCGUUCAUGCUCUGUCUCUCUCUGUCCCAAAAAUAAAUAAAAAACGUUGAAAAAACAAAAAUCAUUAUUUUUACAUCGAGGAAACCUUUGUUUCAGGGCCCUCCCACAUUCCUUCCAGGGGAUUUCCUGCAUUUCUAAGGCACUUACUCUGUGCUAUGGGCAAUAUUGAAAAUGUGUAUAUCAUGAUCCCUGCCCUCAAGGAGUUUACAGUCCAGUUGGGAGUCAAGACAAAAAAUAAUAGAGAACCACAAAGACGAUAUAGUACCAAGACCUAAAUUUUAAACUGCAGAUUGGAUCCAUUGGCGGGUGGGUUGUAAAAUGAGUUUAAGCGGUCACAGUCAGUAUUAAAAAAUGGAAAUAGCAAAAAUAGGAAGGAUUAACAUGCGUAGGAUAUAGUAAGCUUAAGAACUUUUCGGUAAAGGUUUGGUUCUGUUUUAUAUAUAAAUAAAAUCUGUUUCUUACCCUAGGUUAUGGUCAAAUAUGUGUGGAUGUUUCUGACAAGCUAUGUGUGAGACGAGUGGAGGUAAGCCUGUGAAGGAAUGCCACGUGAGAAGGCAUUCGUGACUUUUGUUCAAGUUAUGGACUCUUGAGAACCCUUAGAACACGAUUGGAAAUCGCUCUAGAAACCAUGCAUAUGCCGGGUGUUUUGCACAUCUCAGUGGCUCGUGGACUUUGCAGCCCUUGGUUUCAAGACCUUGGUUGGAGCCCUUUGAUCUGGAGAUUAAAGCCAGGAGGGAGAGAGAGGAGAAAGGCUGGAGAGCUGGGCUACAUUUCCCAGGAGAGAAGAUCAUUCAUCACUCACUUGGGAAGUCAACGAAGGCUUCCAAGGAGGAGAAGCUCUUAAUCCAAUUCAUGUUUUAGGAAGACUGUUGUGGAAGGCAUUAGGGGCUAGAGGUCCAACUCAGAGGGUAUUGUAAUAAUUAUUUGAGAGCUAACAGAGGCAGAUAGGUAGGAGGGCACAACUGUGAGAAGUUUUUUAGGAUAAAAAAAAAGUCAUUGGACUUGGUAUUUCUUUGGAUAUGGAGGCAAUGAGGGGGAAGGAGGAGUCUGGGGUGGCCUCUUGGUUUCUAUCUUUGAGCAGACAGCGUUGCUAAUCACUGAGUCAGGACUAAAUAUAGAAAGGAAGGUAAGUUUGGGGAGGAGCAUGAGUUUAAUUCUGUAGUGAAGGGACAUACGCAAGUAUAUCCAGGGACCUGAUAUAAUCUCCCAACAUUCUCUCUAUGAAACUAAAGAGCAAAAGCCGAGGAGGGCCAGGUUGGGGUGGGAUUGGGGUCCGGCAGAGCUGGAAGAGGAGGGGAUUCAGAUUUUGUUUGGGUACGUGUGUUCUUUGGUGGAACAGUUUGGUAAUCCUGGGGCAACAGGAGUGUCCCAAAGACUCUGAGAGCCCCGAUGACAAUGGAAAUAGCAGGCAAAGUGCAUUGGCUGAACUGGAGUAACCCAGGGUAGCAGCCUGGGUUUGGAAGUACAGGGGAAGGGGCUGGUCCGGCCCAGUAGGGAAGAAGGCCCAGCAGGCGCUGGCCAGGGUGUGUGUGUGUGUGUGUGUGUGGCAAUGUCUAGCUCCAUCUGGAACUAAAGCUGGUGAGUCUGCCCAGCCCAUUCCAUAGCAUCUAUGGGGAAGAGGGGCUCUGCCAGGUCCCACUGAUCCUGCCGGUGGGAAACAUACCAGGAUCCCCCUGUCUCUUCCAGGCCCAGGAGUCGGAUCCAACUGUGUUUGUGGCUGGUACAGAGGAAGGUGAGACGUAUGCAGGAAUUUCACGCUCCUUCACUCUUGAUAGGUGCUGCUAGGAAUCUGGGUUACAGUCAAAUUUGUGUUGGAUGCUCUGGGUGAACUCCUUAACUAUUUGUUUGUGGUACUGCUAAAUAUUUCCAGAUGUCAGCACCACACAUAUGCCACGAUGCUGUGAUUAAAGCGCUCAGUGCUGAACCUCUUUUUUUUUUUUUUUUUUAAUAAGAAAAAUGCAUAAGGAGAAAUUAAAUCUCCCUUUCUGUCUGGAACCCACCAUACAGAUCCUGCAUUAUUUACCAACCACAAGAGUUUUUCCUUGGCUGGUACAUGCGUCUCUCCUAGUGUUUUUUCCAGCUGCUCAUACAGACUUUGGCAAAGUUACUCACUAGCUCCGAAUACCAGGAUUACCCCAUUCUCGUUUAGCAGUUCAGGGAUUUGGCACCUGGAGGAAAAGCAAAGGCGAUUUCAGAAUCCUACUAAUUCCCCAAACGGAGCUAAGCGAUAGUCCCAGCCUCACGGGGUUGUGUGAAGACGGAAGAGGGCAUUGCGUGGAAAGUAUCUACUACAGUGCCUGGUACCCCCCCCCCCGUGGUCUCAGGCAAGGCCAGUUCUUUUCCUGAGGAGGGUCACGUGAUACCCGACCAACAGAUUUUCACAUCGGCUGGGGCGGGGACAUUGGAGCCUCUGGUGUGGGUUUAUCUGUAGUGGAGACAUUGAUCGAAAAUCUUGGGAGUGUUAUGCAAGAAAAGAAACAGGCAGAAAGAACAGUAGUUCUGGAGCUGAAAGUUUGAAUCUCAGACUUCUCUCUUCCUCCCUCAGUGACCUUAGGCAAGGCACUCACAGUUGACCCUUGAACAACGCAAGGGUUAGGGGCACUGACCCUGUCGCAGUUGAAUAUCUGUGUAUAAUUUUUGACUGCCCCCCAGACUUACUACUAAUAGCCUACUGUUGACCGGAAGUCUUACCGAUGACACAUAUUUUGUCAUAUUUUGUCAUUGUCAGUCGAUUAGCACAUAUUUUGUAUGUGGUAUGUAUUAUAUACUGUAUUCGUUUUUUAAAAAAAAAUUUAUUAUCUACUUUGACAGAGAGAGACAGACAGAACGAGCCGGGUAGGGGCAGAGAGAGAGGGAGAGAGAGAGAAUCCCAAGCUGGCUCUGCACCAUUAACGUGGAACCCGAUGCGGAGCUCGAACCCACGUACUGUAAGAUCAUGACCGGAGCUGAGAUCGAGAGUUGGACACAUAACUGACUGAGCCACCCAGGCACCCCUGCAUACUGUUACAAUAAAGUAAGCUAGAGAAAAGAAAAUGCUAUUAAGAAAAUCAUAAGGAAGAGAAAAUACAUUUCUAGUUCGACAGUAUAGGAAAUCCACGCGUAAGUGGACCCCACAUUUCAAACCCUUGUUGUUCAGGGUCAACUGCAGGUUUACUGAGGUUCAGUGUCUUCAUUUGAGAUGGGAACAAUGCCCUUCUCAGAGCGCUGUGGGGAAAACAAAUAAGAAGUCUGGCUAAUGGGAAAUUACGGAGCAACAAAUAUGACCUCUCUUAUUUCUUGCAGCAAAGUUGUCACAAGAGCGUCACAUUCUCAAAUGUCUUCUUUGGUGUUACACAGGGGUUUUACCGUGGGUGCUGAUGAUUUAUUCAUUCAUUCAUCUAACAAAUAUUUACUGAGUCCCUGCUAUGUUCUACAUGCUGGGGAUCCCGCAGGCAACAAACAAAAGCUCUUGCCCUUAUUCAUGGCAUAUUCUAGCGACAGGAGACAGACUGCAAACAUACGGUAGGCACAAGCUACCUGUACAGGUGAUUAAUGACAGAUUCAUUGGGGAGAUUCCAAACCUGACUUAACCAAACUUAGGGAUCCGGUGGCAUGGGAAAUCCAUGGUCUCUAUGCCUACUGAGGCUUUUCCUGGUUAGGAUGACUUUGUUGUGCCCGCACUUGGGGAUCCUCUAGUCCUGUAUGUCUUGUUUGGUCCUUGUCUGCACAGGCUCAGCAGCUCUGUGGGUCCCCACCCUUAGCUUGCUUCCUUUCCAGGUGACGGAUAUCCCUGGAGCUUUAAAGGAACACCCAGCUUCGCUUGAGAAAUAACCCAGGAGACCGAAUAGUGCUUCUGGCUGUACAGAGGACGUUCCAAAGAGUUCCGAUUCUUUAUCUCAGACCGAGGCAUCUCCUUCAUGCUUCACUCAGUCAUCCCUCAAACUUGUCAGAUGCUCUCACACUGUGGUGUUUUUGUUAAUGAGGUUCCUGCAGGCUGGCAUCUCUUAAAUCCCCACCCACUAAAUCCUAUCCAUUCAUCCUGGUUCGGCCCAGAUAAUCCCUCUGUGGCAGAGAAUGUGAGCUACUCUGCAAGAUCCAUUCUCUUCUGAUUCUGGUGGUCAUAGACACCCUGAGCUUGAGCUGGACUCAUGGCAAAAAGUGAAACAUUCCGAGCCAUCCCUAAAGCUAAGCGCAGCUGUGUGACUCAGAACUGGCUCCUUCCGCCCUUCUUGCCGGCAGGAACGUGAACUUGGUGUCAGGAUUUGGUAUUUGGCAGAGCAACAAGAUGGAAGGUGCCUGGGUUCUCAACAUGGUGCAACUGUCCCAUCAGUCCUGGAUAAUUGGCGUCCAAGCAAUAAUCUGAGGGAAAACGAAAGUUUCCUCCCUCCCUCCCUCCCUCUCUCUCACUGUCUUUCUCAAGCUAUUGUUAUUUUGGUUUUCAUGGGAGAAUCCAAAAACUGAUAUCCUAAAAACGCCUCCUGUGCUGUGAAGUCCCCCCAACCUGCCUCUACCUAUAUAUCCCCAAAGUGUGCAAUUUUACCUCAGUUAGUGUUGUCCUAUGGCCAUUUGGGAACCCAGCAAUUUGUAGGAGCUUCUAGUCCUUGACGACGCAAGCCCUUGUAGAGCAGGAACCUGUCUUAUUAAAUGUGUGCCCCCCGUAAUAACGAGCACAAUGCUUUGCUUUUAUUCUUCAUGUAUUUAAUGAAUGUCUGCUCCUUGACUUUUUUGGUGAAUGAAGAAUGAUUCCCUGCCUCUCCUGGACUAAAAAUACUCUCCCUUUCUAAAGCAUCUUUGCCCGGUAGAAAUACAAGGCAAGCCACAUAUGUAAUUUUGAAUUUUUUAGUUGCCACAUUUAUAAAUAAUGCAAAAGGAAACUGGUGAAAUUAAUUUUAGGUGUUUGUUUCAUUGAGCCCUACAUACUCAAAUGUUGUCAUUUUUGUAAGUAAUCGAUACAAAAAUUAUUACUGAGAAUGUUUUACAUUCUUUUUCUCAUACUAAGUCUUUGCAAUCUGGUAUGUGUAUUUUACACUUUUAGCUCAUCUCAAUUCAAACCAGCCUCCGUUCAAGUGCUCAGUGGCCACCAGUGGUGAGUGGCUAUUGUACCAGGCAGCAGAGCUCUAGGGGACCCCAAGCCAGCCCUGAAAGGGUGGGGAGGAUUUGGAUGGGCUGGAAGGGCAUGGAGGAAAUGCCGUGAGGCAGAAACAAGGAGUCUUUUUCUAGACGUUUCAUGGAACUUGUUUGGCACAGGGCUCUGCAAUAUACGGGGUACUCCAGUGACUCUUAGGAACUGUUGAGUGACUUUGAUGUAGAAAGAUUCAUGUGGGAAGAGACAGAACCACUGACAAAACUAAAGAAGAAAUGGAAUCAGGAGAGAAGGGUGUCUGAGCGGAGCUCUGGAGGUCAUUGAAGCCAAACUCAGGGCAUAUCUAACGAUAUAAUGAAUGAGGACACAGCCUUGGCUGAGAGACAUGGUGUGGGGCUGGGUUUUUCGCCGUUGCUGCCUAAGUGACCCUAGAUGAGCCAUUUCAACUCUCUGAGCCUCAGUUUCCUCAGGAAGCCCAUCUGGAAGCAGCACUCUGGUGGGCACAGAGCAGUCUCUUCAAAGGAGCCAAAUUCCCAAUGGCAUGAUAAGGAGAAGCUCACUGGCCCAGCUCUGACAACUCUAGGGUCACUGGACAAGGCAGACUCCACGGAUGCCCCAAAGGAAGGAGUUUCUCCUUGGGCUAUUGAAGCAACGGGUGGUUUCCAUCCAAGGAAGGACUGACUUUGCAAAAAGUGAAAACUCAGAGGUUGAACAAGGGAGGGGGCAGCCACCACAGAGUGGGGUGGGCACAGGCAGUUGUGGAACACGGAAGGCAGGAGAGAGACGAUGCCUUUCUCUUUUCUCAUGGAAGUCCGUUCAUGGAGCUCUGGGGUCCACCAGGGAUUCUGAGUAGAUGGGGCACUAAAUGCCUCUGCCACCCAGACUGGGCUAUACAAGGGAGAAAUGGGGAAUCAUAACUGUCAUAUGGAUCAUUUGAGGGGGAAUCAGGAAAAGUCCCCAAGAACCCCUUUAAAGUCUCAGCUUUCCAGUAUCUCAGACUCAAGUGCUAUUUUGGCCAAAAUGUAUCCAGGUAAUGGCUACAGUUUUCUACAUAACUUUCCAUACUGGUCAUAAAGGACUUAGACCAUUCCCACCAAGGGCAUUGUGGGAGAAGGCUGUGCUAAAGGCUGAUUUGGAGUUGCUUUCAGGAGGGGAAACAGGUCCAAUGUCCCAAAGCUCAAGGUUCCAAUCACCGGAACAUAUGGAUGUCCAGGGAACAAUGGGACUUGCGGUCAAGGUGGUGGUCUGGGAAAUUUGAGUGCUGGAUACACCAGAGAAUCUUAGAAACUUAUGACUUCGUACUUGGGAAGCUGCCAGUGUUUCUGGAAAUGGCUGUGCUUUGGGGUGAGAGCAGCUGAGGAAAUAAAAGCGUUAGGUCCAGGACCAACAGCCUGACACAAAAUCACCAAGCCAAUACUGUGAGUAAGGGGUUGGCCAACCCCAAGGCCAAGUGUAUCUUUGAUGGAAAACGAAUUCUCAAGGAGGAAGCCUAUAAUUGGAUGAAGUCCCUUGUCUCCCUAGCUUGUGGAAACAGCCAGACUUUCCCCCCUUGUUUUCCACAUGGAAUGUGAGUUCUCUAAGAUCUGGCCUGGGCCACAUGGGCUUCAGCAUUUCCUCAUGGUGAUGCCUUCCUCGGACAGCCCCAUCUCGGGUGGAGGGGAAAAUGUUUCUGCUGUGGCAUCUGGGGAAGCACUUGUUACAAUCAAGGUGCUCAACCAAGGUUUGUGAGAAGGAUGCAUUCAUGAUGUUCGCCUCUGAACCAUUAGGGUUAAGUGACACUUGGCACCUCCUAUGUGUUCUUUCUGACUUCGUUCCUCACACCUGGUGGCCCAGGGGGAGCUGGGAGCCUGCCUUUCAUGCCAGAGUCUUAGUAAUGCUUUGCUCCUCUUAUCUUCCAAUAAACUUGAUGAACACGUUCAUUCUAGAACGUUAGAGAUUUAACGUUUCGCACGCACACUGAGUGGCCCGCACUGACAGUUGAGAGCUAAACCAGCCGGGUACGGAUCAGGAUUGAGGCCACGGCCAAUUCACUUCGCCUCUCCGAGCUUUCGCUCUCUUAUCUGAAAAACAGGGAUGCCGAUCAUUUUUAUAGCUACUUCCCAGCGUCUGCAGAGUUCAACGAGAUGAAGAAAAUGCUCUUGGCAGUAGGCACGCGGCAGCCGCACCCGUGCUGGAUUCGCCGACAAGAGUCGGAAACGUACAGGCAUGGUUUUCUCUUUUGCCUUUCAAGUACAUAACCUUUAUGUCAGUUGGCUGGCGCUGGAGAAGAGGCAGCAUAGGGGAGAUUGGGAUUUGUCACGGGAAAGCCCUCCACCAUCCGUUUUAGUGACGUCGCUUCAAAACAGGGAGCUGAUUGGACAGCUUUCAUAAAUACAGGGGUAGAGCUUUGAUUUUAAGCUGCGACGAGAACGAACACCAACGACACAGCCAAGCGCAGCGGGGAACUGGAGGGGAGCAGUGGUAGGGCCAUCUUCCGCUGGUUGCAAGCAAGACGGGGUGCAUUAUCUGAAGGGACUUUAAGACUGAGAAUAAAAUAAAGCCAAAAGUGAGUCCACUUUUUAUGGUCGCCAUAUAGGAGCAGUUGUAUUUUAUUUUGAAAGUUUAUUUAUUUUGAGAAAGAGAGAGUGUGAGAGAGCACAAGUCGGGGAGGGGAGAGAGAGAGAGAGGGAAAAAGAGAGAGAGAGAAUCCCAAGCAGGCUCCGCGCUGUCAGCACAGAGCCCAACCCAGGGCUUGAUCUCAUGAACUGUGAGAUCAUGACCUGAGCCGAAAUCAAGAGUCAGACACAUAACUGACUGGGCCACCCAGGCACCGUGUGGGCAAUUUCAGACAGUAUCUGAUAAAAUAUCCCUCCCCGCAAAAAUAGUGUUGCUAUUCUAAGUUCUCAACAGUUGGCACAAUGGCUGUUGAGUUUUAAUAAAAUAUAUAUAGACUUUUUGGCAUAUUUUUAUUACCUAUCCUUUCCUAAACAUUGUAUUCUCUGUGAAAGGUCACUUGGAGAACUCCCAGUAGGCAGUUGCCCCCCCCCCCCCCCCCCCACCCACUGAACACAUGCUUACCCAGCCACACGGUUUAUUUCGGGAGUACAUUCAUCAUAAUGGUCUGGAAGUAUCCAAGCUCACUUAGGGUGCUAUCCCUGUCUCCAACAGCCCCCUACCGAGGUGUGACAUAUUCCUCUUUUUAAAAAUAGUAUAUCAAUUUAGUGGAAUAUGAUCAACAAGAAUAAGGCAGAUCUAUAUAUAACGAUACAAAAAUAACCUCCAAUAUACAGCGUUCAGUGAAAUAAGCACUAUACAGAACACUGAAAAAUAUUUGAAAAAGUGACAUGUAUGUACGUAUGUAUGUUUUAUACAUGAAUAGAAUCUCUCAAAGGACAAAUAAGAAAUGCUAGAUUCAGAAAGAACGGUAGGGGCCUCUGGGUGGCUCGAUUGGUUAAGCUCCUGACUCUUGAUCUCAGCUCAGGUCUUGAUCUCAGUGUCCUGAGUUCAAGCCCCAUGUUGGGCUCCAUGCUGGGCAUGGAAUCUACUCCCAGUGUGGAGCGUACCUAAAACAAAACAAAACAAAACAAAACAAAACAACAACAACAAAACAAGAUGAAUGGUAGUACAGUGAUCUUAAAGACAAAGACACGUACUUGAGCUACCUCAAUUCUGUCAUCCGCGUGACUGCUUGGCGAUUUCGUGUAUGUUAAGAAUUUAGCCCAGCCGAGGCCGAGGGUGAAUGGGAAGGUGUAACAUUUUUAGUUGGUAGUGCAAAUAUCAGUUCAUACAUGAAAUGUUUUACGGAGUCCAAGCGCUGUUUUUCACACUGGCAUUCAUUUCUCUUUCUCAAUUGUUAAUGGUUCAUUUUAAAGCUAACGAACUCAUCAAGAGGGUAAUGGCUAUUACCGAUUAUUGUGUGAUUCUUAGAUGAAUAACUUGGCCGCAUAGAGAGGGGAGUUUUAAAAACUGAUUUGCUCUGGGUGUCUGAUCCACUGCAUGCCUGACUUUUAAUCAGGACAUAAAAAUGCUUUUCAGGCAUUAUUUUUGUCUUAUCCUCUCAAGAUUUGCUCAGAAGCGCAAUUUAAUCAACACUUGUAAUCGGUCACCUUUGGGGCCACUCCGGAGGCUUGCUAUGAAUUUAGGAGCACCUACUUUCUUAAUCCUAUUGAUCUGCAAACCAUUUUCCUUCCUUACAACACGCUUCCUACUUACUGGUACUGUGAUUGCUCUAAAAAUUCCUUUUACUCUAGAGAUGAAAGGCUAAACAUACAGGGGCUCUCCAGGCAGUGUCUCAGGAUGGCACAGCCACCAACAAGGGCGCCCCCGUUCUUUCGGUCGAGGGAGAAUUGGCAGAGCUCAGCAGAGAAUCUGAGAAUGUGCAGGAGCUCAUUUGGGCUGGGCAAGAGGAGGCCCGGAAUAAAGCCUCUCACGGCCUCUCUUAUGCUUUUCUACCAUGGAUCCUGUUUUCCUACAAAGGACAGGGCUGUGCUUGGCCAUGCACUUGCCCAAGAAGGCGGUGCCUCCUCACAUAAUUCCUGGUGGGUCCUUCCUAAUCCCCUCCCCUGGUGAGCCUUGCAUCCUAGAAUUACAAAGGACCUCUCUCCAUUGGCUUUUUGGGACUUCAUGAUGGACUGAGGCAUGAGCCAAAUGGGUUUCGGCUGUGCCAAUACAGUGCAACUCCCCCCCUCCCCCCGCCGUGCUGGCCUUCUUCGGGGGUCAGGAAGGAGCAUGUGCAACCAAAGAUCCCCAGCUGAUCACUUUCUGCUUUGAGCGACAGCCUCCCAUCUACCCCGGGGUGGGGGGGCCCACACAAAUACGAUUUCGUAUGUGUGCCCUUUUGUGCAAAAUCUUGGGAAGCACGGCUUUGGGGGCAAAGACAGUGCCAUUCUUGGCCGUUUGGGAGAAAUGGAUCUGUUUUGUGCAGAUAAGAAAACGGUGGUUUGGCGUGUUUCGUUGCCUGGUGAAAUUACCCGGUGGUUCUGUCACUUCCAGAUCGAUCUGAGUGUGAGCCAUCGGCAACCCGUGCACAGCGUGUGGCCGGCUGAAAAUGCAUCGUCUCUCGACGUGAAGCUCAGCUAUUUUUCUCCAGCUUGGGUUGUUGUGUUGUUUUCUGCUUCCACCUACAGCCUCUUCACGUCCUCUCGGGGACGUGCUCGGUGACAUAGCACAGCUGCACACGCGGCCGUUCUUUUUCUUCCCGAAAUGAGGGGAAGGCUCUGUGGCUCCAGUGCCCUGUGAUGCAGGCCGUCCAAGAGAUGUCACAGUACGACGGUCGGGACCCCUGUUUCUGCGGAGAUGGCACCACCCGUGCCUGAGGGUGAUGGUGACAGCUUACAGUAGGUGUCCGAUUGUGACACAUGAGUAAAAUGGAAGUCACAAUUCCUUUCGGGGGGAUUUACAAGCUGUCGAUUGAACCAUCCGGGAUUCAUUCACAUUCUGCUGAGGUUUCGUGUUCUCUUCCUACAGGUAAUGAAUGAGGUGCGGGCAGCAUAGAGGUCUCGAAGCCAGAGCACAAUCCGUGGUCGGUAAAGUGCAUUCGGUCAACAAAUAUUUACGGGAGAUCUCUGUGUCGGGCACUGAGCCGUGUGCUGGGGUGCUUUACUCGGCAAGAUGGUGAGAAAAGUUAUCGUAAAGGCCCAAAGAAAUUCCUAUGAACAAAAGCUGGAGGUGUUUUGAAGUUACUUGAAGGUGGUUAUUUGAAGGAGAACGUAUAAGGCGUACCUGGGUGGCUCAGUCGGUUAAGCGUCUGACUUCAGCUCAGGUCAUGAUCUCAUGGUUUGUGGGUUUGAGCCUCGAGUCAGGCUCUGUGCUGACAGCUCAGGGCCUGGAGCCUGCUUCACAUUGUGUCUCCCUCUCUCUCUGCCCCUCCCCUGAUCACGCUCUGUCUCUCUCUCUCUCAAAAAUGAAUGAACAUUGGGGCGCCUGGGUGGCUCAGUCGGUUGAGCGUCCGACUUCAGCUCAGGUCACGAUCUCGGGGUCCGUGAGUUCGAGCCCCGCGUUGGUCUCUGGGCUGAUGGCCCAGAGCCUGGAGCCUGCUUCCGAUUCUGUGUCUCCCUCUCUCUCUGCCCCUCCCCCAUUCAUGCUCUGUCUCUCUCUGUCUCAAAAAUAAAUGUUAAAAAAAAUUUAAAAAAAAAAUGAAUAAACAUUAAAAUUUUUUUUUUUUAAAUAAAGGAAAAUGUAUAAUGGCGUCUGUCUUCCGUGUUUGUAAAUGCGUGUGGCCGAAUCCUCUCCAGACUUGUGGGCUUGACUCUGGGCGUUAGCAGACUUCCGGACAGGUACAAUUGGGGACCAUCGUGUGUCCCAGUAUUUAGGAAUAUAAAUCAGCCUACCAAUGGUUAAAUAAAGUAUGCUCUGUCUUCUUACCUUUUUUUUUUUUUAAUGUUUAUUUAUUUUUGAGAGAGAGAGAGUGCACACUCGCGUGAGCAGGGGAGGGGCUGGGGGAGGGUAUAGAGGAUUCAAAGUAGGCUCUGUGCUGACAGUGUGCAACCGGCUUGGGAUUCUCUCUCUCCCCCUCUCUGCCCCUUACCUGCGCUCUCUCUCUCUCUCUCUCAAAAUAAAUAUAAAUAAACUUAAAAAAAAAAAACCCACACAUUCAUAAGGACAACUGAAAAACGUGUAAAGCUGUGAUUUGUACAUGACCAAAGUUUGGCAGCUGUCCCAAAGCGGCUGCAUUAACUAUUACUGCACAUGCUUAAACGUUCCUUUGUUCUGUUUGAAUGACUAACAAAAUGAAGGCGCAUAAUUUGUAAUUAUUUCAUGUUUAUUUCCUUAAAUUUUUGUCUUCAGCUCAGCGUGGUCACGAAUUCUGUCCUUGUGGCAAAUGUGCUCACAUAAGUUUGUUCUGUCGACGGCAGUGAGCUCAAGGAUUUAAAAAAUGUAAGUGUAUUUAAAAUAUGCAACACGUGGGUGUGUUUCAUAAAAAGUGUGAAGUACAUGUAAAAAUAUCAAAAUUAAUUUUUCAUAUGUAUUUUCAAAGAAAGUUACUUUUUCCUAUAAAAUAUAAAAAUUAAAACGGGAAAGGGAAAAAUACAGAUUAUAAUUAAUAAAUGUGGAAAAUGGUACGACAAAAUUAUUUAAAGAAAACUGAAUUUUAAGUUUAAUUUUCUAAAAACUGAAAUCUGAUUAAAUAUUCAUGCCGAUCAUGCUUCGUAUUGCUAGCUUCCGACUCUCACCCAGUGGCUAACAGAAGGGAUCCGUAUCAUGCAUCACACAUGGACUGUUUAGACCCACACAGACAUGGGGUUAAGGGGUGGCGCAUCAUCACGUUUCUCAGCCGCCAUGUUGGUGCAAAUAUCAUGGUAAUUCCCCAGUAGCUACAGGACCAGGAGUUGAAGCCAGGAAAUGGAUGAGUAGUUCUCCUGGAAAGUAGAGGGUCGGAGGGGAAAGAGCUGACCGGUUAAUUUGCUUGUGUUUUCUCUCCCCUGCAUGCGUCUGCCGGUCAAAUCCUCCCUGCGCUCCGGAAUACCAUCUUGCCUUGUAUCUGCAGCCACAGUACGACCCACAGACCUUCAUGUCUUGCAGGCGGUGAGUUUUUCUUUUUUCCCAAGGACAUAGGACACAAGAUACGGAGAAGCCAUGGAGAAGCUGUUGCCUGGGGCCCGAGCUGUGUUGGGCACAGGAGUGGACAUUAGGGUGAUGAGUGAGGCUUUGCCAGCCCUGAACACUGGAUCCCCAGUGGCUGGGGGCGCCGUGUGAACAUUAGCAACAUUUUUGUUCUUGUGAGUGUGGGGCUGUCUAAGCCUCGGGUCUCAGGACAAGAUCUUAACCCCCUCAGUCUACCGGGAGUGUUGACAGCACUCAAACACAGCAAGAUCCCAGAAAGGGUUUCCUACUUGGCUGGUGGCUCUUCUUACCCUCUGGUGGCUCUGCCCUGCUCACUUCUGGGGGGUGGGAGGUCCUGGACAGGGCACUUUCUGGAGGCCUGGCCUGCUUCAUGGCUCAUUUCCAUCCUGGUUGCUUCCUGGAGCAGUGCGGCAUUAGAGUUGAAGUCAAGGUUGUACAGUCGGCCGGGAAUAAAAGUAUCCUUUGUGGUUUGCAUGAAGUUGCAUGAUGGGUAGGCCUUGGACAGAGGCACGCUUUCUUUCUGGGAUGCUUCUGCCCUGCUAUCGCAAGGCUGGGCUGCACCCCGCGGGCUUCCUGAUUGCAACAGGGCAUCUGCUCUCACCCCACGUUAGACCCUCAUCCCCAGGUUAGCCUAGCCAGUAGUGGGAAGGGGGGUGCUCUGUGCCGAUUCCCGACGGUGCUUCUGUGGUGGAAUUCACAGGUGUGGUUACGGUUCUGUGUUGUCAUCUCUCUAGUUGUUGGUUGCAAAGCUGAGCCGGAAUAUUCUGUGUGCAAGCAAAAAAUAAAUAUUGUAUUUCAAUAUUAUGUUCCACUGAAAUACAGGGAGAUAAUCGCGGGACUCCAGUCAGGGCUGUUGGUAUUUAUCAGGUGCUUUACUGUAGCCGUAGGUCCGGCAGGGCAGACAGGCUGGACACGAAGGGUUAACCAGCCAGCUGGGCACUACAGUGAGAAGGUGACAGGCCAGGCAUUUUUAAACCAUUAGGGCCUCUCUUCACGCUCAGAAACCCGCUCCGUGGGUCUUCAUCCAGACUGUGUCUGAGGCACGGCUGACCUGGCUUUCACCUUCUGUGCCCUUAACCUGGCUUCCCAUUUACUGUAACUUCAUUCCCCCCAGAUCCUGAGCUCUAUCCACCCGAUAACUUCACCUGGACUCCGGAUUCCUUCUCCUGGCUGAUGAUGGUUGUCCUGGGAGCUUCCCUGCCUCCCUCAAUCCCCAAGAAUACAAAGCAAAAGAUAUGGAGAAGGGGUUUGAAAUUCUCGUUCCUGAGGGUCUGACAGGUUGAGACAGACAUUCCCACCUAGAGAGAGGGCAUAUGGGCAAAGUUAAAAAAAAAAAAAAAAAAAGGUGAAUGCAGGGGCACCUGGGAGACUCAGUCAGUUGAGCGUCCAACUCUUGGUUUCAGUUCAGGUCAUGAUCCCAGGGUUGUGGGAUUGAGCCCUGUGUCGGCCUCUGCACCGACAGCAUGGAGUCUGUUUGAGAUUCUUUCUCUCUCUGCUCCUUUCCCGCUCUUUCUCUUUCUUUAUCUCUCUCUCUCUCUCUCUCUGUCUCUAAAGUAAAAAAAAAGAAAAGAAAAGAAAGAAAUAACGAAGGCGGGAGUAGAUGGCAAGGCCCACACAACAUUUCUGGUGGGUGUCCGUGUAACAGAGGCUUACCAGGGAGAGCCAUGAUGCUCUCAGGUCAGGAUGCCACGACCAGCCUUGCCGGGCCCUGCUGGCCCCAGUCCCUCCGAUCACCUGGCAGCCUCACACUUUGAGAAGGUCCCAAGGCUCUCACGAUGAAAACGCGUGACCGUAACAACUCCUGCGAUUCAUGUGUCUCCUCCGUAAACUGAGCUCUGUGCCUGGUGACAUUAGGUGCGUCUAACGCCACACUGAGAAUAGAUUAAGUCGAACGGUCGUGCGGUCCUUUGCAAGGAUACCCCGUUUCUGUGGUGUCGCAGAUGUUUUGGUUGGGUCUCAUUUUUAAGCGGCCUUAGCCAAAAACAUCUUCUUGUAGAACAGCCGACUCACUUCAGUAUUUCACUUUGGACAGUUGCUUGACUUCGUUUAGCACCCCAUGCCGGAGCCCGGUCUCCCCAGGCCCCGCACGCUUCCCUUCCGUUAGCGUCAGCGGGAGCCUCGGCAGACAGAUUGAGGCCAAGGGAAGGUGGACCCCGACGGCUGCACUGUGGGGGCAGCGAGCCUCGCAGAGCAGAAAGCUGGCGCACGGGGAGAGUCGUCAAUGAUGCCUUGCGAGCCAUAUGCCGCCUUAGAUUGUAUUUACAUUGAGACAUACAACAGCUUGUUAUCAAACAAGGCAAGACACAAUACUCAGCGGUAGGAGACCGCAGCCACAGUGAGCCUCAGAGUCUGCUCCCCCCACCUGCUGUUGCCUGGGCGUUUAAGCUGGCAGAAAUCCUGAUCAGGUCAGUGUAGGGAAAUGUGACAAUGUCUGUGUUGGGCGCCGAUGGACAGACGUAGGGAGGCUCUCCCUACACUCUGAAGCACGGAGGUAUUUGCAUUUCUGCUGCCUGGCUCGAUGAUUCCUCCAGGAGCUGGUUGAUGUCCUCAGGCCUACCCCGGUGUACCCUCAAGGGCUUUUCUGGUUAAGGGCCUUCCAAAGACGCAGUCCUGGAGGGGGGCCGCCUCGAGACCCAUCUGUGAAAAUACGCGGCUGAGACAGUGCAGCGGAAGCUGACUUGGAGCCCAGGGGGUGUCUGUGCAGGGCCUGGCCGGCUCCUUUCGGGGGGUCGGGUGGGGGGUGGGCCGCCACCCAGUGGGAACCUGACAACACAAUGCACAGUUGUGUUGGCGGUUGGGGCGCAGGCGUGGUUCUGCAUUGUUGCUCAGCCUGGAUCAGUGUUCUGUGACUGUGGGGGGCUCUCUCCUGUUACAAGUUGUGCAGAGCUGAGGUCCCAGCUCAGAUUCCACCGAGGCCCAGGGGAGACAGAGGAAAGCCCCCUCUCUCGGCUGGAAGGCAGACAGGGAGAGGACAUAAAGAGGGAGUCCCUUUGCCUGUGGCCUGGCCUCACCGACCUGCAAUCCACACGGAUUCGGUGAGAGCUCCCAUCUCACUAAACUCCCACUGGCGGGACGGUGUCGGGAUGUUCUCGCAUGUUAGGGGAGAACCUUUUGGGGGAGAAGGUGACGUUGGAAAUUCAGGCUAGAGACUCCAUAGAGAGCUUUUCUGGAAUUCCUUAGUGGGCGGAGCCUCACGUUUAGGCUGGUUAUCCCUGGGAACCAAAGAACCUGGCCGAAGUCUGAUGAGUUUAAUGCAGUUAUCUAAUGAACGAGCCAGACUCCAGGGAUUUUUAGGACCCACUUUGCACCUGAGAUCCUGCGUGUCAGUCAGGGGGUGAGUGCAAGCUCUGUCUCCUUGGACACCUGAGUUUAAGUCCCAUCUGCCAGUUUUUUCACUUGCUGUGCGGCCUGGGGCAAGUCACUUAACCUCUCUGCACCUCCGUCUCCUUAGCCCUAAAACGGACAGUUGGUACGAGAAGUCGUCUGGUUCACAGUAGAUGCUCAGUAAAUGGUGGUUGUGCUCCCUCCCUCUCCUUCUCUGAGUUGGCAAAGGCACAUGGGCAACACGGUCCCUUCUUCUCUCAAGUGCACUCAACCACGGACCCAAGCGUCCUUCCCAUCCCAGCAGGAGAGGAUCUUCAGAGAUAGUGUAAUUCAGACGGAAGGCACCGUGUCUCUCCAAGGAUAGGUGUUCUCUGUCUACUGGGCCAGCUGAGAGUCCACGUCCUCUGUUGGUGCCCGUGACCCUCACACCCUCCACGGGGGGCUGACUCGUUUGCAGGUGGCCGAGCUGGGUGGUCUCUAGGCUUACCCGGCACACGGCUUUGUCAGGUGCCCAUCAUCACGCCCGACGCCCCUGCUUGGCAUGUAACUUCCUCCCGCCCCCGCCCCCCUCCGGUGCCUGCCCCCGGUUCACCAGACGGGCAGUGAAAGAAGGUGGAGAGAAAGAGAGUUUCCAGUCUCCCUGACCUCGGUUAAAAUCUCCACUCUGCUGGUGGUUAGCCGUGCAACGUUAGGCAUGUCCCUGAACUCCCGAGUCCCAGAAUCCUAGUCUGCAAAGCAGGAUAUUAAUUCCUUCUUGGCAGGAGUGUUGUAAAUAUCAAAGGCAGCGAAGUAUCUGGCACACGGGAGGCAUUUGAUAAUAAUAUCCUUGUUAUUCAGAGCAACGUUCUCAUGCCCUUAAAUCAUUCUCUUUAAAUAAUGAGAACAGCGGUUCCCAAAGUGUGGCUCCUGGGACAGCGGCCUCAGCAGCUCCUCUGGGGCUUAGGAGAUGUGGAUCCGGGGCCCCACCCAGGACUUCUGAUUCAGAAGCCCUGGGGGCAGCCUCCACAAUCUGUUUUCACACAGCCCUCCAGGGGAUUCCGAAUGCACCACGGAGCUGGAGAACCUCUGAAUUGGAAAUAUUUUUCAAAACCUCACCGCCCAAGGUCAAUUCUUUUGCUUGUUCCCGGAUGUGAUUUGGGAGGGUUUCCAAACUCAAGGGCCACGGAGGCUGGUGCAGAUACCUGUGGCCUGGGGCUGCGUAAACGGCCUGCCUAAAUGCAAGAGAAGGCUCCAGAACCCUUGAGCUGGGCCUCCUCCCGCUCCGACAAGGGCCUUUGAUCAGUGUUCCCGACCUGGCUUACUACCACCCCCUCCCGCGACCAGGAGGGCCGUUCUCUCUUCCCUGGGAGCAGAAGGGUGCAAUGCAGACCCCGUGCUGAGCUGUGCUCCAGCCCAUGCGAAGGUACUUCCUCCUUACAGGGCAAAGGCUGGCCAGGGCCUUGCGGACAGCUACACCCGUGAUUGCCCAGGUAUGCGGUGGCAAGGUACUUCUUGAAGGGACGCUGCCAACGUGGCCAGACCAGCGCUUUGCCUGAGCCCAGACGGUGUUAUUAGUACCGUAUGGCGGCUCUAAUUUUAGGGGAAGCCUGAUGCCUUGGUGUUGUCGUAUUCUGUCAAGCAGUCUUCCAAAGGAUGUGCUCAUUUCUUUCAUGUGGUUUCUUCGCCCGCUCACCGAAUUAUUGAAUGGGGCCACAUCCAAGCAACUAACGCAAAUAGCCCUUGACUCCGUUCCAUGACCCGCCAUGGUUCCUGGGGGCCUCCGAGGUGCCGGGGACUGCGCAAGGGGCCACGAAGCGUUUGGCGUCCGGGACGGCUUCGGUUCUGAGAACAGAGCGUUGCCAACAGCUGCGCGAGUCCUUCAAGGCCCCGGAUCUUCGGUGUCAUGAAUGGACGCGGCCCCAGCGUGAGCGCUCCACGUUUCACUUCUCUUUGCAGACGUGGUGUGGCCUUGCGGUGAGGUGGAUCCGGGUUCGAAACUGGCCCUGCCACUCACUAGCUGUGUGACCUGGGGAAAGUUACUUAGCAUCUCUGAGCCUCAGUGCCCUCAUCUCUCCAGUCGGUCAGAACCCUUGCAGGGCUGUUGGGGAUAGGCAAGAGAUCUCUAGGAAGGUGCCUUGGAAAAGGUGAUCCAUCUCAUCCUAUGGCAACGUGACUUGGAAGGCACUGUUUCAAAAUCUGAGCGGAAGGAAGAAAGAAGGCUUGUGGAAGUAGAAAGCAGAGGUCCUUCCAGGAAUGUCUGGCCUUCCUGUUUCGUUGUCCUUCACCACGUGCCCCUCUGGUGAGUCCCCUAGGGUGCUCCUUCUGGACACCGGCUGAGGGACGUGUGCCCAGAACCGGGCCCUUGAGCCGUGGUCCAGCCUGUCAGCCGACCCAUGGGGCUGACUCAGGACGCUGGCGCGCUUGGCUGCCUGUUUUCCUCUUCGAGACAUUUGUCUGGAACCACUUGACUGGCUAGCGGAGCAGAGGGUUCGAAGAACUGGUUCUUGACUUUUCACCGCGACCUCAUAGUCAGGUCGCCUGAGCCCUGUGGGGAGGACAGAGCUCUCCAGAGGAAAGGACAGGUGAGACAAUGUCUAGAGAGUUCUACGCAGGAGGAAGGUGCCGGAACAGAGCUGCGCUGCGGGGGCUGGGGGCUCCCACACAGGACUGGCCUGGGGCGGGGGGCGCUGGGUUAUCCCCUGGGGUGCUCAGCGAAUCAGGUGUUUUGAAUGCAGAGUUAGUAAUCAGUAAACUCAUCCAGACAGGCUGGUUUUAACUAGGAAGCAAAACAGGAGCAAACACAUGUAAAACCUUUUGGAUUCUUUUCAGCAUGCGGACAGUUUUUAAAACUUUCGUGGACGCUUUCUGUGCAUGAUUUUUAUUGUGGUAAAAUACACUUAACAUCAGAUGUACCAUUUGAACCAUUUUUUAAAAAGCUUUUUUUUUUAACAUUUAUUUUUGAGAGACAGAGAGCAAGCGGGGGAGGGGCAGACAGGGAGGGAGACACAGAAUCCGCAGCAGGCUCCAGGCUCCGAGCUGUCAGCACAGAGCCCGACGCGGGGCUCGAAUUCACGGAUCACGAGAUCACGACCGGAGCCGAAGUCGGUGGCGUAACCGACUGAGCCACCCAGGUGCCCCGAACUCUGUCUUCUUAACAUAGGAACUCUGAUCCCUCAGACGCAGGCACAAAACAAAGGCUUGAACGUUCGUGGAAAUGUUUUGCCCCCCUCGGAACAACCGUGGAUGCCUUUUGCUUUGCUCUUGCUGAAAAGAGCAGUAUAUGCUGUUUAUAAAAGAACACUUGCGAAGAAGAAAGACUUGGAACGGACCACCGUCUUCCUGAGUUGUUGACAGCUGUUAUUCAGUGGAAAUCUCAGUGGAAACAAAGAAAUAUCGAAGCAUUGUUUCAACGUGAACAUUUGAAGUGGCUUCCUUCCAAAGCUUGGCUGGUUUAGGUACCUGGGAUCUGCGGCCAAAGCCUCCCGCACCGUCUUGAUUUCUCCCCUAUAGCUAUUGUUGACGCAGCUGUGGAAAAGUCUGGUGUGCAUCCUGAAUCUGCGCUCGCCUCCACUGGCGGGGAGUCACAGCUUUCUAGGCUAUGUCACCAUCUCUUCCACGAUCGUUGGCCGCUCUGUGUGCAGGCGUUCGGGGUCUUGAGGAAAAGCCAGCUUUUCCAUUGUUGGGAAGGUUGGCAAGGCUUUCUCAGAAUCCCAGGGGGCGUGGUGGCCAACGUGGAUUUCGGUGGAAAACCCCCGCAGUAGGAAGGUAGGAGGAAUCUGGGGCAUCUAAGAGAAGCUGACGGACCCCUCCCCGUCCCCCCACCCAGCCCUGCAUAUCAUUGGUUUUCUUUUCUUUUUAAAUAUGUGACGGGGGCACCUGGGUGGCUCAGUCGGUUGAGCGUCUGACUUCGGCUCAGGUCACGAUCUCAUAGUUCAUGAGUUCAAGCCCCACGUCGGGCUCUGUGCUGACAGCUCAGAGCCUGGAGCCCGCUUCGGAUUCUGUGUCCCCCUCUCUCUGUGCCCCUCCCCUGCUCAUGCUCUCCCUGCCUCUCAAGAAUAAAUAAAUAAAAAUAAAAGUUGUGGCGUGCGACUUGGGCUCUUUGAGCCCUGGGCACCAUGUCACGGACCUGCUCACCUAGCCUGGAUGCUGACUCACCGUGUGCCCUGCUGAGUCAUUUCAUGUUUGGUUUUGUAUUGUUUUUCCCACCAAUAAAAUGGGGAUCAGAACAGCCAUCCCGGUUUUAAGACUCAGAGGAGAAAACAUAUGUGAAAGUGAUUGGAAAGUCAUAAAGCGCUUUCCAGGCGAGGUGUGGCGGGCCUUUCGGGGAGUGGGGUGUGGGUUGGGGGUGCCGAGCCCCUCGGCCCUCUGGCUGUACGUGCCUCCCGCAGGUGUUCUCAUUGCCCAAGCCGGCCAGGACGAAUGACACCACGAGCGGGGAAGCGCUGUGAGGGAGGGCGGGCGGGCGACGAGGGCCCCACGGCAUUAACUGAGAGGACUCAACACGCAUCCUGGGCGAAGGGCUCCCGUAAUAUUGUCACUGCAGUCAUCCACUUCAAAUGCCGCUUCCUCCAGGAUGUCCCCUCUCUUCGGUCCAUGGAGGCAGCCUCCCAGGGGCAAGGACAUCAUUGUGUUAGAUGUUACCUCUCGGCUUCCUGAUUUGUUGCCGUCGUCGGGUGUGUAAUCUUUGCAAGUCCUUUUCACCUGGGCUUUAUCACGAAACUCCUUGAUCACAGUCGCGUGCUCAAACCCAGCAACCUUGGGGCUGAGUUCUUUGAGCCCAUGUUUACUUACGUCACCACACUGAGCCAUGGGUGUAUAGCAUUGGGACAAGGACAUUUGACCAAGUGGUUUGGAUGUGGAAUCUGGGGUGGGUGAGCGGCAUGUAAUUCUGUGUUUAAGUAAGCAUGUUUACACAGAGACUUUUGUCCUGUAGAUACUGGUUUCAUGACAUACCUGAGGGUCACUGUGCAGAAGCAUCGGGCCAGCCUGGAGUGAUCUCGUCUCAGAAGGCACGAGGCUGGGGCCUAGGAGUCCUGGGUACCCAGGGGAGAGGGGCCGCCGUCUGGGUAAGGGUGGGCUGGCCUGGGCUGUGGGUCCCUCUCCUGGGCAAGGGAAGGCCAUGGCGCAAGGAAAGUUCUGAAACACCAAGAGGAGGCUUGGGGCUGACUGUGGACCUAAGGAAGAUAUGGGAAAGAGCUUGGCAACUGGCCGAGAGGGUUCUGGAGGCAUUAGCUGGGGCCACUGUGUGUGUGUGUGUGUGUGUGUGUGAUUGGGGUGGGUAGGGGCAGGGAGGGAGGAAGGGAGCCUUGUACUCAGAACAGUAGCAGGACCCACAGUCCCCAGGAGACGGUUGGGAGAGAACCAGUUUGGGCAGAUGUCAGCCGGAGUGUGAGGAUGUGGUUAUAGGGUCCUUGAAACCUGUGGAGCUCACUCCCCCUUCUGAUGCUCAGGCCCCCCCUUUAAAAUGGCCCAAAUGAAUAGUCAGAGACCCCGUGUCUGGUACUCCUAGGGACAGGAUAGCCCUAUUGGAUCCAUUCUUUGUUUUUCCACUGGGUUCUGUUCGAGGCACAACUUACGCACAAUAAAACAUGCACAUACGCACAGCUCCGUAAACGCACAGCUCAGUAAACAGUCCUGUUCGCAUCCACCCACAGAACCACCUCCCAGAUCAAGAUGGAGAGUAUUUUCACCAGGCCAGCCAGCUUCUUCAUACUCCUUUCCCGGAAGCAACCCCACUACCCACCCGAGGGCCAUUACUUCUCUGCCUCUGAUCACCUUAGAUUAGUUUCGCCUGUUUUUGAAAUCUGCGUAACUGGGAUCAUUUGUCACCUCGUUUGUGCCCAGCUGGUGUAUCCCAGCCCCUCACUUCGUUGAGCCUCCUCUGGGGUGCACGCCUCUGCUCCACCCCCAUCUCAACUCCCUUCCCAGGGAGUCUGUUUCCUGGCACCCCCCCCCCCCCAGCCCUGCUCGUCAUCCCCCACCGCCCCCAGUCCUUGCUCACCUCCAUGGUGGAAGGUGUGCCAUUACCCCUGGGAGAGCUCAGUGUUGAUGCGCUGCUGAUGGCGACCCCCUGCUGAGCGGGGCUGCAAGGGCAGGGGGAGUCGGCUCUUCUCAGCUCCGUAAAGGGGAAGGCUGUGGCCUGUGGUUUGGAGAGGCAGGCUGGCGAUGAACUUGAACACGAGCUCUUUGACCUUGAGAAAGUCGUUCGACCUUUCUGGGCCUUAGUUUCCUCUUUCCCAAAAUGAAGGAGGCGUUAGAAGCUCUUUGAAGCUCCUUGUGGGGGGUGCCUGGGUGGCUCAGUCGGUUAAGCCUCUGACUCUUGGUUUCGGCUCAGGUCGUGAUCUCAUAGUUCAUGGGAUCAAGCCCCGUGUUGGGCUCUGUGCUGACAGUGCAGAGCCUGCUUGGGAUUCUCUCUCUCUAUCUCGUGCUCUCUCUCUCCCUCUCUCUCUCUCUCUCUCUCUCUCAAAAAUAAAUAAGUAAACCUAAAAAACAAUAAAGUUCCUUAGUCCGUGAUCCAAGAAUCCAGAGUGUGUGAUUCUGAAUCUUCCCUACAUGGGUUCGUCCACACAUCUUCUGUGGGUAUGUGGUUCCCAAGUGAAGCUUCAACGGAACACGCAUGCGUGUGUGUGUGUGUGUGUGUGCCCCAUCUUGCAGUUCAAUAUUCCUGCAGACCUAAUUCAUUUUAUACCCUGGGUUUGAAAAAAGCCAUCCCAACAGCAGGGAUUCUAGCCCGGUGGACGGCUGGCCUCCUUGUACUGAUUGAUGAGGGGCUUUUUUUUCUCCCAGCUGACCUCGGGGGCUUGCCCCUACCCUCAGGCAAAGGGCUAUGUGGUGGUCCUAUCUAUAGACGUUUCCAGAAAUGGAUGAAAGGACAGUUCUGUUCGGAGAGUAUUUUGAUGUCUUGGUUCAGCAGUCUUAGAAGGUCUUUAGGCUCCAAAAAAGAAUCUGUAUUUUGGGAUUCAGUUCAAAAUGGGGCUCUCGGGUUCCCCGGUGAGGCUGUCUAAGGGGGAUUCAACCAUCAGCGGCGGGCCAGCUCCUGGGCUGCCGGGCUCAGCUUCCCAUCUGUGAAAUGGGCGAACACUCCUUGUUUUAUCUUGCAGGAUUGUUGUCAGCAUCUGACACAAUAGCCCGGAGACAAUAGAUACACAGCCCAGGAAAAGGCAUCGUUCCAGUGAGUCUUAGCUGUAGGCCAGUACACCUUGGGUUUGGUCCAGGGUUCAGCUGGGUAGCAAACUGACUCUGGUUUUCGUGUCCUUGUUCGAUCAGAGCCCAGGGCCUUCAGAGGGUUCCUUCAGUUCUUCUCCCGACCUUUCUGCCUUUUCCUAUCUCUGCUCUUCUUCCCCUGUACACGUGAGCUUUUAUUGCUACCAGCUGGCUUGGGAUAUUUAGAAGCGUGGUGUAUUAUAGCCAGGUAAGGACUUAGAUUGCUUCCGUGAGAGCAGCCCAGAGAGGCUGAAUCGCCUGCCCCAGGCCCCUGGACCUCGGGCCUCUGAUUCGCCUUUGCAUUAGCUCUUUCAGUCUGUUGCCUCUGACCGCUCUAACUCGUUUAAGCGGGUUGGCUUUGUCUUCGGCUCUUUGAGGACCCGGGCUAAGCCUCACACAGGUACUCAAUGUUUAUCUUUGAUCAGAUUGGACAGUUAAUAAAUAUUUGUUUCAGUUAAUGGAAGUCUGAAGGAAUAGAUACAUCGUGCAGCGUGUUCUUGCCUGGGAAUUAUUUGUGACUACGCCUAGCCUUGGUCCCAAGGUAUGGAAACCUCUUAACACCCACCCCCUCUUUCCUGGCGGUGCCUUCUGCCCUUAUUUGUAGCUGAGAUGGUCACGGCCAAUGUGCAGUGGAGGCGAAGGAGUUAAUCUCUGUCCCUCAGUCUUCUUCCUUUGCCUCUUGCGCUCCGAACAUCCUUGAAACGUUACCUGCAAGUUACUGGAGCUUUAAAUCGAAAUGUCAACCCUCUCUCCGUUCCCACUUACUGCACCGGCCCUCGCAGGACACAAUGUGCUGCUUUAACAGGGGGUGACAUCCUUCCUAAUACGUCUUCUGUGGGUGACUUCUCCCGUGGGGCAUCUGCUGCACGGACAACGGGCUCGCGGAUAAUAAGCGCUCGGAUCUCACCCUUCCAUUAUGUCAUUUGGUUCCCAGCUUCUGAAACUCAGAACCGAGACAUAAGCCCAAUGUGAGGGGAGUUUUUCUGAGUUCAGCAUGACCUCCAGGUUCUGGGUGAACACACGGAGGCCCAGGGGCCUCAUGGCGCUGGGUCAUUGGCUGAAGCCGAAGCCAACAGCAUUUCUGUGGAGGAGGUAGGGCUGUGGGUGACAUCCUCUUUCUGGAAGACUGAAUUCUGGGGGACCCCUUUCUGUUUCCAGCGUGGGGUUGUGUCUGCACUGCUCAGCUGCUUCUGUGCGAGCUGAUCAGCUUAGCCUGACAGCUCCUGGCGUUGGACAGGAAGGUGGUGUUUUGGGACCCGCUUCCCAGCUCAGCCUGCAGCUGCACGGCACCAAAUGGCCAGGUUCGUUCAUAAUUUGAGCCCAGUUAACUCUGUCUUCAUAGAUCCGGGUUCGACAUGGUAGUGUUCGUUUGCUUAAAAUAGAGACACAAUCCCGAACCCGGAGGAAACCGACAAGGGCUAUUUCACAGCCUCCUUUAAAAGAUCUGGGGUUGCCCUUCAGAUAGCGAGGUAAUUUAUAAGCGUUCCCCCUAAACUUGUUUCCAGAAACAGUGGAGCGUUUUCAUGAUCACGGUUCAGAUGUGGCACUUUCCCCCACAGAGGAACGAUCUAACAACUUCUCUGGCUCUCUGAGGUCCCCUCCCUGGACUGGAAGGGGCCUCGUCUCCAGGAACAGUAAUAACAUCGAACAUUCCAGGUGAAGCUGGGGCUGUCCAUCUCCUCUGUGCUCCUGGACAUCCAAGAGGUCACAGACAGCAGGAAAGAGAAAGGAGCCCUAAGUUGAGUCGGGGUCCACCUACCCUGCCCCCGUCUAGGCUGCUGACCCUCAGCAGAGGGCUCCAUGCAUUCACUGGGGUGUGGCCUUGGGUCCCCAUGCCAUGGAGCUGGUGAGGGUGGUUGGUCAUAGCAGGGUCCACCGUCCUUCUUAUACCCCACUCAGCCUGUCCCUUUCAGGGGCCCCACAUCCCACAUCCUUGGGACAUGGCCCCAUAUCCAGAGAUGUCACUCUGGGAGAGUUCAGGAUGUUUAACCAGCCACCCCAGCCUCCCUCUGCUUCUCAGUAGGGCCUCACUUGGUCUCCUUCCAUCUCCUUCUGUUUACGACCAAUGGGAUCCUCUCGGGAUGCUUGCUGUUCCAUGUGUCUCAUUCGGUUUGGGCUUCUAAAACAAACUAUGGUAGACCGGGGAGGUUAAACGGCAGAGAUUUAUUUCUUACGGUUGGGGAGUCCAAGGUCAAGGCACCAGCAGGUUCAGUGUCUGGUGAGGACGGGCUUCCUGGUUCAUAGUUGGCCAACUUCUUGCUGUGUCCUCAUAUGGCAGAGAGAGAGGGAGCAAACUCUUGUGUCUCAGGGCACUAAUCCUAUGCGUGGGGGCCCCACCCUCAUGAUGUAAUCACCUUCCAAAGGCUGCAUCUCCUACCACCACCACACUGGGGAUUAGGGUUUCAAUAUAUGAACUUUGUUGGGAGCACAAACAUUCAGUAUAUAGGAAUAUACUCUCUACUUCAGAGAGGGUGAUGUGGGGCACAGAAUGGCCAGUAAUCAUUAGGGAUUGCCUCUAACAGAGGCUGUUUGCUCUGAGCCAUGGGAAGGUAGCCAAGGAUACCAAUUCGGUCAAGGGACAGCUAAAUACAAUCCCAACGGCAGUUGCCUGGCCCAUUGACUGUUUUUGAGGGCUGGCGUAAUGCUGGCCCAACCCUGGGUGGAUGGGCAUGCCCUUGGGGGUACCUAGUAGGUAUUCUUUAUUUAGACUUUUCUGUGACCAACCUCAGGUCAGGUGGGCAUCUGUACAUUCCUUCAUAUGUUCAAAAAACACUUACUAAAUAAUUGCAGUGUGCUAGGCUCUUGGGAAACAAGAUGGAAAAUAAAUGCGGUCCCAGCCUUCAUAUAACUGAGUCUUAAAGAGACUGUAGGUGAGGAAACAGGUGUAUUAGCUAGCUAUCACUGUGUAACAAAAAACCCUGCAAAACCAUUAGGAGCGUUUAAGAAUAAACAUCUAUUUUCAUAGAUUUGUGGGUUAACUGGGAUGGUUCAGUUUCAGGCUGUAGGUCUGUGAGCAUUGGUUGAGCUGAUUUUAUUCCAAGGUAGUCCAUCCCAGGUCCCAGGCUAAGGGGCCACAAUGACCUGGCACUAAAUUCUUCUAUCGAUAAUGACAGGGCUACGAAAGAGCAAGUGGAAACAUGCAAAACUCUCAAGACCCAGGCCUGGAGUUGGCACAAUGGCUCCUCUGUCCAUAUGCCCGUGGCCAACACAAAGCCACACCGCUAAGCCUGAAGCCAAGGGGCGGGGAAGAGCAUUCCCGAAUGGCGAGGCUACAUGUGUGGAAGGGAAGAAUGGGGCUGAUAAUGCAAUCCACCACACCAUGGGCAGCUCCCUUAGGCGCUGACCGCUGGGGGAGCAUGAAGGGGCCUGGGGGGCUGGCAGUGGUUGGGGUACUAAAACAGGGCGGUGGGGGAGGGGGCGGGGUGGGUGGGCACAGGUCAGUACAGCCGUGAACUGUGUUAGUUUUCUGGGCUGGAGAAAGCAGGUGUUCCAAACAGGGCCUGUGGAGGUGCUGGUUCCUGGCUUUGUGGCCUCUGUGUGCCCAUGGCUAUGCCAACUCCAGCAUCCGGAGAGUACAUGGGCAUGAGUUUGGCCACAUUCUCCGGGGCCUUGGUAUGCUGCACGGCGGGGGAGCACUGAGGCUCUGCUUGUCCUGUUCUUGCUCCCAGAAGGGCAGGCCCCUCUCUCUGGCCUAGGCCAGCCCACCGUCUGAUGUCUAAGCUCUGAGCAUAGCCCAGGACAUGGCAGGUGCACCCAGCCAUGCAUCCAGGGAGGCACUUCCCCCAAGCCCUUUGGCAGUGUUGGGCCCCUCUGAGUGUGGCGCUAGAGGCUUCCUUCCCUUCCCGCACGUCUCCCCUUUGGGCCCAUGGAGCCACGCACUCAGCAUUCUCCGGAACCCAGCCGCGUCUCUGCCAGCCUCCUGGCUCGGGCCCCCCUCCUCUUUGCCCUGACUAUUCUGAGAGCCUCCCAAUCGGUCCCUCUGCUCCCACCCUUGUCCCCCCUCUGUUUCUUCUUGACACAGCACCCAUCCCAACCCGUAGCUCGGGGCACGUCACUCCCUACUUCACCCCUUCUGCGGCUUCCCAUUGCGCCGAGGGGAGAAACCUCCACCUUUUAGGGUGGCCUCUGGGAAGUCGAGGCUCUUGGAAAACGACACUCGGGCAUUAUUUGCCUCUUUCCCUGGUGCUGUCUCACGGGUGUGUGGUGGAUUCCCAUGGGCUUCACCAGAGAGCUGCACCACGAUUUCAGAAGCAGAAAUGAGAACUCGGUCCCGAAGCCAGGCACUGAGGGGAUGCACAAACCCGUGAAACAGGACCACUCGCGCCGCUGCUGUGUCCUCUCUCGUGAAAACGUGGUAUUUAUGUCAGCAUGCAGGAAGUUUAUUAUUGCUAUUUUUAAGUGAACGAACAGGUUUUAAAACUGCUUCGGUUUCCUUUCUAAGACAGGGCAUUUGAAAGACGGAACCCACGUGAGCGGAAGCCCUCCGGAGGUUUCCAUAAUAGACAUUUUCAAGGGUGGUAAAGGGUUCCCGAGACCAAACAGUUUGAGGACCGUGGCUACAGAGUAUUGCUGAAACUUAACUUGUCUAGGUCUGUUGAGAAGAUUAUAUGCAAACAUGAGUGCAGGGCACUGGGUACAUAGCAAGCGCUCAGCGAGUACUCGCUAAUAUCACGGCUAUGUAACAACAGUACUGUACGGCUGUAUUUUAAUUCAAAACAACAACAGUAAUGAAAGAAACAUUGAUUUGAAGUCUACGAGGAAGGGAGGAAGAAUUUGCUCUGUAUGUGCGUUACGAGGGAGACGGGGAGUUAGAAGAGGUGGCUUCUCUGGGGUAGGGUUGAAGCCCCCGCUGAAAAGGCUGAAGGUAGGUUUUCUCAGCUGGGCUCGUGGCUGGCAAUGAGGGGGCCCGGCCUCCGCCCGUCUGUGGUAGGUGGGAUCUGAAGUGCUUGCCCAGCCCACGCCUUUGGGGGACCAAGAGUGGGUGAUGGGACUUGGCUUCACUGGACAGCGCUCUCGCGGCGGCAUCCAAAAGGCCAAACACAAAGAAAAUGCUGGCUUUGUCCAGGAUGGAGCAAAUCUGUUGCCUCUCCCUUUGCUGGCGGCUCCCUGCUGUCUCAUUUCGGAGUAACUGCUCAUUUGGCUGGUAGAGUGAAACUAAGAGACAGGUUUGACCUUGGUAUAUUUAUAGCCAGGAAGUAGGAAAGUAUCAUGAGUAAAACCAGACCAGGGAAACCAUACGAAGUCCCCUGGGGAACAGCAGCGUUUGUGUGAAUGUGUGAGUAUGUGUGUCUGAGACAGAGAGAGAGAGAGACAGAGAGUAUGUUUGUGCGUGAAUCAUUUGGUCAAAGGCUUGAUUAUUUCUAGAAGGAGGCCUGAUUGGCUCGGUCAACUUGACGACCAGAACUUCUUUCCUGAUCUGAACUUAGUUUCCCCAGCUGUAAAAUGGGAGCAGUGCCUGUGUCCUUGCUGUCCCUCUAAGGCACACGGCGGCGGAAGUCACAUAACUAUAAACCGUGGAAGACAUGAGGUGAUCUAGAAGGCAUUUGUCCCCUCUCCAAGCCGGUAAGAAAAAAGCCACAGCGUUGCCGGCUGAGGAGGGGAAAAAACGUCCAAACAUGAGCAGUUCAACUAUCCGUGGCAUCCUCAAACGUCGUGCAAGUUGCCCUUGACGCGGUGUGGCGACGGCAGAGAACAGUCAGCCCGAGGGAUAAGGAGCUUCCGUCUGUCUGGCCCACGACGUCCUUGGCAACCGUGGGCCUCUCCUCAGACGGAAGCCACUUCAAGGCCUUGGGAGCCACGACCAGGGACAGCCCUGGCUGAGGGGGGCUGAUAUUGGUGGAGGUACGCCUUCACAUAAAGAGUUGGGCAAGAGGAGAAUUGCAGAGAAGAGGAAAAGUGCUCCCCCGCCGGGGGUGCAGAACAGAGUUGUGUCCCUCACGGACACACGGGGGCCUGGCGCCCUCUCAUCUUCCUUGUAUAUAACGACAACUGUGUCCCCUCUGGCAGCAGUGAAAUAGGGGAUAACAUCUGUGUUAGAUGACAUCUGAAGGGGGUGAGCCACCAUGAAGUGACCUCAGUGCUGAGGAUGACAGUUUGGCAAGAUGGCAGGCCAGUAGAGGUGACCCUUGGCCUAGAGGUAGGGUGACCAUAUGCUUUCUUACACAAGGGGGGACGCUUGUUUGGAAAUGAAAGGAGGUGCUAUUGGUAAUGAAACUAGGCAUCAGGAGAAGACUAGGACAGUCUGGGUACAGGAGACAUAUGGUCACCCUCUUGGAGGCCACGGGAGGCUGAUGGAAGAGCUUACCCCGUGGGGUUUCCCAGGGAGGGUUGGCUAGGCCGCUUCACAAGGGUUUAGUGCACAGGAAGAAAGAGCCCCAGCAUUUAUGCCCGAAGAGGGGUUGGCCAGCAGGCGUGGUCUUGAGAAAGGGACAAAGGAAUGUUCCUCUACAGGUGAAGGGGCCCUUUCUGGAGGUCUGGUGUGGAGACCCAAACUGCAGUCGUCAUCAUGCCGCCCAUUCUUCCAGGGUUUUAUACUUUCCAGAACACGCUCAUAGGAUCCACGAUAUAAUCAGAAAAGCCCACCCAACCGUCCAGGAGUGGAUAGGGCAGAUUAUCACUUGAGAGGUGAGGAACUUUGAGGAACAGACGGGCCCAAAGCCCUCAGCCUGCGGGGAGUGAAUUCAUUUCCCAGCAUCUGGCAGAGGGAAUGUUCCAUCCACGACGCUACCUACCAGGACGAUGGCUAAGGUCUGAGUUUCUUCCAAUGCGUUUCUACCUGACUGGUGACCUUCAAGGCAGGGCAGGAAUCAGGAAGGAGAAACCCACGGGGCCACAGAACAGAGAAGCCUCUUCAUGUGGAGAAGUGGAACUUAGUAGCCUGGGUGCCUGUGGGGCUAAGCUUCUACCCAGGUCUGUGUCUUUGUGGUUUUAUAGGACCAGCUGCGCCCAGGGCGUGGGGACAGGCUGGAUGAGGGAUGCACCAAAUUACCGAGCCCACCAAGGAGAGUGACCCACUGCCCCUGGAGUUUUGUGGAAUGGCAGGAAGUUGGAGCUGAAAGUGGCCUGACGUUCACGUCCUCCGACGGCCUCAUCUGCGGCAUGGAGAGCCUGACGUCUGUAGCGGGAGAAGGAGGCGACGCGUGUUUGCACCUCGCUUGCGGGAGCCUCGGUUAAUCCGUAAACCCCUCUGAGACAGGAAAUGUGAUCCGAGGUCAGCUCUGUUGUCCAAACGAGUAGGUGGGGAGGCAGGCCUCAAACCCGGUUCUCAGGCUGACUCUGAAACCCACACUCUUGGUAGCACAUGGCACCCCCUCCCCCCGGGGCUUUGUCUGGAAGAGGUCAAGCCGCGCUGAAAGUAUGCUGACCCCCAUCUAAGUCUUUUUUAGGUCAACUCUCAUUGUAAAUGUUUUCUCUUUGAUUUUGCAACCCUCGGCAAUUAGUUACCAGGGCUGCAAAGGGAAGAUAAGGUCGCAAGAGAGGAACCUCCCAUCUGGCCCUAGUGAACCACGGGCAAUUUCCGAGUGGCUCUCGGGCUGUCAAAUGCAGUGACCCCACGAGGCGAACACUGAGGCCACACCGUAGAUACGACUGGGCUUCGUGUUUCCAUGAUCUCAGCAGAACCGUAUAAACCAGAAGCAGAUCAGGUUCAGAGAUGAGGGGAGGACAUGGUCGCAGGUCCUAAAAGCCCCCCCUCCCCAGCAGAGGGAUCCAGAUCGGGGGUGGGGAGAGCUGGGUGGGGGGGAGAGGCAGGCGGAUGCAGGUGUAUUCUUGCAUGGCCACCUCUGAUCUGCUGUCUCCAGAGAUGCUGGAAUGAGGGCUGUGUUCCCAAGAAGACAGUCUUGCAAAGAGGGACGCCCCUCACGUGGGGCUGGUGGUCUCUGUAGAGAGUCUGGAACCAGCAGGAGGGGAAAUUGUGCAAGCACCGAAGGGUGCAGGGGGCUGUCCUUGAGGCAAGGGUCAGCCCAGUAAGAACAAACAGGUUGUUUUGGAAACUUGUCUGGCACCCUUCCCCUCGGCCCGAGUUCAGGGCCCAGUAUUUUCCGAGUCUUUCGCCUUAUUUGUUGAUCAGCGCUUACCACAUCCUUGAGAAACAGGUCAAUGCAGGUGGCUGGCCAUGUUCACCCCUGGGGCCGAGGUUGGGAGCUCUGAUCCACACAGAGGCAAACAGAGCCCCCCACCCCCCCCCCCCAAGCCCUCCCGCCCCAGGGACCUCUGCUGGGCUGGUCUCUCCACCAAUGACGGUUCUGUCUGUUUCCAUGCGUGAGAUGCUGCUUGCUUUUCAAGGCUCAGCCAAAAGUCUCUCUUCACUGCCUGCCGCCUUAUCUUCUGUUUCAACCUUUCUGCGUUACGAGCAUUUCAAACAUUCCGCAAGCUAGGGAGCAGAGGACGACGCGCGUCACCCAUGUGUCAUCCAGAAUCAAGAUUCUACCGCACCCGCUUCAUCUCUCUCUCUCUCUGAAUUUUUUUAUAGCAUCAUGUCAUUUCACUUCUGCAUACUAGACUUUGCAUCUCUAAAAAGUACCGGCAUUUUCAGACAUAGUGAUAUUCUGGUUUGGGGCCUAAAAAGGGCCAGUGAUUCCUUGCUGUCAUCCAGUACCCAAUCCACAUGGAGAUUCCAAUUGUCCCAAUUUUUUCCCCUCCUCACAGGUGAUUCUUUUGAAUCACGCCUACCAUGUGAUUUGGUUGAGUUUCUGAAGGAACGGGGCUAGCCGUUCUGCAGAACUCCCACACAUGGCUUCUACCCCCAACUUUCCAUUUAUUCUUGUCUUACAGCCCUUAUUAUAGGUGCCCUCGAUUGGGCCACUGCUGUCCUGGCCCCGAGUCCCCUCCACAGCGCGAGCUUUUUGAGGGCAGGUGUGAUGUAUUCUCUUCAUCUCCGGGCCCCUCAUGCCUCCCAACGUGACGCUUUGUGCAUAAUAAGUGUUCCGUUGACUCUCAAAAAUGUCACCGUAUCUGAGCGACUUUUCUCUUUGCCACUUACAACUUAGAGUCUUAAGAUUUUUGAACGCCCCCCCCCGCCAUGACCGGGAGUGACCACCGGGUCCAGUGAGGUUCAUAUGCAGAGCAGAGGACAGACCAGAUUACCUUUACGACUCAGCACGACUCUGUGACUUUGGGUUCCAGAAUCUGGCUGAUGCCAGACAUCGACUUCGUCCUCCGGCUUUGUCCUGGGAUUUAUCAGUCUUCUCGUGGUUAAAUGCCACAAGCUGGCGUGAUCUGAGGAGGAAAAUUAGGGCAUGAUUUCUUGCCAUCCCUUUUUACAGCUUGGCAAGGGACAGAAAGGUUAUCCUUCCCUCCCCGUGUUGCUGUGUCUUUAGUGAGCUUGCGUGGAGCUGAGGGCCUGGAACGUUCGGGGGGUGGGGCUUCCUGCUCCUCACCUUGCUUUCUGACCCAAUUCUCUGAUCUCACAACCUCGGACUUGCUUGUUUCUAGAGGUAUAAUCUGUUUGCCGUAUUGAGAGCGGAUGAGAAAAUAUGGCUUGGAUCAUGGAAUUCAGCUUCGUGAUUCAUUUGUUCGACAAGCUUCUUUUGCGAACCUACCAUGGGCCAGGCCUUGCCUGCCUGGGUUCUGGGAGUCCAAAGGUAGCCAAGGCCCACUUUACCAGCUAGGAGUUCGCUGGUUAAUGGAAUAGAUCAUUAGUGCCAAGGUAGAAGGAAGCCUGGACAUUAUAGAAGACAGAGAAGGGCAGCCAAGUUAGACUGCUGGAGUAUGGGAGGGCUUCCUGGAGGAGGCAGUUUGUCCAAUGAGUCUCAAAGGACACAUCGGAAUUUACUGGAAAAAGGGGAAGGGGAAGAGGGAAGAACAUUCCAGAUAUAUUUCAAGGGUGUAGAAUAACAUGUGGAAAGGGAAAUUAUAUUUACCCUGUAUUUUCGUUUUUUCUCUCUCUCUUUUUUACCCUAUAUUUUCAGAGAUGCUUGUAAUAUCAUUCACACUUCUGAAAUGAUUUAAAGAAAAUAUGCCUUGGGGUACCCGGGUGGCUCAGUCGGUUAAGCGUCCAACUCUUGGUUUCGACUCAGGUCGCGAUCUCGUGGUUCGUGGGUUCAAGCCCCACAUCGGGCUCUGUGCUGACAGCACAGAGUCUGCUUGGGAUUCUCUGUCUCUCCUUCUCUCUCUGCCCUCCCCCAUUUGUGCACUCUCUCUCUCUCUCUCUCUCAAAAUAAAUAAACAUUAAAAAAAAUUUAUUUUUUAUUUUAUGUUUAUUUAUUUUUGACAGAAAGAGAGAGACAGAAUGCGAGCAAAUGAGGGGCAGACACACACACACACACACACACACACACACAGAAUCUGAAGCAGGCUCCAGGCUCUGAGCUGUCAGCAUGAGGCUUGAACUCACAAGCCAUGCGAUCAUGACCUGAGCCAAAGUCAAAUGUUUAACCGACUGAGCCACCCAGGCGCCCCAGUAAAUAUUUUUAAAGAUUAAAAAAAUAGGCCUUGAGGACGUCAAAUGAUUUGUCCAAGGGGAGGAAGAGGAAUUAGAAUUAGGCCCACAGAUUCUCUGAGAAGCAGGACAGCAUCCUGACUCUAUUCGGUGCCCACGUUAACACCCAUCCCUCCGUGAAGUCCCUCUGAAAUGUUCACUCGUGCCAGUCAUAGAAGGGCCGGACCCCGGUGAGGGGGCACGCAGCGGUUGCGUUCCGGAACAGAAUUGCAGAGCAGAAUUGCCUACGGCCUCUUCACAACAUGCCCACGGUGCUCCUGGGGACCAGGAACCAAGGGCAACAAGCCUUAUCUCAGAGAGUGGAAAAGUUUCUCCUCUUGAAGCAGACGCAGACUGUGUUAUGCUGGCUUUCUGACAAGCUGGAAAUACCAGACUACUGACCAAAUAGGAUUAUUUGAUGGUUUAUGUAUUCCGUGAAAACCAUUGUGUUUUAUUAUGUAUACAUGAAGUGUUAGUGAAUGCAGUUAAUCCAGCCACGAUCUUCAGGAAGACCAAGACUUUUCUUCUCUUCACGUCAGACGAUUUUUAAAAAACCUCUAGAAACUUAGAAGUGUUCCUCUAGAAUAGUUCAAGGAGCUUUUGAAAAUCCCCUUGACCCCUAAGUACUCGGCCCUGAAGUGAUCACCACGGCAACGGGCGCUUUGAAGACCUCCUCAGGGGAAACAACAAUGACCCAGCACCCACCACGUAUUAGACAGUGUUCUAGACACUUCCACACGCAGUGCUGUUUAAUUUUGGAUCACGCACCCUACCAGAUGCAGUCAUUGUUUGCCCAGUUUUUACAGGGGAGGGGACCAAUAUUCUGACAGGUUCAAUAACUCGCCAGUUUCACAGAGUAAGGAGCGAAACGACAAUUCUGACCCCGAAGUCUCCUCUUCCCUCAGCGCCAUGAUGACAUUUCACACAUGAGAGGAGGCGCCCAAGACGCAGCUCUCGGGUCUGACUCUCUGGGUUUGAACCCAGACUCCAGUAAUGGCUCACUCGGGACAAGUUACUUGGCCCCUUUUCCUCGACCUCCCUGGUUGUAAAUGGGGAAAUAAUGGUGCCUUCCUCAUAGGAAGGAUUCGAGGGGUCAAUCCAGGUAAGAUCCUCCAGAUGGUGCUUGGUGCCGAUAAGCACCUCAUGAAUGUUAACGACUCGUGUGGGGACCUUUGCUUGAAAUCAAGGUUACCUUUCGCCUGGGCUCGUCUUGCUUGGGAAGAGGACAGGGUGUUGGUGCAUCUUUGAGGGCUGAACAGUUAGGGAAGCGGUGGGCCAUUCGGGACUGGGCUUCCUCCCGGCAGAGCCCUGGAGAGCUGGCUGGUACGCGGGGGCCCGGGAGGCCCCGAGGUUGCGGGCUGUUUCCGCCACCCUGGAUCCACCCGAGGGAUGAGGCACGGAAAAGCACGUGGCUUUGGAGACAAAGGCUCCUGAAAAUAACUAAAAGCUGGAAGCCUCUGUGAAUUCAGCGAUGCGCGAUGUCCCUGCAGGUGAUUUCAGGGGAAUCAGAACAGGGGCAAACGUCCGCCUGCCGAGGCCGGUCAAAACCAACCCCAGAGGGUGCAGAACAAGGCUCGGGUCGGAAGCUGAGUUCCCCGGGAAUCAGUGGCCAGAGUGUCAUUGCCUGCCGGGGAGUGGAGGAGGCCGUGCUGACCAGGGAGGACAGAGCAAGACGCCGGGUCUGGCUCGUCCCAGGGCAGGCAGACAGGACCGGGGUGGUGGCCUGUCACUAAGGUGGGAGUGGGUCCGGGCGGGGAAGUGAGGGCCACUGUUCACGUAGGAGGAUCUGCUGGGCCACCUUGCAGGGGGUCGGAGAGGACCCACCGGGGAGAAGGCCUUUCAAAGGCCAAGCCAAGGGGGAGCAGACAAGGGCAGGGCUGGACAACAGGAGGGGACUUCUGGCCUGCGGCAGAGGAGGCUGGCUCGGGAGUGGUGGGUCUUUCCAGCUCUGGUGGGUGAGGAAGGGGGUCCAGGUGGGAGAGAGGCCCUACCCCGGCCCUCUCGCUGCAGUCCAAUUAUUUCUGCCGAGUUACCCCACCUCCCUGAAUCUUGUUGGUCUCAUCUGCAAAAUGGAGUAAAAACGACAACUUCCUCUCCUUGUGCCUGUGAAUGAAGGCUCUUGGUGCCACAAAUGUUCGAGACAUGGGAGUGCUCCUCGAGGGCCCGGGGACCUCGGAGGGGGCUAGAACCUCCAGGAUGCUGUGGCGGUGUAGCUGUGUGUGCCCAGGGACCAGGCAAGGCCACCCCUUCCUGGAGCUUGACUUCAGCUUAAAGGCAGCGCGAGCCCUGCGUGUGGGGUCAAGCCUGCGUUUCCCGGGAGACCUUCCAGUCUCCACCACCUGGAAACCAGGCUUCCCCGUCACGGGGCCGAGCAGUGGACUCCUCUGCAGGGCGCUCUCAGUGCCACGGAGUGUCUCCCCCGGUCUCCCCUGUCCUCGGACAAGGUAAUGGUGAUAUACGCAGACCCCCGUGAGUGCCUCAGGCGGGUGGCUUUAAUGGCUAUCUUGGAGGUGACAUUCCAUUAGGGGUGAUUGAACUUAAUUUUAAUGGCAGGAUGACUUACGUUUUCAUCAUCCCCUCCCAGGCCUGAAGGUCAAUGGGAAACUUUCUCUCCUCCAGGAAUGAACCCUUUGAAAUCGCCGUAAGGCCACGCCAGGCUUGGUUAAUGCUAAGAUCCUGAAUUGUAAGGGAACCCCCCUGCACCAGCGGGUUUGUUUGGCAGUGUGGGGUUCUUGGUUCGGGGACCCUGGAGCCAGGGAUGGCAGAGGGUUGAAGGUUGACCCUACCACCCGCUGGCUGUGUGGCCUCGGGCAACUUACUUAACCUCUCUGUGCUUCCUCGUGUCGGUGUAAGGAUUCCAGGAUUGGCUGGGUGGAAAACGGCUAGCGCGGUGCCUGAAACAGGGGAAAUUGCCGCGCAAGUAUGGGCUCCCGUAAUCAGCUUUUUCGAGAAAGGCACAGAAGCAGCAGCCAUUUUCAGAACGCGCGUCCGAAGCCACAAUGGAACACAACGGGUGGUCGGGCUAAGGCGAGGGCUUCGGGCAGGAGCAGGUAGGUGUGGAACCGCAGAUUGGGGCUGGCUGGCGAGGCUUUGGAACUAAACCCCAUCCUGAAUGAUACACCGGCGAGUGGAGGGCUUCCCGGGAGGGAAGGCGAUAGGGAAGGGGUGUUUCUGGAGGAUCUGUGCUGACAGUGGGGAUGGAAAGAAAGAAAUAUAUAUGAGAGCCAUUAGGAAGGAAGCCUCCCCAGGAGCUUGCCGUAACUGGAUGCGGGGCGGAGGAGAAGGACUUUGAGGUGCCGGGGGAGGUGACUAACAGGAGAGUGUCCUCACCAGCGCGGGGGGGAGCUGGUCUGCAGGGCAGAGGGCGUUUGGCGUUCCGAUACCAGAACCGCGUGGCCGCCCGGAGCGAUGUCAGGGCUGGGGAUGUGGUUCCGGGAGCCGUCUGCAGAGACGGGGGUGAGGAGAGAGAGAGGGAAGCAGAGAGGACGCAGUCCAGGUGUAGGGCAGCUUUCACAGGGUCUGAAGCUGAUAAGGGAAGAGGAAAUCACGAGGAAGGCCAAGAGCAGGGAGGAGGGCGGGAUCAUCCCCUGGGCAGGUGCAGGGGCAGCCCCGGGGAGCUGUGCGGGAAAACAGGGCACCGGCAGGAAGGGAGGCCUCAAGGUGUCGGGCGACUCAGCAGUCUUACGGAUUUCUGCAAAGUGCCAGAAAUGAGAAGAUCUUGUCUUCCUCAAAGGAAAUAUCGACAACACAGCUGGUAGUCACGGAGCCCUGUGCUUCGGCUCCCUGGGCUGCCUUCCGGAGCCCAGACCAGGUCUAUGUAAUUUUGAGCAGACUGGCUCUGGAUUGCCCACCUGUGACGAGGGGGGGGGGGAGGGACGGAGCGGGGAGCCUUUGUAGUGAUGGUGCCUGGGGUCCCUCUCUGCCCCCUCGGCCCAUGAGCCAUCACUAAGUCAUUCUGAGGACAGCGGUGGCCCUGCGCCGUGUGUGUGGGCCGUGUCACUCCCGCCCUCCCGCGAGCCCGGGGUGGCGAGAAGAACUAACGGGUGACAUGAAAGCAUAUAGACUGCAGGCUACUUAUGCAAAUGUUACCACGUGAGCUUGCCGUUACCAUCCUGUUUGUGCAGUCAAGAAAUUCGAGGUUCAGAAACUUGACCGAGUUCAUGGCAGAGCCGGAUCCAGACCCAGACACUGGUACCCUCAGCUCAAAGCUCUUUCCAUCACCACGUGCUAUUUUAACAUUUAAGCGGAGUGAAGUAAAAAAAAUGCUUUUAAGGUUUAUUUAUUUUUGAGAGAGACAGAGACAGAGAGCAAGUGGGGGAGGGACAGAGAGAGAGGGAGACACAGAAUCCGAAGCAGGCUCCAGGGGCUGAGCUGUCAGCACAGAGCCCGACGUGGGGUUUGAACCCACGAACCAUGAGAUCGUGACCCGAGUUGAAGUUGCAUGCUUAACCGACUGAGCCACCCAAAUACCCCAGAGUAAAGUAAAAGUUUUAAUUUCAGUGGCAUGGACAGUGUUGUGUCCUCCUUGAGGUAUUUAACAAAUUUGGUGUGGCCACAUUUGAGCUGGGAUACCCUGCUGGUCAUGGGGGCAUUGGCUUCGCCAGCAUGGGAACAGCUGUUUUUUUACCUUCUCUCCCCCCCCCCCCAUUUGCAGAUGGAGAAACCGAGGUGGCUCCAAAUCAGCUUUCUGCUGUUGCUUCGGGAUCUGAUACCAGCUUGGAUGGUGGCCAUGGUAACCUGUGUUUCCCCAGCUCUCCAGGGGUUUAUGUUCAGCGAGUGAUGAUGUGUCCUACUAACAUCAGGCUCUGGCUUAAAGUCCUACCUGCAUAACUUCUGGAACCCAAGCCCUCCCUUUCCCUGGAAGGUAAAGGUCCCAGGAGGGUUCAAAGGGUCCCCUUGGUGGGAGAUAGUUUUGCACACAGCUGCCGCUCUGGAGUCCUUUGCUCCUGUCCUGCUGGUGAAGGGACCUCGAGAUUCACCACUGCCACGCUGAUGUCUCUCUUGCUGUCUUCCUCCAUGGUCCCAUGCCACCUGAUGGGAAGAGGGGGCAGCCCCCUCCCCCAAGAGUAACGGCUUAUACUCAGCGACCAAACGUAGGUAAUUCUUACUCUUUCCUCAGGAUUACAAGCCCACGUUUCACUUACUCCCUUUCUUUCAAUGUCCCCUGUGCCUCAAGACUUUAGAACAAAGUCCAGGGGAUAUGUGGAAAGACAACGUGUAGGGAAGCACCCAGCAUUGCCCCCUAAAUUGUCCCUCUCCCCUGACAAUUGGCCCCCGUCUCUACAUUAAGCUCAAGCACUUCACCAGGGCCUCGGUGGAGAAUGGGGGUGAGGGCUGGUUGGAUGUGGCCUCUGCCGUCUCUUUGCGGUGGUGGUUUCUCUAUGGCAGAAUUGAACAUGUGCCCCAUUGUUCCUGGACGAGCAUGCAUCCCAUUUUUCCUGGAGGAGCAUGCAUCCCAUUAUUCCUGGACGAGCGUGCGUCCCAUUAUUCCUGGACGAGCGUGCGUCCCAUUAUUCCUGGACGAGCGUGCGUCCCAUUAUUCCUGGAUGAGCGUGCGUCCCAUUAUUCCUGGACGAGCGUGCGUCCCAUUAUUCCUGGAUGAGCGUGCGUCCCAUUAUUCCUGGAUGAGCGUGCGUCCCAUUAUUCCUGGAUGAGCACGCGUCCCAUUAUUCCUGGAUGAGCACGCGUCCCAUUAUUUCUAGAUGAGUUGGAGUUCCUCCAUCCUCUGCUGAACAGGCUUGGGUGUCCUUUGACACAUAUUUGGUACCGGGAAUGCCAUUACAGAAACAAACCCCAAGGGACAUGGGAGUAGAGGUGUAGAGAGGCAUCUGGUGAAACACAUGUUGGCUGUCAGUCAGACUCACCCGAUGUGGCAGGCAGCCCCUGAACGGCCCCCAGAGAGUCCCACCUCCUGGUAGUCAUGCCUCUGUGUAGUUUCCUCCCACGAUGAAUGGGGCUGACCUUUGUGACUGAAAGAAUAUUAUGGGAAUGACCGAGCGUGACCUCUGAAGCUCGGUCUUGGAAGACAUUGAGGCUUCUUCCGCCUUGUUCUCUUGGAUAAGUCCCUCUGGGGAGCCAGCUGUCAACUGCUGAGGCCAUUUGUGGACAGAUCUAUGGACGGGUGUGAGGAACAAGUUCUACUGCUGGCAAUGACCCGCCAGCAUGUGACAGCAGAGCCAUCUUAGAAGGAGACCCUCCCACCCCAGUGAAGCAGUCAGAGGACUAUAGCCUCUGCUGACAUUUUAACGACAAUCUCAGGAGAGACCCUAAACCAGAACCAUCCAGCUAAUUCACUCUUGGAUUCCUGACCCACAGAAACUGUAACAUAAGAAAUGCCAUUGCUGUUUUAAGUGGCUAAGCGUAGGCUAAUUUGUUACACAGCAGCAGAUGCCUAAUACAUCCGCAUUAGGUCACAGGGACUUGGGAGUCAGUCCGGACUCAGGCACAGGUCACACUUCCCGGAGUUUUCAUCCAACACUGUUGCCUAUCUGCCUGUUUCUCCCUGUGCUGCCUCUGUUGACGUGCAGUCUCUAACGGGGGCAUUCGGUCCCUUACGUGCCUGAGACUUGCUUCAUGGCGGAGUCCAGGCUUGGAGCUUCACUUCACACUUGCGCAGCGUGGGAGCUGGAAUACUCCCUCACGACGGCCCUCGGACUGUGAAUAGACACAAAGGGCGAUGCUGAGUCAGACAGCAGGCUGGCAGGAGGGCACACGUCAGCGGGCCGGCUUCCAGAGCCCCGGCUUGCCGCGCUCCCAGCCGCCUCCUCCUGAAGCUUCGCCUCCCAUGGUGAUUCCACAUGGCGGUCACCUCCGAUGCACACAGAGCCUGGUCCCACAGGCACGUAUGAGAGACCGAGAACUCUGAAUUUCAAACCAGAGAAGUCCGGGGCUGCCACGUUUAUGCCCCGACUCAGCAGAGCCACCCUAUGCUAGAAACCCUACUCGAAGAGCUUGGAGCACACAGUGCUUGGCACAUAUUCAGCCAACGAGUAACUGAGGGGCUGCGCUCUGACACCCUCUGCCCUGUUCAGAGAACCUCGGGGAGGGGAUGGCGCCGUGGGGCUCACACUUCCAGAGGGACAUGGGAACGUUGGAGCGGGCGUGGGCGUGAAUGGUGAGGCUGGUGACACGUGAGGGCUGUCACUCUGCAGGGGAGGCCCGCAGGCACGUCGUAGUCUGGAAAUCGUCCACGGGCCCUCUUGUGCCCACUCAGCAUCUAAGGUCUGCGAAGGGCGGGAGGGUCUUUGUGAGACACCCGUCAUGAAGAAAGAUGUGUCAUCGAUGCUGAGGCACAACCACGGCCCUCGGGAGGAGAUGAGCUGCCCGGUCCAGGAGUCGCCCGGUCCCGGCCAGACGGCAGGGAUGAGGGUAGGAAGACCAGUCGGUGGACCACACUCCUUGAAGUCCUUUGGAGGCUGCAGUCUUGAGUGUCCCCCAUGAGGAACAUCGAUGGGCUGGGUGCAGGGAAGUCCUGCCCUCGGAUGUCCUGCCCAGGGCCUCCUGGUGUGUGGCCUGCCUAUGCCUGAUACCAAUGGCGUGUUGGCCUUGACCGACGGUCCCUGGUUCUUCAGUGCUUUUGCGGACAGCAGGGAAAACACAUGUCCGCUCGGAAGAGUGGGUGAGUCACCAGCCCCAGGGAACGUGGCAUAUUCUCUCUGUCACUGAGUCUGUGAACCAGGCCCAGGGUCUCCCUUCCUCUGCUGUUUUUAAUUAGGGAAACAGAGCAGCCCUUGACGGUGGGGACCCACGGAGGGGAUGCCUCGGGCAGCGGGGUUGCGGAGGGGCCGGAGGGCCGUGGCUUCUGCUCGAUGCCCGGCCUCCAGCCCUCUGUCUCCAGGACCCCUCCUGGGUGGCCAGUGUCCACGUCUCCUGCCCCCUUUGAGCCAGGAUCCUAGUGAUAAAUCUGUUCCCCCCGCCCCCCACCCCUGUCAGCAACAGAACAAAUGCGUUCUCUCCAGCCUGCUGCUCACUCUCAGGGACCGGAGCGUCCCCAAACCCAACCAGCUCAUUCAUGUGGACAACGUCCAGGCUGGUGGGAACCGGAGAAGCUGGCAUCUCCCCCUCUCCCUGCGCUCCCACGCCGCUCCGUGCUUUCCCUUGAAGUCCCAAAUGGGGGCACAGGCACAUUCUUUCCUGGGGCAGCCGCUCUGCUAACUUCUAGCACGUGCUCUGAGCUCAUAAAAUCCGAGCAAAGUGAGGAAAAUGCAGGCGUCAGGCCUGCGGGGACCCGAAGCUCUGGGGACCCCUGGUUUGCUCUUUUCCUUUCCGUGUGCGUCGGAUGAGCCGGCUCAUCUUGCAGAGCCUUGGCCAGCCCUGGCUCUUCCGUAAAGGAAGGUAGAACCUUAAAGCGGUGGCCGGGGUUCCCCUCAGGCUGGGAAAAUAUUUAAAGCUGGGGGCGGCGGGGACAGGCUGCUGUCCCGGGCGCUCCAAGAGAGAUGCAGAUUACUGAGCCAAACGUGAGAGCAGGUGCACAUUCGUCAUCCAGGCAAAGCUCUGAACACAACGGUGAAAUCAGGUCGGGGCUGGGUCCCGCCACCGCACUGAAGGCUGGAGAGGAACUGUUCUGGAAUUGGGAGCCUGCUCUUUCCCCGGCUGGCGGCAGGAACCUGCGGUCCGUGGCUGAAGUUGCUCUGUCUCGAUGCCCCCCACUCGGUGGCCAGUUUCUUUCCACAGUGGGCACUGGCUCCCCUUGUUGUGAAAAUAGCCCCUCUUCUGACUUCACUGGACAGGAGUCCAUUCACAUGAGGCGAUCUUUGUGUCUUGUGGGCACCCCCCUGCCGCUGCCCGUUCACCCUUGACCUCGCCCCUUCCUCCAAAGUCACAAUUAGAGGUGGGAAAAAUACUCGACAGACGUGAAAACGAUAGGCUUAGCGGGAGCCUGAGGAAUCGGUAGGGAAAGACCGAAUUUAGUUUGCUUUUACGUUGGAAUGGAUCGUUCAUUUUCUCGGUUCAAAAAUUAACACUCGAAAAAGCUAGACUUCUACCCUUGCUCCCUUCAACCCAACCCAAGUGGUUUCUUGGGCAUUUUUAUCAUGCCUCUGUGUGUGUGUGUGUGUGUGUGUGCAUGCACAUGAGCAUUUUCUUUUUCUUUCCUCCUUUCACAGAUAGGGAAGUACAGGGGUGCCAGGGUGGCUCCGUCGGUUAAGCGUCCUACUUCGGCUCAGGUCAUGAUCUCACGGCUCGUGAGUUCGAGCCCCACUUUGGGCUCUGUGCCGACAGCUCGGAGCCUGGAGGCUGCUUCGGAUUCUGUGUCUCCCUCUCUCUCUGCCCCUACCCCUCUCACGCUGUCUCUCUCUCUCUCUCAAAAAUAAAUAAACAUUAAAAAAAUUUUUUUAAAAGAAAAGGAAAUACAAAUGGUCAUAAAAGAACGGGAAGGACCCACCAUCUCACUUAGGUUAGGAAAAGUGCAAAUUGAAGCGACAGCAGAAUACCCUUGUGACAAGGCUGACAAAAGCAUUCUACGCAAAUGGGUUUGGACUUUGUUCUCCUCACUUAAUUGUAUAUCUUGGAGAUCUUUCAAAUCAGUGCCUAAAGAGUGUCUCCAUUCAUUUUUACAGCUUUUAUAGUGUCCUAUUUAUGGACACACCAUAAAUUUGUUUAACUAGUUUCCCACCGAUGGACCCUUGGGUUGCUUCCAAGGUUUGGCUACUACAAACAGUGCCACCCAGGACAUUUCCUGUAUGUGCAGGUACGUCUGUGGGACGAAUUCCGGCAAGUAGGACUGUUGGGUCACAAGUGAGUGUGUUUAUGAUAUUUACAAGGCUUUCCGGAUACUCUGAAUGGGGUUGUGCGAUAUACGCAGCCCCUGGGAAUCGAGGAGAGACCUCUUUCCCCGCAGCCUCGCUGCAGAGACAUCUCAAUGCAGUUUUAAUUUGCAUUUUCUCUCAUUAAAGUGGGCCUGAGCCUCAUUCCGUUCUCUGAGGAGCCGUUGCCUUUCCUUUUCUAUGAGCUGCCUCUGCACCCGUAGCCUUUGCCCAUCGAAACAAAAAUUGCAUUGUUGGCUUGAUCCUUUUCCUUAACUAUCUUCUAGGAGCUCCUUUUAUGUUAAGGAAAGAUUAGCUCUCUGUGACAGGGCUUGCAAAUAUUUACCCCGUGUUCUUGUCUUUUGAUUUUGCUUAUGUUGUGUGUGUAGGUAUACGUUUUUUAAAAAUUAGGUGGUAGAAUACUGCAAUGUCUUUUUCUUUUUUAACGGAUUCUGAUAAAAGAGAACCAUACUCCAAGGUUCUAGAGGAAUUUGACGUGUUUUCUUCUAGGUACUUUUAUAUCUUUGUACUUUUAUAUCUAAGUACUUUAUAUCUUUGAUCUUGAUCCCCUUUUAAAAUUUUUUUAAUGUUUGUUAUUUAUUAUUGAGAGAGAGAGAGAGCGAGAGAGCACAAGCAGGGGAGGGUUAGGGAGAGGGAGACACAGAAUCUGAAGCAGGCUCCAGGCUCCAAGCUGUCAGCACAAAGCCCGAUGUGGGCCUGGAACUCACGAACCACAUGAUCAUGACCUGAGCCGAUAUCGGACACUUAAUUGACUGAGCCUCCCAGGCAGCCCUCUUUGAUCCCUUUAGAGUUGAUGCUGCGGCAAAAUAUGAGGUAUGAUAUGGUAUCCUUAACUCUUUUUCAAUCAUCUUGACGUCAUCUAUUGGCCUAUUCCCCAAUGAUUAGACGUGUCGACUUUGUAAUUUACUGAAUUUUGGACCAGAACCGGGUCUAUUUAUAGUUUACUCCAUUGACUGGGCUGUCCAUUGGCAGGUACAGUGCUGUUGUCAUUAUUGAGCCUCUAUGAUGCACUUUGAUACAUGGGAUGGUUGUUUCUUCUCAUUCCUUCCCUUUUCCCCCUUUACUCUGUUUUCUUUUCCUUUUUCUUUUCCUGGCCCUUCUUGUUUGCUUCAUUUGCCAUAUGAAUUUUAGAAUCUGCUUAUUUAGUUUAAAAAAAGUUGAUAUUUAUAUCGAAAUCACAUUGUUUAUUAAUUAACAUAACUGAUAUGAUGGUGUUAAUUGUCAUGGGGAUAUUGACAUGAUUGUGAAUUUUCCUCUGUUAGAACAUGGCAUGUGUUGCAUUGGUUCUACUCUUCUUUUGCAUUUCUUUAUCUUUCUUUCUUUUCUUUUUUAUUUGAGAGAGCAAGAGAGAGAGAGAGAGAGAGACAGAGCGAGCUCGUGAGUUGAAGAGGGGCAGAGAGAGAGGGAGAUUGAGAAUCUCCAGCAGGUUCCAUGCCCAGGGAGGAGACUGAUGUGAGGCUUGAUCUCAUGACUUCGGGAUCGUGACUUGAGCCAAAAUCGAGAGUCGGAUGCUUAACCGACUGAGUCAGCCAUAUGCCCUUUCUUUUAAUUUCUUAAAGGUUUUUCUCAGAGACAUUUUGCCUGAAUCUUAAGUUUUUUGCAGAUAUUUUGUUGUGUUGCUAUUGAAAAAAAAUCUCUUGAAGGAUAUGCCGUUUUCCUCUCCACCUGAUUGCUAUUUGUAUAUCUAAGUAUUGCUGUCAUCCAGUAUGUUAGUUGUGUACCGGGCUAUGUUAAUGAACUCGUUGUUUGUAGUUGUUUUUGCCAGAAAGCCUUUAAUUAAUUAAUUAAUUAAAUGCUUAUUUAUUUAUUUUGAGAGAGAAAGCCCACACGAGCAGGGAAGGCAGAGAGAGAAUCCCAGACAGGUUCCAUGCUGUCAGUGCAGAGCCUGACCCGGGGCUCAAUCCCAUAAACUGUGAGGUCAUGACCGGAGCUGAAAUCAAGGGACGGACGCUUCACCGACUGAGCCACCCAGGUGCUCCAGGAAGACUUUAAUUUAAAGAAUAACAAUGUGGUUUGGGAAAUUAUCCCAAAUGGAUAAGAAGGCAUGCCACCAGGGGGUUUGGGGAAGUUCAUGGUUGGGGUGGGAGGGCUGAAGAGUGUACCUCCUGAGAUUUACUGAACUGCCUUCAGUAAAGUGGAAUUGGGGGGCGGAAUCCAAUUUCGGAAGCUUCAUUUUGGACCGAGAUUUAGAAGGUGUAACAGCUGAGCCAGUUCCGUGGAGAAAAAUCUGUGCUGAACUUGCAUGUGGCUGUGUUCCUUCGAGCCCCAGAGCACAGAAGGAAAAUGCCCGAGACCGACGGCAGUGAGGAGCAAGGUUCUUGCUGGCUCCCAAACCCAGAGAACUGCGGGGACGCUGGCCACCUAGGGUCGUGGGUCCUUAGCUCUCGGGGACACCCACCAGAACCCAUCGGUGGAGGGAUCUCAGAACACAGAGGAGGGAAUAGAGAUCCAGCACUCCUCUGCUCCCUUGGAGACGGAAGGCAGAUGGAAUUAACAGGUGACCUAUGACCCCGUGAGGGACACUACCACUCUCUGUUCUGUCUCGGUUGGGGUCUAAGGCAGACCCAGCCCCGACACCCUGAUGCCUUUGGGGUCUCCCAUAUAGUUUAUCCGGACAAGGACUUGGAGCUCGGGAGCCUUCUAGGGAACAAAGUUUAGCUUCCUCUUCACCUCACUCACCCCAGGUAAGAGGAGGGGUAGGAGCUGUUAGUAAGUCCUGUGCAUUAUGCUUGGUGCUGUCUGUAUGCCAUUUUAUUCACUCUCCUACAUAGUCCUCUGAAGCAUUCUCUCUGCUUCACGGGCGAAAGAAUGAAGGGCCAGAGGGGCAGUUAGCUUGCCUAAGGCCAUUCAGCAGGCAAGUGGUCGAUGCAGGGUCCAGGGAGCAGCACAGAAGCAGAGCCCUACCUCCUGCCCCACCCCCUCCACCCUUGCUUAACUAAAAACAGCUCGGCCUUCUGCUUCCGAUUCUGUGUCUCCUUCUCUCUCUGCCCCUCCCCCGUUCAUGCUCUGUCUCUCUCCAUCAAAAAUAAAUAAAAACGUUAAAAAAAAAAAAUUAAAAAAAAAAAACAGCUCGGCCUUCACCUACUUGGCUCCCAUUACAUUUUGGUUUGAAGGAUGAAUUCUACCGUGAAAGAGCCUGUGUUCUCCAGACAGGUCCAUUCUGUCGUUUCUCAUCUCCCGCCAUUUUGAACUAGCGGCACCUCCCCACCCCUAGCCCUGCCCCCACCCCACCCCUGCUACUGCUGNNNNNNNNNNNNNNNNNNNNNNNNNNNNNNNNNNNNNNNNNNNNNNNNNNNNNNNNNNNNNNNNNNNNNNNNNNNNNNNNNNNNNNNNNNNNNNNNNNNNNNNNNNNNNNNNNNNNNNNNNNNNNNNNNNNNNNNNNNNNNNNNNNNNNNNNNNNNNNNNNNNNNNNNNNNNNNNNNNNNNNNNNNNNNNNNNNNNNNNNNNNNNNNNNNNNNNNNNNNNNNNNNNNNNNNNNNNNNNNNNNNNNNNNNNNNNNNNNNNNNNNNNNNNNNNNNNNNNNNNNNNNNNNNNNNNNNNNNNNNNNNNNNNNNNNNNNNNNNNNNNNNNNNNNNNNNNNNNNNNNNNNNNNNNNNNNNNNNNNNNNNNNNNNNNNNNNNNNNNNNNNNNNNNNNNNNNNNNNNNNNNNNNNNNNNNNNNNNNNNNNNNNNNNNNNNNNNNNNNNNNNNNNNNNNNNNNNNNNNNNNNNNNNNNNNNNNNNNNNNNNNNNNNNNNNNNNNNNNNNNNNNNNNNNNNNNNNNNNNNNNNNNNNNNNNNNNNNNNNNNNNNNNNNNNNNNNNNNNNNNNNNNNNNNNNNNNNNNNNNNNNNNNNNNNNNNNNNNNNNNNNNNNNNNNNNNNNNNNNNNNNNNNNNNNNNNNNNNNNNNNNNNNNNNNNNNNNNNNNNNNNNNNNNNNNNNNNNNNNNNNNNNNNNNNNNNNNNNNNNNNNNNNNNNNNNNNNNNNNNNNNNNNNNNNNNNNNNNNNNNNNNNNNNNNNNNNNNNNNNNNNNNNNNNNNNNNNNNNNNNNNNNNNNNNNNNNNNNNNNNNNNNNNNNNNNNNNNNNNNNNNNNNNNNNNNNNNNNNNNNNNNNNNNNNNNNNNNNNNNNNNNNNNNNNNNNNNNNNNNNNNNNNNNNNNNNNNNNNNNNNNNNNNNNNNNNNNNNNNNNNNNNNNNNNNNNNNNNNNNNNNNNNNNNNNNNNNNNNNNNNNNNNNNNNNNNNNNNNNNNNNNNNNNNNNNNNGCCCCCACCCCACCCCUGCUACUGCUGCCGCCUCUGCUAGUGGAUCUGAGGGGUCCCAGCCCACUCUCUCUCUCAAAAAUAAGUAAAGAUUAAAAAACAAUUUAGAAAAAAAAAAUAAAACUGGGUUGAAUGCAAUGUUGAUGGCUGGAGCCAGUACCAUUAUUCUGGUCACCGUUACUAAUAAAAAUUAUACUGAAUUAAAUAAUCAGCCUAGGUCCAACACCAUCCUUGAGCAAACUCAAAGUUGUGAGACAGGGAAAAUGGCCGUCUAGAGAGAGGAGGUCAUUCAUUCUACAUUCCUUGCAAAGAUAAAGGUGGUUGCGAGUGGUUACAGCUUGUGAGGACCGUGUGUCCUGGGCAGAAUUCCCCGGCAGGAUGGCUGUAUUUCGUGAUCAGCACCUGGGCUGUGUGUGGGCAGGCAGGUGUGCUCAGAACCAGGGGUCCUCGCACGUCACCCUGUACUCUUGUCGUGGACCAGGGGAUGCAAGGACCUUCCAUCGGGCUUGAUGAGAACAAGCCCAAACUUCUGGGGGCAGUGGUGCCACUAAAUGGCCAAUGCAAUAUCAUCUGUGGCCCAGAGCUGGGGAAGAGGUGUAUUCUAUUAACAAACACCUAGAUAUCGGUGUAAGCAUUUUACAAACACUCGUUUACCUAAUCUUCAUAUGGAUUAGGGUUCUCACUUUAUUAUUCCUGUUUCCAUACGAGAAAACGAGGCACGGAGUUCAGUAAUCAGAACGAGGCCACACAGCCAAUCUGCCGCAGGGCUGGAAUGGGGGUCCGGGCUCGUUCAGAUCCCGAGGCUAACAUGCACUCACUGUUCGUGAAGCAUCUCUCACGUGCCCUUGGCCUGGAGGUGGAGAUCAGAAUCCAAUCUGACAUGCCCCUUCCUUCUAGUAGCUUGGAGUCAGUGAGGAGCUUACGUUUUGAAAGAAGCUUUGCCCUAUAAGUUUCUCUGCCCCAUCUCUGACGCUUCAUUCCUCUGUACGUCAACCUGGCUCGGCGACAAGGAUUACAAAUACUAAAGGGAUGUGAUGGUUAAUUUUACGUAUGAACCAGGAUAGGCUAUGGUACCCCAAUACUAGUUUAGAUGUCACUGUGACGGUAUUUUUUAGGUACAAAUAACAUUUAAAUCAGUAGAGUUUGAAGAAGGCAGAUGGCCCUUCGUAACGUGGGUGGGCCUCAUCUAAUCAGUUGAAGGCCUUAAGAGAGAAAGACCUGAGGUUCCCAAGGAAGAAGGAUUUCUACCUCAAGUCUUGAGACUGCAAAAGUAACUCUUCAUUGGGUCUUCAGUUUGCCCGUCUGCCCUGCAGAUUUCAGACCUGCCAGCAAUCAUGUGAGCCAGUUCCUUAAAAUAAAUCCUUUUCUCUCUCUCUCCACACACCCUAUUGGUCUGUUCCUCUGGAGAACCCUGACCUAUACAAGGGGAAAAUUGUAUUUAUGAGCUUCAGUAAUGAACUUCUUCGGCGGCAAAUGGCUUCUGUUAAAUAGGGGGCCAGAAUGCAAGUGAAGGUGUCCGAGAACUAUAGAAUCCUCUGCAGAAUUUUUUUUUAAGGUUUUAAUUUAUUUUUGAGAGAGAGAGAAAGAGAGAGACAGUACAAGUGGGGGAGGGGCAGAGAGAUUGGGAAACAGAAUCCGAAACAGACUCCAGGCCCUGAGCUGUCAGCACAGAGCCCGACACGGGGCUUGGAGCUCGUGAACCGUGAGAUCACGACCUGAGCCAAAGUCAUACGCUUAACUGACCGAGCCGCCCAAGAGCCCCCUCUGCAGAAUUUCUGCAAUGCAGGUACCUCUUCUAUGAUCCUUAUGGCGUGCGAGUAAUGACUUGAAUCUGAGAAUUCAGAAAUUCUGAUCCUGGUCCUGAGCUCGGAUCUCUACAUACCGGCGGUUGGUAGGUCGGAAAGGAAAACCACAUCUCCAAGCACGAGGCACCUCCUUCCAGCAGGAGGCUUAGCCAUCCUACCAUGUGCCACUGCUUCAAAGGUACGACAGAAAACAUCUACCUCAUGCCAGGAUCUGGGCUGGAUGCGUGUGACGGUUCUUGCGACGGCUCUGAAUGGUGGGUAUAGGGCUUCCAAUUCGCUAUUUGCAGGGAACCGUUUUCUGAUGUGUCACGGCCAGGAGUUGGCAGUUACCCGCUUUCAGGUGCAGCGACGGUGCCCCACCUGCAGGGAUGGUGAGCGCAUCCAAUCCCAGGGCUCUGAUCAGGUGAGCAAGACACAGAAAGCGCUGCUUGCGGGGGGGCUGGUGUGGGGACCGCUUGACAAGCAGGGAUACAAGGGAAUGGUCGAGAGUACUCCCAGGGACAAGAGUGCCUCUGAGGGACUCUGCUGGUGUCUGAGAGAGUCCCGGGAGGGAAGACUGCACGUGGCACUGGCCAUGAUUUACCCACCCCAAUUAGCUGCAACAACAGCCCGUGCUGUGAAGCAAAUCAAAGGGGGAAAAAAUAGCCUUUCCAGAAUGGUGACAGAUGUCUCAUAGUGCCGCAUUACAGUGAGAAGCACUUGGACCUUAUUCUAGGUGAGAAGUCCAAUGAAACCCAAACUUGUCCUCUGGACAAGGCUGCUCCGUGAAAUAGAGCUGCCCCUCAGUGAGUCUGGCUGUCUCUCCGGGCCCCUCGCCAAGCCUCAGAAGCACCUUAACUCGAAGCCCUGCUGAUUCAAAGCACCGCCUUCUGUUCUGGGCAAGCCUUGGCCAGGAAAAGUCAGGUAGGGACCCGUUCGUGAAGCAAGCCUACCACGUGAGACUGCAGCUGAGCUCCCGGAGUUCGUGGAGAGGAGUAUGUUGAGUAGAGUUGAAAUGGACCAGUUGUUCCCAGCUGCAUCUCAGCUGUGUUGGUGCUAGAGUCAGGGUGUGGGGCUGCCUUGGGGCCACUCGCCACCCACAGUGUUGUUUCUUUGGGAAAAUGCACUCCCAAGUAUCUUUGUUGGUUAGUGGGUUGACUGGCCGAUUAAUUGAUGGAUUCAUUCAUUCAUUCGGUCAGUCACUGCCUGCCCUACGCCGGGAAGUAACCAGGGAUGCCAUGGCUGUUCUUUUGAUAUGAACAGCAACAGUGUGGAAUGCCUGGGUGCGGGGUAGGGGAGGAGCCUGCCCCAGCCAUCCAUUUCCGUAUGUCAUACCAGGAAUCAAGAAGCAAAGGGCUAAGGGCAGGGGCGAUUCCUCCUCUGCGUGCCAUGUGAUGUGGGCUGGUCAUCCAAAAACCACGUCUUCCCACGUCAGAGAAAAGUUGGGUUUCCCUGACCCAGUUGGAUGAACCUGUGAGCCACUUUGAGGGCAGGGCUGUGUCUCAGGUAUUUUGGUAUCCUCAGAUGCCUCCCACAGAGGGAGGGCCGACCAGGUCAGUCAAUACACGCCUGAUACGGUGAAACCAACUUCGGCUGUCCCAAAGGCCUUUCUUUUGUUGGGUUCUAAGUGGUUAAGAAAGUCUUGGCUUGGAUAGAGUCUUGGCUGUCACUGGGGUUUUGUGAUUGUGUGUUUGAGGGAUAUGCGUUCCAAUGGAUGGAGAGCUUUCCAAAGCACAAGUGAUUCCUAUGGGAGGGGCUCGAUCCCUGUACCCCACCUUGGCCUAGACAAGUCUGAGAGGCUGGAGAGGGAGGCCAGUUAUGGUCUUUGGGAAAUUCUUUUUUUUUUUUUUUUUUUUUUUUUUUUUUUCCCCCCCCCCCCCCCCCCCUCNNNNNACCACAAUUUCUUUAUCCAUUCAUCAGUUGAUGGACAUUUAGGCUCUUUCCAUAAUUUGGCUAUUGUUGAGAGUGCUGCUAUGAACAUUGGGGUACAAGUGCCCCUAUGCAUCAGUACUCCUGUAUCCCUUGGAUAAAUUCCUAGCAGUGCUAUUGCUGGGUCAUAGGGUAGGUCUAUUUUUAAUUUUCUGAGGAACCUCCACACUGCUUUCCAGAGCGGCUGCACCAAUUUGCAUUCCCACCAACAGUGCAAGAGGGUUCCCGUUUCUCCACAUCCUCUCCAGCAUCUAUAGUCUCCUGAUUUGUUCAUUUUGGCCACUCUGACUGGCGUGAGGUGAUACCUGAGUGUGGUUUUGAUUUGUAUUUCCCUGAUAAGGAGCGACGCUGAACAUCUUUUCAUGUGCCUGUUGGCCAUCUGGAUGUCUUCUUUAGAGAAGUGUCUAUUCAUGUUUUCUGCCCAUUUCUUCACUGGGUUAUUUGUUUUUCGGGUGUGGAGUUUGGUGAGCUCUUUAUAGAUUUUAGAUACUAGCCCUUUGUCCGAUAUGUCAUUUGCAAAUAUCUUUUCCCAUUCCGUUGGUUGCCUUUUAGUUUUGUUGGUUGUUUCCUUUGCUGUGCAGAAGCUUUUUAUCUUCAUAAGGUCCCAGUAAUUCACUUUUGCUUUUAAUUCCCUUGCCUUUGGGGAUGUGUCGAGUAAGAGAUUGCUACGGCUGAGGUCAGAGAGGUCUUUUCCGUCGUACUCCAUUGUGUAUAUAUACCACAAUUUCUUUAUCCAUUCAUCAGUUGAUGGACAUUUAGGCUCUUUCCAUAAUUUGGCUAUUGUUGAGAGUGCUGCUAUGAACAUUGGGGUACAAGUGCCCCUAUGCAUCAGUACUCCUGUAUCCCUUGGAUAAAUUCCUAGCAGUGCUAUUGCUGGGUCAUAGGGUAGGUCUAUUUUUAAUUUUCUGAGGAACCUCCACACUGCUUUCCAGAGCGGCUGCACCAAUUUGCAUUCCCACCAACAGUGCAAGAGGGUUCCCGUUUCUGGGAAAUUCUUAAGGUCAGCACCAACCCCCUGUGUGAGAAAAGGUAGGAUUUCCAACAAGAUGUCUGCUUAGGCUGUGGUGUUGACAGUUCAGGCAUGCGGGUGACAAUAAAGAGAAGGCUACUCACUCUUGUCCUCUUCCAACAACUUCUGCUAUCCAUGGUGGCCUCGCAUUCAUCUCUCUUGUCUCAGAAGAACUUCCGGGGCUGAUGACACCUAGCACUUCUAGAAGGAUCUUGUCAAGUAAUCUCAUCAUACAUGUAAUUCAUUUUGGCCAAGCUAGCUAGGGCGAUCAGCACCCUUAUGUCACAGUCACUCUGUUCUAAUUAUCUUGUCAAAGGGACUUCUUUGCUUCCCCUCUCAGAUGCCUCUAUCUUCGUCAAACCUUAGUGACAAAACUUGGGCCAUAGGCUCAGGUGUGGUCUUCCAAGCACAGGGGACAGAGGGAACAGGCAGGAUUCUACUUACCCAGAGUCCCUUUGUGAAGGCAAGGGCACUUAAUUUUGUUGGUCAUUAUAACCAAAAUGAUGUUAGCUAGCAUUCAUGGCCCGACAUGGUGCUGAACACUUUCCAUGCAUUAUCUCACGGGAUUCUCCCAGCACCUCAACAAGAGACUCUGUUUUCCUCCCAUCUUUACCGAUGAAGGAAACUGAGGUUUCAAGAAGUUCAGGGGGCACACCUGAGGUCCUGUCUCAGGUCAGGCUCCCAGAAGCAGACCCCGAGAUGGGGACUCACAGGCAGGGGAUGUGUUAGGGAAGUGAUUCCUGGAGAAAUCUGCUGAGAGAGCAGCUGGACCGGGAAGCGAGCCAAGCAGGGGCCAUCUCCAAGAAGUCCCUGGGCUGAUGGGUUCCACCUAAUCCCACGGGCUGGGCUGGGUUCGUGGGUGUGCACCCUGUGCCCUUGUGGGGCCCCGUGCUCAGGAGGGCCCUGUGCUUGGGUUGACGCUCUGCUGUUGCUGUCUUGAAAUUCUUAACAACUUUGGAAAAAGGGACUUGCGUUUUCAUCUUGCACUGCGCCCUGCAGACUCUGCCCACGGGAUUUCCGAAGUGCGGGCCCCUCGGGGCUGCUCCCACUGGAGGCCUGGGGAUGCGGGCUUUAAUCCUGUCAUCAGCCAUCGGUCAUUGGGUAAGGGCUGCUCCUUAACCGUUCCCACGUUUUCCUGGUUCCUUCUGUAGGCAAGCAAAACUGUCUAAUGGCCUAUGGGCAAUGCUCUGAAAAACAGCCGCAGGUAGUGGCUGUUGGAACUGGAAGCGUCCCGAAGGGAUGGCAGGAUUCAAACUCAGGGCCACGGUUCUUAAUCACUCUUCCUUUGAGAGGUCACAGGGUGGCUUCGGUUCUGCCGUGAGCCCCCGUGUCCUCCGGCCCCACCUUUCCUUCUCUGUUCCUCCUGCUUCAGGUCAUGGGUAGGAGGGAGAGUGAAAGAAUGGGAAGUGGAGGUUGGCAGUGUGCCAGCUGCCGGGAACGCCGUGAUUUACCUUUCCUGCAGACAACUAUUCUGGUCUGGGGGGGCCACCCGGGAACCCGCAGGGUCCAGGCUGGAACAGCGUCGAUGUGCUAAUUCAGCCUUCCCUUCACUGGCGCAGUCCUCAAAGUUGUCUACCAAAAUAUCAAAUCUAUGUAGUUGUCUGCUUUGCCAUCUGUGCAUUUUUAUUUUUAUUGAUGUUUAUUUCUUUAUUUUUUUGAGAGAGAGCGAGCAGGGGAGGGGCAGAAGGAGAGAGCAAGAGAAUCUCAGGCAGGCUUCACGCCCAGCUAGGACCCCGAUUUGGGGCUCGAUCCCGCGAACCGUGAGAUCAUGACCAGAGCUGAAAUCAAAAACUGGACACUUAACUGAUUGAGCCCCCCAGGCACCCCUCCUGUGCAUUUUUCAAGAUGCAAUUCCUAUGGCUUUGGAUCUUUGUACUAAGCUCCUCACAAUAUGCAUUUUAAAGAGAUUUUCUUUAGCUUAAAAAUGAUAUUUAACAACCCACUUGUCCCUUGGCAGGCUGUGUUUGUGACUGUGUAGACACAUCUCCUCUAUCUCUAUAAGUCUCUGCCUAAAUAGGAUUAGUUUAGCCGGUCUGCCCAGAAUUUUCCGUCCUAUGUUAGGUUGUGGAAGCCUUGACUGCAGAAGCCCUCUUUCAAAUCACAUUCGUGCAGCCAUUCCCAGAAACUUUGGUAGGAAAAAAGGCACGCAGGCAUACAAAAUGAUCCCCGGAAUUGGCUUGCGUUGGCAUGCAUUUGCAGAUGAUGGGCCCUAAGUCCUAAGAGCAGGGACUGCCCUUUUCAAAAAAAAAAAAAAAAAAAUCAUUCCUCCUACAUGCCCAGGAGCUGUAGUGCAAGAGGCACAUUCAGUAAAUAUACUAAAUAUAAAUAAGCAGUAAGCAAGAGGGUGAACUUGCUUUCUGAUCGGUGCUACCUGCAAUGUUCUGGAAGUGUUUAGACGUCUCCUGUGUACCUGUACCGCGUUUUGAAAAAAUGUCCUUUUUGGCCCACUGUGCACCAGCUCUUUAAAAGAUCUUGACUUGGAAACUUUGGCUGUUAGUCCCUGGGUUGUCAUCCUCACAAGGGGACCCUGCAUGGGAGAAGGGUGUUAGCCAGGGACUCUUCUAGAAUGUACCACCAGUGAAGUCACCAUCCUUUCUUCCCUUUAUCUCCAUUGUCCUAACAACUUGUUACCUUGUCCUCUUCUCUUCUCCUUAGUAUAUUUGCAGUGUGCCUAUGCCGUAUUUUAAUUAGGUCAGAUUCAUUGGCCUGGGAGAGGUGGGGUGCUCCUUCUGAUGGAGGCACACAUCUUAGGCCAACCGGCUAGAGACCAAUAAGCAAACCACUGCCAAACCUUAGUCUUGUUUGCAUGGGAAACCAGCAGAAACAGGUUCUUUUCGUUAUUUCCACAAAACGUACAUCCCCAAAGCACGCAGAGAAGCCCACGCUGGAUCGUAGCAUCAUCGUUUACUCAAGAUGCCGUACAAAAGCCGAAAGAGGAAGGAGUGGACGUUGGGCCACGAAAGCCAAACGGGAGGAAUCUUCGAAGGAGGAAGAGGCUAAGCAUGGAGGCGGAGGCCGCGAUGAGAAGGCCAUUAUUGGUGUCUUCAGCAAGUCCUGAGCUCAGACAUCCUUGUUUAUGCCUCCGAUGUGCCAGUGACCCCACCUCCUACCGGCCAAGAGAGCCAAUUUCAGAGAGUUCUCUGGGGAAGGAGGGAAUGAGUGAGAAUCAGGCGUGUGUGGGCGCUGGGGAUGCUUAGGUGCAGCCAAUUUGGAGCCCCCUUUCUGAACUCAUCCCAUCCACUCCCCAAUUUCUACUCCUUGUGCCAUGCUGUGCAGGAUAGAGGUCCCAUCUGGGAGGGAGUGUCUGGGACUACCGAAGAGUUACAUUAUGGUGCAAGGCUUCCAAAGGACCCUCCACACUCCCCCCUUCCAGCAUGAGGAUGGCUCACUGAAAGGAGCUCAGCAUUUAUACCCAAUUGGGUAAUUUACUAAUGCUUGUUAGUUUCAUAUCCUAGGAAACUUUCACUUGCUACCUCAAUGAGGACAGUCACAGGCCAUUCCCCCAAAAAACUAUCCCCAGUGAAAAACAACAGACAUGGCCCCCAGGACCCCAGAACCCAGUAUAGACUUGCAUCCAUCAUUCUCUCUUUCUGUCUCUGUGUCUCUGUCUGUGUCUCUGUCUCUCUCUCUCAUCUGCCACUUCACUGUGGCUCACCGUCUUACUCUCUCCCACCCACAUAACCUCAGAAACUGCAGUUGAAAAGUUUCCAUUUUAAUUCUGAUAUUACGAGCCUAUGUAUUUUGCAACUCUGAAUUUUUAGACCGAGACAUGGUACUUUCUAUUAGACGUCUGAUACUUUUUUUUUUUCUUUCGCCUAAUGGACCAAGAUGGCUGCAAAUAUGAUACACAGAGUUUAAUUAACUCUGCAUUUCUUCAAAAGUCAGGGUAACAGUGAAAAGCUAUUUUAAUGGGUAGAGCCCACUAUCAUUUAAGGUCAUAAACUUGAGCCUUUGAAAAAAUAAUGAAUCAGAUAGGUUCAUACUAGUACUGCCUUUAAAGGCACCUUCUUAUAUUACCAGAAUCUUCUGAUAAUGAGAGAACUAAACGGGAUGCACCGUGACACUUUUUACAGCAGCCUCUCCUCGUCGUUACCUGUUAUAAGGUCCUUGUCUAAUUCGAAGGAGCAGAGGAGGGACUUCCUCUAGGUUGUAUUGAUGGGCGUUAGUGUGUUUCCAGCUGUCUGAUUUGGACCACUAUCUAGACUUCACCAGUGAUGCCGUGGAGUGUUCCUAUUGAAGAUUUAAGAGAAAUAGUUUUCUUUCCACCAACAUCAGCUCUCUCUAGCCACUGGAUUUUGCACGGCUCCUUGGUGCAUGCAUACAAGUCACCUGGCUUAACAGGUGUUUGCUUUUUGGUGACUUUCUCACUCCUUUCUGGUAAUUUCCCUGACAGAGCUUGGUUUCCCCUUCUCUCCCCAUGUACAAGGGACACGAGCGCUUGUAGUUGAUGAAAAACUCCGUCAGAUAUAUUUGCAUGAGUCCUUUUUUGUCUUUCAAGCUACAAGACUUCGAUUUUUCUGCAGAAUGCUUGCUUUGUUUUAAAGAACUUGACCACACAUUGUGUAGGAUGUUGCUUGCUUGCUCCUGAGUGGUACAAGGCCCUCGGGGCCUGCCAACAAGACCAGCUGCAUAAUUCGUAGGGUCCAGUGAAAAACGGGAGGGCAGGCCUCCUUGUUCAGUAUGAUCAAGAAUUCCAGGUUGGUGACCGCCGAGCGUUGGGCCAAGAGCAGUGACCCUGUGCAGAUCACAUCCCCAUAAAGUCUGUCAUUCCUACAGAAGUAACUUUUUACGACUAACCCUGAGCAGGAUCUGUGACCGCCUGAGUUUGUUCCUUUGCUAUGUUUAGCUUGUAAACCGAGUAAGCUCAUCCUGUAUCUCUCAGUGCUUUGAAAAGGUUCCACUGACUUGUGGCUUCCAUCGUUGCUAUAGAAAAGUCUAUGUCAAGCUACCCCCACCCCCACCCCCCACCCCCCCAACUCUCUGCUCUUGGAUUUUCCCUUUGGCAAUUUUUCCUUAAACUGUGUCUAGUUUUGUCUAUCUUGCUUUGAACCAGUUUUGCUUCCUGAAUCUGAUUUCCAUCCUGCCCUAGAAAACUCUCAGCCCCUGUCUUUAAAAUAUCGCCUCUUGCUGCCGUCUUCCUGGAACUCCAGUGUGAUACCUGCUAGAGCUUCUUGUUCAUCUUCCAUGUCUUCAACUUCUCUUUCAUUUUGAAAAUCUCUUUGUCUCUGUGCGCCGUACUCCAGGUGAUCACCUUCCAAACCAUUUCCUGGGUCACAAUGCUCUCCUGAGCUGUCUAAGCUGAUCUUUAAAACCCAUUCGUUACGUUUUUGUUUUUAAUGAUGCACAUUUCAUUUCUAGAAGUUAUAUUUGGUCAUUUUUCAAAUUUGGUUUUUAAAAUGUUUUCAUGUUUAUUCGUUUUUUGAGAGAGAGAGAGAAAGCGUGCAUGUGAGCAGGGGAGGGACAGAGAGAGGGAGACACAGAAUCCGAAGCAGGCUCCAGGCUCUGAGCUGUCAGUGCAGAGCCUGAUUUGGGGCUCAAACCCGUGAACCGUGAGACCAUGACCUGAGCCAAAGUCAGACAUUUAACCAACUGAGCUGCCCAGGUGCCCCUGGGUCUUUUGUUUUUUUUUUUUUUAAUUUUAAAUAGAGUCUGAUUAUUUGCUUAUAAUUUUUAUCCUCCCUUUUACAUUUUUAAAUUCAUUUAGGCAUAAUUUAUAGCCUCUUCUGAGAGCUUCAUUAUCUGAUGUUCUUGGGGGUUCCUGAGGUUCAUUACUGCCUGCCGUGUUUGUUGGCUCUGGUUCUUCGUGUUCAUGUCCCUUGAAGCAUUUUGUAGUUUUUGAUUGUGAACUUCCAUUUCAAAGAAUGUGCACUAUGGGAAUCUUGUGUGGCCGAGGCUGGGGAUCUGUUUCCAUAGAGAAGUUUCUCAUUUGCUUCAGCAAGUGCCCCUGUGAUAUUACUAGAUUGGGACUCUUUUGAUGCUAUCUAAUCAGCAUGGACUUUCUAGAACAUACAGGUGUGUCAGUUUAAACCCCAAGGCUGCGUGAAGCAUGGCCUGUGGUUCUGAAGCUCAAGGUGACUUUGUUCCCUGCCAGGGCUCCCUCUGCACAGGCAGCCAAAGUGUCCGCACCUGCUCCGGUGUUCAGCCCGCUUUGGCCUCAGGGAUUUCCUUUACUGAUCUCAGCUGUGCUUUUAAAACCGUGUGUGUUAUUUUUGUACAGCAUAUCUAGGUAUUUUGUGGCCGGAGGUUUUUCAGAUUCUCCUCCAUGAUAAUGCCACAAAUGAUAGUUUCUGUCAUUCCGAAUUUCUGAGCCCAGAAAAAGCUUUCUCACCAUGAUUACAUGUUUUGAGAUCUCCCCAAACAUUAGAGACGGAUGGCGGUGAUGGCUGCACAGCAUCGUGAAUGUACUUAAUGCCACCAAAAAAAAGGUGAAGCAGGCCAGGAACCCUGACCAAAUUCAUGGCAAUUCUACUGCACUGAUCAGAAGACAUCCCUUAUUUUUGUGUGCAGCUUUUCAUUUGGAUGGGGUUUUGGUUUUGUUCUGCAGAGAAAACAGCUAACGCACUCUUUGCUAAAAAGGACUAGAGUGCACAAAUGGUUGGAUUUAUUUAGUACCAAAAUGUGAGAUUAAAAAAAAAAAAAACCCUUAGGAAUUUGAGGACACUGGGAGGGUUGCUCAGCACUGAAAAGAAAGCUGAGGGAGAAAGGCAUCUCAGUUCUCUCUGCCAUCCAUGCUCUCUGGCUUUGAGUAAGGCAAGCAUUGCUUUCUGUUGUUCCUUUCUCUCGCUGUUGGGUUUCUCGCGCCUCAGAGAUCUGCUUUACCAGAAAACGAGAAAGUCUUCGCCCAAGGAAGCAUCAGUGUAGUGAAGUCGAAUUACUGUAAAGGUUUCACGGCUGAGUCAGUGGGAGGGCAGCCAGUGAUCACUUCCUGUCUCACCCAGAGGAGGGAGCUGCCCCGGAAAGGGACGUUGAUGCUGGACCAACUUUAGGUGCUUCCUUUAUUUCCUCAGGGACCAGCAGGACACUCUCUUUCUCUGCAUGGAAUGCUCUGAUAUCCAGAUGGGGAAAAUCUAACUCCGUGGACCAGGAAGGAUAAGCCAUUCAUUCGUUCAUCACUCCUACCUCUUAUUAGAGUGAAGUAAGAGCUUUAUGGGAAAUGUAGGCAGGAAACUUUCACUAUGACUACAUAUGUGUAUUUAACAAUUUUUUUUUUUUUUUGGAUUGAGAAUCUUAAUUACUCUGAAUGCAAAACACUCAAUAAUGUCCUUUGUCUUUGUUGUUGUUACUGUUCUGUGAACAUGUUUUUAGAAAAAACACGGUGCCGUGACAUGACCUUUGCUGAUGAGGCAAUGCUGGGUCCAUUUGUUCAUUCUUUUUUUUUUUCUUUCAAAUAACAUUUGUCCCACAUUAUAUAUUAGGGAUUUGUACUGGUGCUGAGGGGCUCAAAGGAUAAAUAAUAGUCUCUGUCCUCAAGAGUCUCUGUCUGAUGCCUUGUGGAAAGGCCAGCCCACAUACAGAAAGAAAAUUCUAAACAGAACACAAUUCAUCUUCAAAGGAUCUAAUUAAAGAAUCAGAGCGAAUAUUUCCAUAACUUUUUUUAUUGUGAUAAAAUAUACAGAACGCAAAUUUACCACUUUAACCAUUUUUUAAGUGGCAUUAAGGACGUUCCCACCGUGGGCAACCAUCAGCUACCAUCCAUCUCCAGAACUUUCUUAUCUUCCCAACUGAAAGUCUGUCCCCAUGAAACGCUAACUCCCCAUUUCCACCCCUCACCCACCAGCCUCUGGCGGCCACCAGUCUCCGGCGGCCACCAGUCUCCUUUCUGUCUCUAUGAAUUUGACUCCUCUCAGGAGCUCGUAGAAGUGGAAUCUUACAGCGUUUGUCGUUUGGGGUCUGGCUUCUCCAUUACUUUUUUUAACGGAAGGAAAUAUGACUUGCUGAAAAGAAAAUGUCAGCCUUGUCCCUGACUGACUCACCACUUGGCUUGGCCCAGAGUAAGACGGUCAACUUAAGCGUGCGCAGCUCUCCGAUAACGCGACCAUUUUAGUAUCUUUUCUGAAGGCCCCAUCCCAGUGUUGUGGUAUUAGUCCAUUCGAGUUGAUCGACAUUAUUAUAGCCUUAAGAGGCUGCCACUCCCUGGAAACAUGUUCCAGCCUCCCCCCCUCAGGGGGUGGUGGAGCGAGGUAAGCAGCUUGCAGGUGGGACCAGCCCCGCUGGCUUCCACGGGCUGCGUGUCUCACAGCACUUCACGUGUGAGCACGUAGCGAGCCCUGCUAGUCCCUGAGCCCGGAGGCCUGCCAGAAACCCAGGCCCCGAGGACUCCCCUCCAGACGUGUGCUCUGAGCCGGGCUGUCUAAACUCUUUCCUCUGGAACCAAUCAGACCCUCGCCGAAGGGGCCAUAUCUCACCGACUGCUUUUGAGUCACGUGUCAUAUUUGAGAUCUGCCCUGGGUUGGGAGCUGAAACGUUUUGGCUUGUCUCCACUGGAGUCGGGGCAAGGCCUGAAGUCACGAGGAAGGCUGGCUCAGGUUUCCCACUGUGUUUCUGGGGCACGUGGAUAUGCAGCUGAAAUGUUGUACCUUAGGCAGCAAGGGUGGUCUGCCGAGUACGAGUCGAUAUGGCAGCUCAGUUUCUUGGGGUUCAUCUCUUCAUUCCAGCAGAGCAUAAGGUCCACGAGGGCUGAGCUGAUCACCGCCGGAUCCUCAGUGCCUUCCAGGGAGUCUGGAACAAAGUGUGACCGUGUCCUACAAACUGGAGGAGGUAUCUGUUGUCAGGCUAGGGAGCGCGCCAACGUACGGAAAGUUACGUUGUCAGAAACAAGAAAAGGAUACCGCUGAUAAAUGCACUCGUGCCACUUAACCAAGAAAUAUUCCCAAUGAUUGCAGUUCUUUAAAAUACUAGAAUGGAGACAAAAAAAUGCUUUUCUUUUUUUAAAAAAAAAAAUUUAAUACAGUGUUUUAUCCUAAAAUAACAUUAUUUUAAAAAAAAAGUUUUUUAAAUGUUUAUUUAUUUUUUUUUUUUAAUUUUUUUUUUUCAACGUUUAUUUAUUUUUGGGACAGAGAGAGACAGAGCAUGAACGGGGGAGGGGCAGAGAGAGAGGGAGACACAGAAUCGGAAACAGACUCCAGGCUCUGAGCAGUCAGCACAGAGCCCGACGCGGGGCUUGAACUCACGGACCGCGAGAUCGUGACCUGGCUGAAGUCGGACGCUUAACCGACUGCGCCACCCAGGCGCCCCAAAUGUUUAUUUAUUUUUGAGAGAAGGGGAGAGAGACAGAGUGUGAAGGAGGGGCAGAGAGAGAGAGAGAGAGAGAGAGGGAGACACAGAAUCCGCAGCGGGCUCCAGGCUCUGAGCUGUCAGCCCGGAGCCCGAAGCGGGGCUCAAACUCAUGAACCGUGAGAUCGUGCCCUGAGCCGAAGCCGGAUGCCCAACCAACUGAGCCACCCAGGUGCCCCCUAAAAUAACAUUAUCAAUUACCUUUCUUCUUACCAGAUUUCACAGAAGCUUCUGGAGGUACCAGUGAAACACUUAGAACUGAAAGAGGAAAUUAAUGACUUGCGUUUUCAGGAUACAAAUAUCCUGGUUUUCUAGGAUGGUUAAACACUAAUACUGCCAGUGAGAAUGUGAUGCAACGUUGGUGAAGCAACUGCCGUGUAACAUUGUCUUGCGUAGGAUUUUAUUAGAAAAAAAGAAAAGAAAGCUGAGGUCUUGGAAAAUAUUAGAAAAGUAUCUCUCUGCAGGGCUUACCACAUAAGCACGUUGUUCUCAUUCCCCAGUGGCUAUGGUUGGUUUGGACCGGACAGUUCCGCCUUUGUCUCCAGGGUUUGGGCCUCGCUUCUGGUUUUUGACCACCGGCCAGCCAUGCUGUCCUCAUGGAAGUCAUGCAGUGAGAGCUGACGUGGUCUGAGCUGACUCCUCCGGGGCCUUGCACAGAUGUGAGGUCUGUCGCCAGCACGCCGCUGUCUCACGGAGGGUGCCGGGAAGCUGUGCGGGCGGGCAGAGCAGUGGCUAACGGAUAGCCCAAGAACCGAGCCUUCCUCUAAGGUACCCCCACCCCCUGGAAGGUCAGCAAAGACCCCUCGAAUGUUUUUUCUCCUUGCUUCUCUCCCCUUAUUUGUGUGGUAUACAUCUCUUUUUAGCUUGCAGGGACCACGCCUGAACAAAGGAGCCAAAGAUACACCCAAAAUCGAAGCCACAUCCCAUGUUCCCCAAAGAUGACGGCUUUUCUGUUCCCCGCAGCUCAUUACGAGGGCCCCUCACCGGACGAUGGAUCUCUCUGGGCCACCCAGCCGCGCAG
This 131540-nucleotide long non-coding RNA is filed under the name Lynx pardinus (Iberian lynx). The stretch from base 23623 to 23695 matches the Rfam family "tRNA". Lineage: Eukaryota; Metazoa; Chordata; Mammalia; Carnivora; Felidae. The record is from RNAcentral.